UCCCUUGCUCCUCCCUCUUCCCUUCUCGUUUUUCUCUAUUUUUUCCUUCUUCUUUCUCUAUUUCUUCCUCUACCUCCCUGCUUUUUCCUCCCUCUUCCUUUUCCUCUAGGACCUUCCUUCUCCUUUUUCUGCCUUAUUCCUUUUCCCUUUCCUUAUCAUUCCAUCCUUUUCCUUCUCCUACAACCUCCUUCCCUUUCCCCCUCUCCUCCUCUCACUUAAGGGUCUACGAGAAAAGGAGGAAGGGGGGAGGAGAAUUGGGGGAAAGGGAGGAGCGAAGAGAAGAGGGGAUGAAGAAAGGGGAGAGGGGUUGCAGGAGAAAGGGGAAGGGAUGGGAUGAGCGCUGCCAGUGAAGGAAGUAGGAGAGAAAGAAGGGAAGGUAGAGAAAUGAGAUGAAGAGAGGGAGUUAAAAAAGAAGGUGGAAGGGAUGGGAAGAGGGCUACGGAGAAGUAAAAAGGAGAGAGAGAAGGGAAGGAGAAGGAAUGAGAUGAAGGGAGAGGGAUAAAAAAGAAUGGGGAAGAGAGGGAAGGGAAGAAGGGAAGAGGGGUGAGAAGGAAGAGUGAAGAGGAGAAAGUAGGAGGAUGAAGGGAGAAGAGAGGAGUGAUGGUGCUGAUAGAGGAGAGUAGAGGAAGGAAUGGUUUUGGUAUCGAAAAUCAACGGACUUUUAAAAAUAUCCUAAUAGAAUUUUAAAUUUUAAAAACAUUCAAAAAUAUAUCUACGGAUACAAUGAUACAGUGUAAUUUGUGAAAAACAUCUAAAAAAACACUUCAUCCAUUCAAACUAUUUUUUCUUUAUUCCCAGGCCCAAGGAUAAGGUAAUGGCAACCCUACAAGUAGAAAAUUUAUUUUAGCAUGCAAUAAGUUCGUGGCAUGUCUAAUAGUUAGCCAGUCGUCGGGUUAGAUUUCUUUUUUUUUUUAAUGAAAAUACUCCAAACAAGACCGUGAAAACUUAUUUAGAGUUAUCUUGACUGUCUAGUAAACAUACAUACUGAAGAAGCACGGAACUUCCCCGGAACGAGCUGACCUGAUCAGCUCGGGGUGCUGAUGGAAGAGCUGGCUCCAAGCCUGCAAAACAGAUAAGAGUGAGCUAACAAAGGGGGUCCGAGAGUUGUCCCGAGAGCGCUCCGACGAUCAAGUUAGUUUUCCGGCGGGAUGAGUUCACGGGAAAUAUAGACGGCCGGUAGCAAUUUGCCAAUAGUGAGCGUACCUUGUACAGUUGAUGUGUUCUAUCAUUUAUACCUGUGCGGAAAUCCGACCUCCGUACGUUUCGGGACCUGCCCAGCAUAGCCCCUAUCCCGCACUCAGGGGGAUUGUCCCCGACCUCUUCGGGAAGGAUGUUCGCCCCCUCCAGGAGCCCUAGCAGCACGGCCCAGGACGGCUGCCAGGGGCCUGGGGCCAAAGCCCAGCUCGGCCGCACCUGGGCUGCCACGUGUCCAGGCCCAGGACGGGGCCUUGCAAUAGCCCCUAGAUUAAGUAAGACUUCCAGGCAGACCUAAUCUAUACUCUGCCACGUAGGAGACCAGCGUCGCGCACUACUCUGCCCCGGUCACCUCUGGUACAGUGCUGUCACUGAGAAAACCGCGCCGAUCUCCUGGGUCGAGCGUCAAACUCCCAAGUUUCGACAAACUUGAUCAAUGCGUGCCGACCUCAUGGGACCGAGCAUCAAAUUGCCACUGACAUGGUUUAAGCCCCCGACUUUUAAAGAUUUGAGCCUUGCCGACCUCCUGGGUCAAACAAACUCAUUCAAGUUAAGGCACAACGUGCCGACCUCUUGGGGUCGAACAUCGCACUUUCCGACUUCAAAAUUUUAAGCCGUGCCGAUCUCUUGUGGCCGAGCAUCAUACUUUGAAGGCAGUCACGCCGACCUCCCGGGUCGAGCGUCGAACUCUGAUUUUAGCGGGUAUGCCAACCUCUUGGGGUCGAGCAUCACAUUUCCAAGGCAGUUAUGCCGACCUCCUGGGUCGAGCGUUGAACUCCCUGAUUUUGGCAGACGUGCCGACCUCUUGGGGUCGAGCAUCACAUUUUUCAGGCAGUCAUGCCGACCUCCUGGAUCGAGCAUUAUAUUCUCAGGCAAUCGUGCCGACCUCCUGGGCCGAGCCAGCAUGCUCCCUGGUUUUGACAAGCUGCCUCAAAGUAAGUCACGGCGUGCCGACCUCUUGGGGUCGAGCAUCACACCUUCAAGACGGUCAUGCCGAUCUCUUGGGUUGAGCGUCAAGCCCCCCGUCUUUAACAGGCGUGCCGACCUCUUAGGGUCGAGCAUCGCACUCUCAAAUUUCGCAAUUUCAAGCCGUGUGCGGACCUCAUGGGGGGUUUUUCCGUCCUCUCCGCUCUCCGAGCCCCCGAUCUGACUCUUUCUUCAGACGGGCUGCCUCCUCUACGUUGACAGCCGCUGCGCCCUUGUCAGGAGCUGCUCCAAAUUUUUGGGAGGCUGCUCGGCCAAAUCAUAGAAGAGUUCCUCUACCCUGAUCCCCGUUCAUGAAGGCGGCCAUUACCACUUUUUCGUUUUUGUCCCUGACCUACAAGCUCUCCGCGUUGAAACGGGUCAUGAAAUUCGCUCAGCGACUCGUCGGGCCUUUGCCUGAUGGACAUCAGGUGGGUCGCGGUUUUUCGCGUAGGUCUUCGAGGAGACGAACUGGGCUGCGAAACUGUCGAGCCAGCUCGGGAAAAUUCCGUAUAGACCCCGGCGCCAAUCCUUGGAACCGAGAGCCGUGCUUUCCCCUUCAGGAACAUAGGGAAAGUUUUGCAGCGAACUUCGUCCGCGGCAGUUUUGCAGACGCAUGUGCGUCAGGAAAAUCGAGAGGUGGUCUUCCGGGUCUGUAGAGGCAUCGUACAUCUCGAUGUUCGGAAUCUUGAACCUCCGGGGUAGUGGGUAGUCCUCUAUCUGUCGGGUAAAGGGCGAAGUAGCGUAGUCGUCCUCUUACAAACGCGGCCGCAGGAUCUGUUCGAGCUCGUCUUGAACGGGUUUCCGCUGAGGGGGUCCCGUGGUCGGCUCUUGACAGACCGGGCGGAAGAGCGGUCAAGCCCAUUCCGCACAGGCUUCCUCGGGGAGGGGUUCCUCAACCGGCUCCCCGCGGACCUGUCACGGGAGUACCUUUCACUGUCCCCGACCACCGAGGGUCGCGGACGAGGUGGAAUUCGCCGCGUUUCCUCCUGGGGGCUGAUCCAUGACUCAUCCUCCGAAGGGUCAGGGGGCAACUCCUUCUCUUUCCCCUUAGCCUUGGAAGUCUGCGCGCUUCCAGCCCCCUCUUUCUCCUUCGUUUGCUGGAUUAGGUCCUCCAGCAUCGGGAGGUUCUCCGUCACGAACUGGAGGAUCUGCUGUCUUCGCUCCCCUGAGAGGGCCGAGCCCCCCGCGCCCCCGGCCGGCCGCUCGGUCUCCGCUCGCCGGGAUCCCUCGCCGGCUCUCGGGCCGGUGCUCUCAACGGUUCGCUUGGAUCGUGCUCUUGCCAUCAACACAACAAUAAUUACCUUGCGUUUCCCACAGACGGCGCCAACUGAAGAAGCACAGAACUUCCUCGGGACGAGCUGACCUGAUCAGCUCUGGGUGCUGAUGGAAGAGCUGACUCCAAGCCUGCAAAACAGAUAAGAGUGAGCUAACAAAGGGGGGCCCGAGGGUUGUCCCCGAGAGCGCUCCGACGAUCAAGUUAGUUUUCCGGCGGGAUAAGUUCACGGGAAAUAUAGACGGCCGAGAGCAAUUUGCCAAUAGUGAGCGUACCUUGUACAGUUGAUGUGUUCUAUCAUUUAUACCUGUGCGGAAGUCCGACCUCCGUACGUUUCGGGUUCUGCCCAGCAUAACCCCUAUCCCGCACUCAGAGGGAUUAUUCCCGACCUCUUCGGGAUGGAUACUCGCCCCUCCAGGAGCCCUAGCAGCGCAGCCCAGGACGGCUGCCAGGGGCCUGGGGCCAAAGCCCAGUUCGGCCGCACCUGGGCUGCCACGUGUCCAGGCCCAGGACAGGGCCUUGCACAUACAUACAUUGAACUAAGGUUGUGGGCUGGUUAUUUGUUCAAAUUGACGGUUUCAUAUUAGUCAAAGACUAAACUGCUGGCUUGCAAUGUUAAUUUAUUGGACCGUAAUAAAAUCUCUCUUUAGAGUCACAAGACGGUUUAUUUUGAAGUAGCAUGAUAAGAUUAGAUCUUACAUAUCACCUGAUAAAAGAACAACUUUAUCACUUCGAACCAAUUCUUGCUCCGAGGUACACUUAUCACAAACCAAGCACUCAGUUACCAAGAUUUUGGAACCAGCCUUGAACAAGCCCAUUGCUUCCAGUGACCAUCUGUAACGGGAGGAACCAGACUUGAACAAUUGUGGAGCCCGAAGAACUGCAGGUUGGCGGGCUAAUGCAGAAACAGUUGUUUGGAGCCCUUUGUUAGUUGAGGCCCCCCAAUUACCAAAUUUUGCAGUACGUAAGGUUAAGGUUUUUUUUUUUGAAGGAAACUGUAAGGUAAAGGUUGAGGGAGAGACUCAUACAUCAUCCAAUCGCACCUUAACAGGGCUGACGUAACUCUACAUUAUUCUAUUAUCAAAAAAAAAAAAAAAAAAAACUCUACAGUAUUCUAGAAGCAGAAAGUCCUAGAAGCAGAAAGUCGCACGUGUAUCCUAACAACACAAAUACCCAAUAGCAAACGCAGCCAUAUUCAGUCUUUAAUAACCAGAACCAAAGCAAAUAUCCAAAAAGCAACAGCUGGCAUAUUCACUACUGAGUAAUUCACAGUUCAGCGCUCAGCCGUGAAAGAAUGGGAGUGGAGAAGCAAGUCGUAAGGCCCGGAGGGGGACCCAAACCCGUUCCCGGUCAGACCGUCUCCGUCCACUGUACCGGUUUCGGUAAGUGCCCUCCAUUUCCAAACCCCCUUCCUCUCUCCCAUUUGCACCUUUGCCUUUCACGCCGUUAUAUUAUUAGUGGUAGUCUGUUUCAUAUGAUUACCAAAGAAUACUUUUAAUUUUCCUAAUAAUAAGAAUAUGUUGUGUAUUUGCAGGAAAGAACCGUGAUUUGUCUAAAAAAUUCUGGAGGUAAUGACGCAUGUAAAAAAUUAUUUUAAAAAUUUGUGAUUUUUUUUAGUACAAUUAUUUUCAGCAUUACUUGCUUGUGAUCUGAAAUCCUUGUUAAUUAUAGCACCAAGGAUCCAGGGCAGGAGCCGUUUGCUUUCCAGAUUGGCCAGGGGAAAGUUAUCAGAGGUAAUAUUAAUCAUUAUUGUGCCCCGUCUGUUAAUUCUUGUCUCAGAAAGAAAUUUCCUUUGUAAUGAUAUCCCAUUGUGGAGUAGCUUAUAAAAAUUGUUUUACUAAAUUUUUGAUAAAAAAAAAAAGGAGGAAUAUUUCAGAUAUUCUGCUGAAUAUUGGUGAGGACUGGAUAGGCAGAUUAGAUGACUUAGCUGAUGUUAGAGUGUAGAGGUUAGGAAAAUGUGCGGAGCCACAGGGGCUGGUUUUCAUGGUAAAGAUGGAAGCUUUAAAUCUCUAAUAAAACCCAGCGAACAUUUGAAUUGACCGAAAUUCCAAAAGGGAUGUGAAUUCGAAUCCCUUCCAGUGUAACUAUCAUUCUCAAGGAUAUUUUUCUUGAAUUAUUGUCCUUUUUCUUUUCUCUUCUUUUUAUUGGGGAGCGGGAUUGUAGUGCCUUUUCUCAUAAAAUCUAUCAGUUUUCUAGGCUGGGGAUGGGGAGUUCUUUAUGUUGAGAUUAGCUUUGUUAUUGUGCGUUCUGUAUAAUCUGUUUGGGUGGCAGCAAACAGAUUUUAGUGUUUCUUCCUUGUCUGGCUGCUCUGGCACGCCAAUUUGGAAUGAUAAAUUCAUUCCAUGUUGCGGCAAUCUUCUGAUUAUUCCAAGUAAUGUUGGUUGUCCUAUAUGACAGAAGAGUUGAUGUCAUCUAUCUUAGGCACAAUGUAUUGAAUUGCUUCAUCCAAGAAUUUUAGCUUUUUCCUUAGUUGCCUUGCUUGUUCUCUCCUAUGCAGGAUGGGAUGAAGGUGUACUUGGAAUGCAAGUGGGAGAAGUUGCGCGCUUAACGGUAAAAUCAUGCACUUGAGUUGUUUCUUGCUUAGCUUUUUACUAGUAAAUAAAUGUCAUUUGCUAAGAACACCUUGUAAAAAAAAAAAGCAGCUAUGAAUGAGGAUGUUAUGAUGUGUGUCUUGUAGAGCAAAGCUGAAUAUCUGGGAUAUUAUAGUAAGACAAGAAUAGAGAAAAAGGAAAAACCUUUUAAAAGACGGUUUUGUAGCGUCCAAGCUGACUACCAGAUGCACCAUGGCUAAUAUCUUCUGCUCAUAAUUUUGAGCUAAUAGAGCCAUUAGAAAGGCUGAUCAUGGAAGUGUUGAGAAUGGUAGGUAUCUUGGGAACGAAUAACAGAAGAGGCGGCUGUGAUACUGCUAUCUUUGUGGGUUUGAGCCUAUAUAUUUGCUUUGGACAAAAUAAGUAAAUUUGUCCAUUUAUUGUUGGUUUUGGAUGAGUGCCUUAGGAUCUAUAGACUUCUAACAUUCCAUAGUCUAUCUCUCUGUCUCCAAAUUAACUACACGGUUUUGCAACGAAAGUAGCACCUAAGAUCUCCUAUUUAACGAGUGUUCACUGGGCAUUUGUUAACCAAACAUUUUCUCUUAAAACCAUUUUAAAUUGUUUUUACCCAGUCUGCAUUUCAAUGCAGUAUGGUGACUGUUUUUUCCUCUAUUAAAUUGUUCCAAAUUUAUGCAGUGUUCCCCCGACUAUGCUUAUGGUCCUAGUGGUUUCCCAGCAUGGGGCAUUGAGCCUAACUCUGUUCUGGUUUUCGAGAUUGAAGUAUUGGGUGUUCAGUAAUUAAUUACUGGCUCUGAUGCUGCGGGUUGCCGAUGGUAGACAUCUGAUGUAGAGUCCUUCAGCAGUGGGUGUUAGUUAAUUAUAGUUUGUAUUUUUAUCUGAAUAAAAAGGCUUCGAGCUCUUCAGCCUGCCGCCCGAUGUAGAAUGCCUUAGCAGUGGGUGUUACUCUGUAACUGGUACCGAAAUUGCAGCCUCCUCUCCUCUCUCUCAGAUUAAAAAUGGAGAUUAUGGUUUCCUAGUCGCUUUAUGGUACUACAACGUUUUCAUACGGCUUUUGUUUUCCAGCUGUGAGCUCGGAUCUAAAUCAUCUGUGGUAGUGGGUAAAAGGAACAAUCCUCCAUGAUUGGUCAAAAUACCUCGACAUUUUGACAUGAUCGACGAAAAUUAUGAAACUCAGAUUUUGAUGCAUGUGGUGUGCAACAAUUUGAACCAAACCACUGAUUAUUUCAUAUUUUUAGCUAGAAGCAUCUCAUUUUCAGAGAAAUUUCAGUACUUUUGCCCCGCAAUCCGCAUUCAUUUGAAGCUGCAGCUCAUUCAAAGCAACAAUCAUGGCUUUACAUUUGGUUGGAUUCCAAACGUUAACAAUCAUACCUGCAAGUAUUACCCGUGUACAAAGAUGUCUACUCGCUCCUCGGCUUUCAACUUAUUUAGGUUACAGAGUAGUGUUUGAUAACUAACUAUAUCUCAUUUGUUAAAUUUAGGAGUAAAGUCUUUCAUGAAAAAUCUUAUUUCUCUAUUUCCUUUCCUUUCCUUUCACUUUUAUUCCCUCAAAACAAACAGAGCCCUUUAGUACAAACUCAAAAUUAGUAACUUUGAUGUUUUAAAAAUAAGAAAAUUAACUUAACCAUUUUAUCAUAGAUUUUACACGAAAUGAAGAGAUAAAUAUGUUGCAAAAAUUCAAAAUUACAUAACGUAGGAAAACACACUUAUAAUAAGUGUGCGCCUAAACAAUUGAAUUAAGCAGCUAAAAACUUCCAAUGAACGACAAGUGCCAAUAGAUGAGACAAAGUAGAAGCAGGAAAGGGGUAAAACCGUCCUAAAAUUUCUUAUGCACUAUAUAUUCCAGUUCCCCCGUUCUUUCCCCCACUCAGACAAAUUUUCUCCGGCCUUCCGCUCAACUGUUCACUUCAUGUUCUUUCUCUCCACUCAAGCGCUCUCUAUCUGGCGGCGCGACCCAUUUGUUCUUUUGGAUCUUUCCUUGUGUAAGUCCUUUUUCCAACUGUAUUAACCUUUUUUACUGGUCGGAUUUUCCACCUGUUCAUUUUUGUCUUGUUUAAUCCUUAAAUCCUCAAUUCUUGAUCAGUAAAUUCAUGAAGUCCUCGUCUUUUUAUUUUUAUUUUUUUUGGGUCUUUUGUCGGAAAAAAAGUGAUUCUUGUCAAUAAGUUCGAAGUACGUUCGCUUAGCCAGCUUUUCUUAGUACAUGAGUGAAACGCUUGUAGGCUUAACAAUAAAGAUGGGAUUUUUAUUUUUUUCCUUUUGUCGAAGUUUCUCUGGUCGAUCUUUUCUCCUUAUGUCCUACGAUUAAUUAUGAAUUGAAAGUUCAAUGAUUUCAUGGGUUAUGUUUCUUUCCUCGAUUACUAUUACUUACCUGAGUUCUUUGAGCUGUUUCAUGGAAAUAAAGAAAUUAAAUAGUGCCAUGUUGGCUAAAUUUCUUUUUUCUUUUUCUUUUUCUUGUUCCCUUUCCUUUUCCUAGUUUUUCUAAUUCUUCAGCGUUAUACUUCAUUUUCAUGCACAUAAAUAGGGAAAUUCAACUUCCAAUGCCAUAUUAGUUAAUGUUCUUUCUUGCUUAUAUGUGAAAGGCAUGCGCACUAGUCUGAGGAUCAUAAGAUUCCAUUAUGUUUAUCCCACUCUACUUGAAUACUGCUGUUCUUAUGUUUGUUGAUCAUUUAUAUAUUGCAGGUAACGGGCAUGUCGCACUACUGCUGAGGCUAUAUUGAUCUCACCUAUAAGUGAACAAUAUGCGGUGGAUUAGUUUGUCCAUUGAUGUGUUUCGUCAAGUUAUCUCCUUGAAUUUGUAUUGUAGGGUUAUUCUGUAAAUGAUCUCAGUUGUCCUUAUUAAACCAGAAUUACCUCUUGAUUCUUUUGAUCUCGUUUAACAAGAUUUCAAUGGGGUCCAAUCACUUCUCUUUCAUUGCUUCUAAUAUCUAUAUGAUCAGCUGAGAAUUAUUUAUGGUCUUAAGCAGUUUUAAGUUCAUUCCUCUGACACCUCGUCUCUUGCCAGUACAUCUUGUAGUUCCUUCAGAUUUGGUACACUCCUCGUUUUCUUAUCUUUUCUUUUUUCUUUGGUCCUAUCUUUUGUUCUAGAUUUCUAUUUCUAUUGUCGUAGUCUUGCGUAGAUUUUGAAACUGAUUCAAGGUGCAAAAGAAAUUAUGGUGUGCCAAGCAGCAAGCCAGACAAGAUUCCGGGCUUUAAAACAUGAAAAUGGCAUAGCAGGGACACCAACCAUUGUAGUUAGGGUGAUAGCAUGCUUUCAACCUUUGCAAAAUUGUCAGGUUGGUUCAAGAUUGUGUUAGGGUGCUUGCUAAUGCGUUUCAAGUUGUAGUCUCUUUACCCUUUAUGUUUACUCUUUGGAUUUGUGUUUUCUUAAUGUGACAGGUUUUUCUCUGUACUUGAUAAUGAUGGAGAAGUUACUAAAUCCUACUUGUUUCCUUUUGGAUUUCUGUAGGCUGAGUACUUCCGUCACUUGCUUAAACCAGUUACGUAGAUUGAUAGUACGUUUUCAAUAGUACGUGAGGCUGGAGUUUGAAUAUUUUGAUUCAUUAUUUUGGUUUCUAAAAGUGUGGACGUUGAAGAUUCAUUACAAUCAGUUUUCUGGUAUGGUUUUUGACAUCUUGCUGCUGUUCAUCUCCAUUGCCUUUUAUUGCUUGGAAUUUUCUAAAAUCUGGCAAUUUUAUGUCUCAGAUUAUUGAAUUAGCUGGAUGUUUACAGCCUACGAUUUUCAGCAUUCUCAGCACCAUUAUCUGUGGGAUUCUCCUCGCUCAAAUGACAGUACUGCUGUUCCAGAUACAGGGACUUCAGCUUUUGGGCUUCUUCAUUUUAAAACGGACCAACUUGAUGGAGUUCGGGGACCUUUCCAAUGGUUGCCUCCUCAAAAGGAGAGCUCGUCUCCCACAGCAGCUCCACAUUUUGAAGAAUCUCAACGUGCUUUUGGUCAUGGACAUGGUGUCGAACCUACAUUCAAGGAUGUAUCUGCAUCCGCUCAUAAGAAGUUUCUCAUUUUUGAUCAAUCUGGGGAUCAAGUUAGAUUGAUCUCGAGAUCUUUUCGUUCACCUUACCAAGAUCAGAUUAUCAUGCCCAUGACACCAGUUGAUUUUCACGAUUUGCAAGGUGAAGCAGGACAAUCACAGAUAAUGAAGCCUCCUCCGCAUACUGAGCACCAUCCGCAUACUGAGCACCAUGUAAAGAGUGAAGGAGGUGACAUGCGUGAGGACACAGAAGAAAUCAAUGCGUUGCUCUACUCUGAUAGCUUCCCUGGGAAUGAUGAUGAUGUUGAUGGUGAAGAUGAUGACCUGACUAGCACCGGGCAUUCACCUUUUACAAUCAUAGGUGGCAUCGAGAUGCAUGAGAAGGUUUGGGAACUUACUGAGGAAGUUGGUAGCACUGAUGGUUCAACUAAAAGGCAUAAAUUGCUUGAUGGUGGUUACAAGAAAUCAUCGUUAGUGGACACUGCAGAUCCAUUGAAAUUGGCUAAAUUUUGCAAUGAUGAUAACCAUGUGGAGACAAAUUGUGCCAAAGGUGGGGACCUCAAUGAGGAGAUGGACUCCAAUAUCAACACAACGCAAAAGCGGGCCAAAAUUUGCAAGACGUUGAGAAUUCUUGAAAGUAUAGUUCCUGGAGCAGAGAAUAAAGAUCCAAUCUUGAUCAUUGAUGAUGCAAUAAAUUACUUGAUAUCAUUGAGGGAGAAAGCUGAAGCUUUGGGCUUGGCCACCCUGAAGUGCAGUGCUCCCGUCAACAGUAGUACAUUUCGGGUGCUUUUUUACUGAGGCAGUACGAUCAAGGGAUAAGUUGAUCUCGUCUCUUUUGACUGAAAGGGAUGGAUAGGUGGUUUUUGCUGUGUGAAGCUUUUGUGAUCUUGUUAAAGCUAUAGUGCAGUUUGCUUUAAAAAGCCAAUAGAGGAAAAGCUUAAUGAGGUGAAAAUUUUCAUCUUUGCUUACAGGAGGUGAAGAAAACUGGGGCUAUAAUUGCCGGGUAGAAAUGAUUGUUCAUUUGCUUUCGGAUUGAAAAUAGCCAGAAUUUUGAACGCAUGGUCUAGGCAGAGAGGUGGGCUGUGCUGUAAAUGAGGACCUCUUUGCCAACAUGUUGAAAACACAAUGGAUUAAGUGCACGCGCAUUUGCUAAUUUGGGUCCGCCUUCCACUCUUCACCUCCAUCUUGUUUUCUUGAUUCUAAGCUUUGUUAUUUUUUUUUUUACCUUAUGUGGCUUUCAAAGAAGCAGCUAAGAUGUUGGGCUGAAGCAGCAGUGAAGAGAGCUGAGAGUAGAAAGGGGGCCCGGAAGAUUCAUCAUGAAUAUUUGAUGCUCAUCCAUGACCAAAUCUUGUCUUAAAAGGCUAGUGCUAGUAUGUUUCUUUAGUGAGCUGUGCAGAGGAUUUGUGCUUUGCCUUUGCUGCAAAGAAGAGUCUCCUGUAGGCCGUCUUCAUGAGCACGUGGGCAUCAAUCUUUAAUGCAGGAUUUUAUUUGUAUGUUUCGUUGAGUACAACAGUUGUUUUGGGUGGAUAUUGCAAUGUAAUCCUGGUUAUGUAGUGCCUAUCUGUUUGGAUUAUGACUUUUGGCCGCUGCCUGUUGUUUGUUAUUAUUAUUUUUCCCCUUUGGCAGCAGUGCUUUUCGGUCUUGCUAUGCUAUAAUUCAAUUUAAUUUGACAUUUCCAACAUUAACCCACUGCUAAACUGUGCUGUAUUUGAUUUGAUUGCUACAUUAGAGAGGAUAAUCAAAUCAAAGGACCCUUGCUGCUGUGGGAGGAGUUGGACGACAUUCUUCUGGACUGCAUGAUUUCCAUUGAAGAGAGAAGACUUAACGAGUGUGUGUAUGUAGGGGAGGUACAAAUAGUUCUCAAAAUGAGAGAGUUGAACCUUGAGAAGGAAAAGGGGGAAUCCAACGGUUUAUAAGGAAUUCGUAGUCGAAAGUUUUCCCUACAAAGGAGGGUUGUGGGGAAAACUAAUGAGGUAGCCCAUCAAGAGAAGAGAAGAGAAGAGCACGGCCGUUCUUUCUCUUUUUCUCGCUGCAAACAAUUGUACUUACCGUUCUAUAGAGUUAGAGCACGGCCGUGCUACUACCAACCUAAUGAGGUAGCCAAGCAUGGUAAAGAAGCAUUCUUUGUCAAUUGUUACUUCUACAUUUUAAUUAGAGUAUUUGCAUUUUACCAACUUUACAGUAUCUCCACAAGGCGCCCAAAAAAAAAAAAAAGAAGCGAUUUUAUUCACUUUUUUGGGUUUUCCAUAAUAGUCCACGCACAUGAUUAGUUGAUCGCUGUGCUUGCAAUGCAGAUUCGGCCCGGCUAAAAGCCAGAGAACAGCAUCCGAAUGGAUAGCCGUUGGGGCCCAAAGGAGCUACCAAAACCCCAAAGAAAACGAGGGUCGAUUUUGUGUCUUCAGCAAAUUCUUAGUGCCAAGGCAUGUGCUGACUCGUAUUAAAAGUCAAAGUAACAAGUAUGUGUAAGCGUAAGAUCCAUUCAUAUGGAUAUGUCCAUGCUUAAUGUAGUGAAUGGUAAUUGAUAUUCUGCAUGCUGACUUCGGCAUUAUGGUAGGACUGUCUCCAAUAUAUUAGUUUCUUGGAUACUGUAUGAUACCUAACAACUUUGUCUGGCUUUGAACUAUUCUCAUGAUAUACAAUUAGUGUUCCAUUGAUAUUCAGGAAGCUGAUGAAUUGUUCCUUCUCUGCAAUUUUGCGUGCAAGAUCUUAUGGAAAAACUGGACAACUAUGACAACCUACAUGGAGAGAGAGAGAGAGAGAUAAUGCCACUGAUAAUCCUUUUCCAAUCCAUCCAGGUCCCAGUGUAUGCUUGCCCAAUUGCUUAUAUGCUCCACAUCAAUGGAAUGAAAGAUACAAAUUGAACCUGAGAAUUUUCAAGACCUUUUCAGCCUGAACUUUUUCUUGAUACAUCCAAAGUUGAUUCAUUGAAAACAUGUAAUGUGCUUUUGCGGGAAAAAUGAUAAAGAUGUUCCACUCGUGCAACUAAAUCAUAAUGCAGAACACACUCAAACAAACAUGGCAAUUGCACCACAACCACUCACCCAAAGACAGAAGGAUCAAAUGUGAAAGUUCCUAAGAUAAUUCCUGUGAAGAGAGGGAACCUUUGGAGUACUCCUAAUAAGAGGAAAAAAAAGAAAGACGACUACAGCUAUAGGAAUAGAAAAAUGAAAUAUAGGGGGAUCAAGUUUAUCAGGAAAUAUCUUACUUCUUCACUUCCUUAGUCUCAAGAAACGGAAUUUCUCCACCUUCUAGGUGCCUUUUUAGGUUGUUCUGGAUUCGAAAUCUGGGGUCCAUCAUCAUGGUUUUCCAAAUUUGACAUCUUGGUGAGCUUGCCUAGCUUUUUCCACCUGAGGUCCAUGCGAAAGUUUGCUUUGGCUUAGCCAUCUUAUCGAACUGUCUCUGUAAGGUUUCAAAGUCGUUUUGGAGUUCCAAGUACUUAGCCUUGACUGUUUCAAGCUCAAACUUGAGAGUGUUGAUGUCCUUCUUGGCAGUUGCCCAUCCUUCUUGAAAUGACUGUGGCGUCCUUCAAGCAAUGUCUUACGGGUUGACACCAUUGGCUGGUAGUGGGAUUCUCCAGCUUCCUUGAGGGAGCUACUAGCUAUUGCAUUGCUUAUCUUCACCUGUUCAGAGAAGAGAACUUGCACUACUACUCUUAGAGGAAGCCGUUCAUUCUGAGCAGCAUGCAUGCAUGCAUCAAUUGAGAGCUUCUGGCAAUCCAUUACACGGCAAAGCCUCUUCCUUUCAUGCUCUGAUAGUGUUGGAUGGGCCUAUCAAUGCUUCAAUGCGUUAGAUUCUAAGUAAACUUGGAUGAGCUUCAUUAUAUGCAAUAUUUGAAACAAUAAUGUAAACGGCAUAUUGAGCAUUAUUAUGAAGGCACAUAGUGACUCGUUCAUAACUUCUAAUUUUGUGUUGUAAAUUUUUCAUCUGAAAUUCUUCUCUUUGAUCUUCACAAUGCAUGAAUAAAUAUCGACGUUUGUUUUAACUUAGAAUUUAAAGAUUUUGCAACUAUUCUCUGGCCCUGUCUUCCUUCUAUACUUAUCCAUUUAACAUAAUUCUUAACGGAUGCAUGCUUUAUAAAAAGACCAUAUCACACAAAAUAUUUUAUUUUGAGGAGCUCGUCAGCUCGAGGACCAACCUGUUUUAACACCAUAUAUUGGUGAUGAACAGAUCUCCUCACAGAAAAUCAAUGAAAAUAUAGUUACUUUAGAAAAUCGCGGAAAUUAAAUUUCAAUUACCUUCAGGUAGGAAUCAACAGCUCUAUAUAGUCCAUCAUCACAGGUUCUUGCUGAAUCAGGUAGAGCUUCUGCCAAGACCUGAAAUUUCGUUAGGGAGAGAUUUCUAUCUCUGGACACCUCUGUUAGAUAACUGUCAACCAGCCUUGCCACUCUCAUCUUAGCAUUUGGAUUUGUACCCCUUUGGGGUGCUUCAGCAAAUGAUUGUCUGCUAGGACUUGAACUUUCUGUCUGCUCUUGGACAAGGAAAUGCUCCAGUAGUCUUUGAACUAGAUCAACAUCGUAUAAAGUUUCACUCUUGUUGUAUGAAGGAAUGAGAAGAUCUGCCAAUGUAGCCUGUUCAAACUGCAUGCCUACCCUCUUUUCCAAUUCAGUAACCAGAGCAGCAGCUACUUUCAACAAGUUUGCCAUUCUCAACAGUCGAAGAAGGAAGCUACAGGAAACACUGUCCUUCUGGGGAGGUAUUAAGCUAAUAAGGCUCUCAAUAAUCAUUCUUUGAUCCUUAGCCUGAACAGUUGGUAUAUCUUCUUUUGUCCCUGCUACAAUCAUAUGGAGCCCCCUUUCCAACUUCUGUUUAUGUCAUUAGCGUGGCUGUAAUUGCUUCCCUCAUCAGCUGCUGCUGAUCCCUCCGUUAUUAGUCCUGGAAGCCAUUUAGCUGCGUAAUGCAUUAUUGCAGCUCCAAUUAGUUCAUGUCUCAUCCCCUUUACCUUAAUAGCAGUAAUAACACGUACAAAGUGAUCAAUCCUGAGAAUCGAAACAUCUUCAAACCACCAAUCAGGUGGCACUUGUUGGUUUCUGCUUGGACUGGAAUCCUUCAUUUCAUUCCAACUAGGGCUAGAUACUUUUGGGGGCCUCCCUGUAUAUUGCCAUCUUAUUCCUUUUGGAUUAGCACAAGCUUUCCAAGCAAUGGACUCGCUGCAUCUUCUGACAAUUUGAAGGUUCUCUGCCCAUGGCGACAGCUUCUCACUAUUUUUAAGUACUAGUAUAGAAUCUCUCCAUGAUGACAAAACCACGUAGCUGAGAAAAGCUUCUGUCUUGAAUAUUAGAUUGCCUUCUUCUAAGUCCUCUGUCAUUUCCAGGUACUCUGCUGCACAUCUAAGGCCAGAGAUAUUGUUUGCUGUCAGAUCAACAGCAAUCCCAUAGCAAAAUUUUGCUGCAAGCUCAAAAGCCUCAGGUCCACCUGGGAGGUCAUCUAAAACUAUCUUGUUCAGGUCUUCCCGUGAUUCAUAUAUGAUUCUGUUCAACUUGCCACUUCUAGAAAGCAGAGGAUACUUGAGAGACGAGAGAAAGAAUUAGUAUAUCAUCUAACCCCAACCCUUUUACAACCGUUAUUAGUAAUUCUAUGUACACAAGUUGAGAAAUGAGAAAAAUGUUAGAAUAGGAUGGCAGCUACCUUAUGUAAAUGGAAAUUAACAUCUCCAAUUUGAACUAAAAAGUCACUUGGGAUAUCAGUUGCAACAUACCUAUUUACAGGACAAGCACACCAAACAUUAUAAGUAACUUGCUUUAACAUCAAUGAUAUAUUGCAAGAAAGAGAUACGAGCUUCACCACAGAAAGUUUACGCUUUCAAUUUAUGCAUCUUCUCCUAAAAUACUCACUCACUCGAGGUUUCACAGGAUGAUUAACUUGAAGAUGAAAAUGCAAAAAUAAAGAUCCAAGCAAUGCUGAACAAAUGAGAGAAACAUACCAAGACUGGCCUCUUUGCUCAAAACCAUCGGUUUUAAGUCCAUGCUUGCUUAUGCUGAGAACUCCAUUGCUGUAAUCUCGCCCUCCUCCGGUCUCGCUUUCCGCGUCCCACAUGGUGAGUUGAAGAAGCUCAGAAACUUCAGAUUGAAUUUUAGAGUUAAGUGCUUACUUCAGAUGAGAGCAGAGAAAGUGAGAUGAACAACAAAACAGAACAAGUAGCUAGAGAAGCUGCACAAUGAGCCAAAAAAGGUAUCCCACAUGGGGAUGCUUGGAACUAUCUCCAAUUGUCGGCUUCUUCACUGAUUUCCAAAUGACUCCUACAGGCUGGGUUGCGAUGGGCUGACAACUAAUAUGUGUUUUGGAGCACUUGAUUUCUUGAUUUGAUCUCUAAUAUAUGGAUAUACUUUCUCCAAGUAGCCAGAGUGGGAGACUUUGAGUUGUGUGCAGCUCUCACUGAUUUUUUAACAUUUUUUGAGCUACUGUUUCAAGAGUUCUUUAAUCGCCCCUUUUACAAACAUUCAGGACUGUGCAGGGAUUUUCUUUCAGCACGAACUAUUCUUCUGAUUAGCAAGUACGAUAGGUUGGCAGGGAAUUUUGCAUCUUGAUGAAAUUUGGAAUUUGGAAUUUGGAUGUAAUGCAACUAAAUGGACCGGACCACCUUCGACUUCAGGGUAUAUAUCUACGUACCCAAAAAAUAUCUCAAAGAAAUAACAAGUCUUUAAGCAAACUCUUUAAUUCUCGAGCCAGCCUUCCUUUUUUACGUUCGAAAGCUCCAUUUAUUCUUUUUGUUUCUUCGGGAAGUGUGGGGGAUUAUAUAAUUUGAUGAGCAAUAGGCCGUACUAUUCGCGCUGAUAAUACGUUAGCAAGCUUUCAUUUUCAUGCCAAUUAUUACAUCUGAAGAUUAGCAAGGCGCAUCUAUCUAUCUAUGGUCAGAUUGAUGAAGUUUUGAUCAUUUUGAUGUCUGGAUUUUUUUGACUAAUGGAGAGUUAUUAGUUUUAAGUUGCACCACGCAGGAGAAAUACAGAGUGCCCAAACAGGAUGACGAAAUAUAUAGCAGCGGUUAUUGUCUUUCACCUUUGGAAGAUUCAGCAGUGACAGCGGGUGGAUAAGGCUAAAAAGGAGUACUUGCAGAGCAAAAGAAUUUGGCAGAAUGCAACAAGGUGGAAAGGGGCUAGCUGCUCUCUUGCAGUUUUAGUAGUUUUUGAGUACCACGGAUAAAGCAGAGGGCUUCCACAACCAAUCACCAGUUUUAAUGAUAAGGCACAGAGUGGAUAGCAAUGCACGACAAAUGCGAAGAAGAAUUCAAUAAAUGUAAAUAUUAAAGCAACAACAUGCAAAACACAACAAUUUUUUGACACUCCUAUAAAAUUAUAUGCCCCUCCCCCCCCCCCCCCCAGAUCAAUCUGACACCGCGGCGAAAGCAAUUUAAAAACCUGUAAAAUACAAGAUUCGAAUCAGAAUUUAAAAAAAAAAUUAGAAUUUCAAAUCCAAGAUUCGAAUUAGAAUUUCAACAAGAUUCAAUUAGAAUCUAACCACUUGAGAACAUUCAAGAACAAUUAUAUAUAGACCCAAUACAAUUGUGUUAAAAUUUCAAUAAUAUUGUCAAAACCUGUAAAAUAAAACCCUAGAGAACCUUGUGAGUGGAUUUUUGCAGUUUCAAAAGUUGAUUUCCUUCUAUGUCCUCACGUGUUCCUACACUUUUCACACGACCCCCUUAGACUCCCUUGUCUCGAAGGGAUAUCUCAUAGCAAAUCCCUCCAUCUCAAAAGAACUCAACCCCAAGUUCAUAAUGAAGAACGCAAUAUUCAAAAGUGAAAAUACGCCAGCAACUUUUUCAUAUAAUUUUUAGAGUCGAUACUUGUGAUGGAACCUUUGUAUCCAAUUAUGAAUAGAAUUAGAUAGGUGCCCUGUUUGGAAUUUAAGUUUUUGACAAUUUUAUCUACUACAAAUUUUUUAAAAAUUUUAGCUACAGUAACCUCAAAAAUUUUUUUAAAAUUCUUAAACUAUACAUUUCAAAAUAUUUAAAAAUUUACACUCUUCAAAAAAUUUUACAGUAUACUACAGUAAAAUUUUAGAUAAACUUUUAAAAAACUCACCCUCCAAACGGGCCUGCGUCCUUUAAAAUUCCAAAAUUCAACAACUUCAGCAAUUUGCAUUUUGAAAACAAGUCUCAUUUUCUCUUCACAAAAAGAUUAUGAACUAUAUACACAGAUCCCUAGGGUUAGGGUUAAUCGUGGCAAAAUUCGUCUAGUCUCAUCAUCCGAAAAUGACGACUUGAUGUGAACCACAUUGAAUAAGAACGCGAUCAUGAGCCACUCUCCUGACACAUCUAUUCCAUUCUUUGUGAUCCAAAUUAUGGUGAAACAUUACACAAGAAAUGUACUACGAUAUCAACUGAUGCGACGGCAGAAGCAAUUUAAGAGAACCAGUUUCAUGAACUAAUUCCAUAAUAAUAAAGAAUCAAGGGUGAUUUAUGAUGAACCCUAAAGAAAAUCAAAAUUCAAACGCUCAAGAACAACUAUAUAUAGACCCAAUACAAUUGUGUUAAAAAUUUAAUCAUAUUAUUGUCAAAAACUGUUAAAUAAAACCCCUAUUCACAGGAUACAAGUAUUCCAAACGAAAAAGGAGAGAAAAUACAAUAAUGAAGUUAGGAAAAACGAUGAUGAAACUUCACACUGCCACCAAUCCAGGAUCUGCUCGCCGAUCCGUUUCGACAAUUUCAGAAGUUGAUUCACGGCCAGGUCUAGAUCCACGAACGGAUUGGGGGGCUAGGGAAUGGAUCUUGUACGCGACUCUUUUUUUAAAAAAAAAAAAAAUGCAACUUCAAAGGUUUUCUUUCUCUUUCCUUGCGUGUCAAUUCCCACAUCUGAGAAGGAGGUUCCACCAAAGAAUCUCAUCUAUCCAAUUUCAAAUUAAACACAUCCCCGCUGUUAACUACACCAUACGAUCCAAAACUGCAAUUAUAUAAGCCUCUGCAAUCUGUUUUAACACAAAUGGUACAGUUCAUUAGCUUUUAGUAUCUAUCAAAAAUUAGGGGAGAAGAACAGGAAUGAAUGUAAGCAGCAAUUCUACGAUUAUCCAAAAAAAAAAAAUGUAAAUGCCUCGAUCUUGUGGUGUACAUUAUCUUUUAACAUCAUAUCAUAUGUAGAGUCCACCAAAAAUUGUUCCAUGCUUGUAUUGUAUUCAAAUUAGUUUGCAUAGUUGAACAAAAGAUUUUUUAUAAUAUUAAAAAAAGAUUUAUAUUAUGUUCAAUUCACAGAACCAUUCCCAGACAUUUGAUUUGAACUGUCCCGUUCCCAAAAGUUAAAAAGUUUUUAACAGGAAGUCAAGUGAAGCAUCUUUGACAGCACUACUUGGCAAUUUUGUGCCACAAGAAUUCCUCCGCUAAGGUAAUUGGAGAAGGAUAUUAGUUGGUCCAUAAUAUCCAGAUCAGACAUUAAUGGGUGCUUCAAUCAUUUCAAACAUUUGUCCUGGGUGCAGUGCAUUUCCAAUACGCCUUGAGCUGAUUUGAUGGUAUUACAGCAUCUGGAAUUAUGGUUGUACCAUCGAGGGAGCUGGUGAAUGGGUCCCUGAGUUGCACAAGUUGUCUUGCAGUGACGGACGCUGUGGAAAAGAUUGAACUUAUGCAAGUCCCCGCCAAUGGGGUCUUCAACACAUUUAUCGGCCGCUGUCAGAAUUGAUGAGCCUAUCCAGCACCAUCCCUUUGCAUUAAUGACCAUCACCCACUCAAUACUCUAAUCAAAAGCCGCCUAAUAUCUCUGUCAUGUCAUUAACCUGCAUUCUUCUCGUCAAGGAAUUGUCCCCAUUCCAUACAUUAGGGGAUUUUUGUUGUCUGUUCAUGGAAUGGGAUCAGAAAAAGGAGACUUUAUAUAGGAUAAUCCUCUCUUGACUUCUCGUUUUAACUGAUUUUGACCUGAUGGGCGCUUCUCUAUGCCAUAAAAGUGGUGACCGUGGCACAAAUUAUAUAAAUUUCUGUUCAUGACUUGAUUCUUUAAGCUACCGUUUGUGUGUGAGCAGAAGUAUGGAAAAGUGUAGGAAUAUUGUUUGGAUAAGGUAUUAUUUGAAAUAUUAUUUGGAAUAAUUAUUAUAAUACUUUUUGUGAUGUGAUGUAUGUGAGAUAAAAAAGUAGUUGGGAAUAUAAAAAGGUGGAUUGGAAAAUGUGUUUACGAUGCAAGCGAAAUAUUAUUUAGAAUAAGUUCACUAUCCAAACAAACAUAAGCGAAAUAUUAUUAGCUAAUUUUUUUCUCAUUGCGUGUGUGUGUGUGUGUGUGUUUACCGCAAAAUUUUCCUGCCAUUUCUUCCACUGUUCUACCUUCUCUGUUUGUGCUUUCUUAUGUUUUGUAUCAAGCAAAAUCAUCAACACAUUUUUUUAAUAAACUCUCAAAAAAAAAAAAGAAGCCCCAAAAAGGCUGUUACUCGUCUUAGCAAAAUCCUUCACGUGGGAGCCUAAUUAAGCGGUAUUUCUAUGGUGGCAGAAACCAUGACAUGACGUUAAUGAAGGGCAGGAGCCAAAUGAAAUUCCAAGGUAUUGCUUAAAUGAGGGAUAAGAGUUCUCUGCUGAUUUGGACAAUAAAUGCUCAUUCUUCAGCAGCAGCAGCAGCAGCACUUGCAGCACUGAGGUCCACAGACAGGUCGAGAGCCUACAGCAACGAUCAGAUAAGGAUAUCAAUAAUGAAGUUUAACUUGUACGCCUACCUCUUCAUAGAGAAUACUACGUUACAUUUCUGUGCAAUGAACAAGAUGUUUCAAAGCAGAAGAUUUCUGUGCAAUCUUCUCUGAAAAAUGAUCAUUUGCUUCAUCGAAUGUUGAACUACUACAUUCGAAUCAUGAGUACCUUAACUUGCUAUUGUCAGCAAUAAUAAUAAUAUGCAUCCUAACUGUGCUCUAGUGACUCUGGCAAAACUCUUGAUUCGUGAAAAAAGAUGAAAGGGUUCAGUUGUGUGCCAAGAACACCUUUCCAGUUAUUUUGCUGUACAUGGAUAUUACAUCCACAACCGUAGAUUCAAAAUGCGUUGUUCCGUCGUAGCUCUGCAAGAAUUAAGCGUAGCUUCUCUGAUCAGUGACAGUAAGCCUCAAGGAAGCACAAAAGUCGUAGGCCAGAUAGUGGAUGCAAAAUCCGCCCUAUCGACUAAACGAAUUCAAGUUAUUUUCAGCGCCAAUGUAACCAAUAUUUUCUCAAUUCACAACUAAACGAAAAGGAAAAAAUAAUGAGAGUUUGCUUUCUGAGCAAUGCAGAAGCACAAAAGAUAUACAUCCCCCGUGAAAGCUUACAUCCCGAAACAUGGACACAGGUUGCAGCUUAGCAUCAGAUGUCUAAGCUUCUUGCAAGAAGAGUGGUAAUAAAAUAUGUAUAUCAAUCAUAUGUCUGUCUAAUGACGAAAGGCAAAUGACUUUUCACUUACGCUGGAUAUGAAACAACCAUCAGCAUCAGGGCAGUUUGUAGGUUCAAAUCUAUCAUAAGUUUCAUAAAAUAUCUCGUCUACAGGUCCAAGCAGGUCAACGCCAGGCUUCAAUUCAGCUUGUGGAUCAUCUGUCUCAGCUUCAGUUGCAACAAAUGCAAUGUAUUUCCCAUUUGGAGCAACAUUGUGAGCAUAUGAGCAACAAAACAGAUACCUGGAGAAGUAAUUGUUCAGAAUAUCUAAGGAAAUGAAUAUCUCAUGUUGUUCUUAUAUUCUACCUUCUUGGUUGUUUCUGCUAUUUUUGUUACAUUUUUUCUGUGGAAGAUAUCCAAUUCUUCGUAUUUUAUGAAAAGCAUCAUAAACUGAUGCUCAAUAACUUAUUAGUGAGGAGAAUGCCGCGAUGGCUAGAAGUUUGAGGCUCUCUCUCCUAUAGUCACUCGAAGAAGUUGUUGAAACCUUGACAAGCUCUGAUUCAAAGCUAAGAUUGAAUGAGAAGAAAAUAUACUUGAGAAACUGGAAAUGCCUUUUGGUCACAAAAUAUUUGCUAAAUCGUGAAACUAAUAAAAGUUCCUGUCUCAGUGCGUCUUCCAAAGAAGAAUAGGCUGUUAUUUCUGAAAGACUAGAAAUGUGGCAAGGAACAGGAUUGGAAGUACAUACUCCUAGGGUAUGAUAACAAGUGAAGUAGAAUAGGAGGUGCUUGUCAUCUACGUGUGUGAUUUGCAUUUGAAUAACAGAAAGAGAAAAGAAGGAAAAAACAUACAUAUCUGAUUUACGACCAAGUUGCUUCUGUGGCAGAAUGACCUGACAUGAGUGAGAAUCAUUUGUGUCCGGAAUGGGGUGGCUCAUUAUGCAUAUAGCACGCGCAACUUUUCCAACCUUCUUUACCUGUUAUUUGCAUUCGCUUCCAAAGCAGCUCAGUGCCACAAAAUAAUGAUGCAGAAAUAUGAAAGGUAUUUAUCAUUGGAGUCAGACAUUUGCACACUUGGAUUCUGAGACACAAACCAAAAAUACACGGGCAGAAAAAUAAGUUGCUGUUUGAGGUUACCUUUUCACUUAGAUAAGAUGGAUCACAAACAACUUUCUUGCACUUAGCAGUUUCUCCUUCUGAGGUCACACCAUAAGCUUUUCCAUUUGCAUCAAACUCUACCUGCAAUCCAGAGACCACACUAAGUAUACAAGAUGCAGGUGUAAAAGGUCUCAAAUUUGAGCAAGUUGAUUUCCAAGAUAGAGACCUACCUUCUUGUCGGAGGAAAGAAGUACUGCACUGAAAAGUACCAAGACGAGAUGACAUCUACUCUAAUUUCUCUUUGAAGAGGCAUUCAUAUACUCAAUAGCAUAUAUAAAAAUCUUGACCCCAAAAUAUUACAGUACAAAAUUUGAUAGAUAGGAAGGGUUUCAGGAUACACAAAAGAUCUGGAUAAAUACCUUACACUGUGGCUUGUUAAGCAUGUACGUCCCACCAUAAACUGCACUCAGACGUGCAAAUGCCUGCAAAUUUUGAUGCAUGUAUCAGAAAGGCUAACAGAAUGGAGAAGGUUCUCAACUUAUGAGUUAGGACAAACCUGAGGCAACUCUCCCAGUCCAUACAUAGGAUAGAUGUAAGGAGAUCCUGCUUGAAAACGGGCCAGAGACUCUGCAUAUAGCUUUUGAAAGGAAAAAAGGUUGUUAUUAAAAGAAUCACACCAAGCAUCUGUCUAUUCUUGUAACUCUGCAAUUAGAUUUCAUUCAAAAGAAAUGUAACUACGUCACCAGAUUCAAAAGGCCAACUGCAAAAAACUACUAGUGUUCUAAGGAGGUUGAAAACCUGAAACUUAUAGAUCCUAUGAGAUUGAAGGCCAGAGUUAGGCUUCCUAUCUUGCACUUUUCAACAAGAGAAAAAUAUCUACAAUUAUCUGUGUUAUACUAGGCGAAACUGUGAUACUGAUAUAAGCUACUUUCCUAUACUUUCCUCAUCGUGUUAGGGAAACAUAAUAUCACUGUGUUGUGCAUCGUUCUUGACAAAAGUUUCACAUGCACUUAGUUUGUUGGUUAAAUAACAUAAAACUACUUCUCAACUUCAACAGUGUACAAGUUACAAGACCAAAAACAGUUCAAUUGGCAUUUUUCAUUGUUCUUGUAUAUUACUCCCUUAUUUCUGUGGGUGAAUGCAACUCUCUUAUGUGGUUACAAAGCAAAUAAUAAGCGUAAAAGCAAUGUAUCUUUUACAAAGGAUUAUGAUUCACCAGGUUACACUCAAGCAUGUCAAAGAGCAUGGAGAGAAAGGCUAAAGAUUGAAUGCAGAUUCAUACCUUCACUCUCUUGACAAAAGCCAUGGCUGGCUGGUCCAAAUAAGCAUCAUCAAUUUGAAGUGCCAAGGCAUGACCAAUAAAAUCAAUUGUAUCAUCUUCAAGUUCAUAUUUCCUGCAUCAACAGUGUGAGCAAAAAUACAUAUCUGAAGUUGCAAUAUGUUUUAUGCUCAGAAGUUUGUUGGUAAAGCAUUUAGUGAGAUGAAACUCAAAAGCAUUCUGCUUUGCUAUACAUCACUAAAAUGUGUAAGAAGGGAAGACACAGCCUUAUCCCUUAAAGUCAAUCAACAUGGGGAGGCUAGAAAUCAUUUUCCAUUACUUCAACACCAAAUUCGUUACAAUAUACAUGCCUUCCUUUUCAGUUGGAAAUCCCCUACCCCAAGUGUUCAUCAAAUGUUCAAUUCGCACAUCAAUGUGAAAAGCACAGCCACUGGGUGUAUGUAGGACCAGUUGAUAAAAAAAGGUAUCCUAAUGGCAAAAGCAGUUAUGAACCUUUUUCAUUAUGUUUGAAGACACAGAAUGGUCAAAAACAACUCCUUUGAUCUUAUAGAAUAAAAAAUCAAUGAGGUAGUACAAUAAGAAUGUUUUGCUUCCACAUUGUUCCGUGACAAUUACUUUGUAGCAAUAUAUGAUGUGGAAGUUAGUUGCAUUUGAUAGUUUAAAAAAAAGAUGGUACUUUUUUUUUUUUUUUUGCUGCGGUAACUAAAUUACCAAAGCAAAGCUUUGCAACGGGCAACUAAACCUACAGAGUCUUAAAUUCCUAUACUUCAUCAAAUGACCUGAAAAUUUGUCACAGAUAAUGCAAAGAAAGUUGAAGAUCAAUGUACAUUAAAAUGUAGAGAUGGUGCAAUUCUUGCUAAUGAGCUUAAGCCAGUAGCUAAAAUCAAGAAAAUAGCAAAUAAGGAUUGAAAUUUACGAGAUAAGUUCCCUUGCUGUGAUUUUGUUCAAAUCCAUCCCUUCAUGAGUUUUUGGAUUACUCUCCUCAAAGUCUUGGACAAAAAUAAAGAACUUCCGAAGUCUACGUUUCUCAAAGAGUCCCAUCAGCGAAGACUUCAAUGCUUCCACAUCAGUUGCUGGCACUUUAUAAAUCUAAAGAUCAAAAAUGUUUUGACAUCCAAGUUUAAUUACUAGAAUAAGACCUUUGUAAACAAUCAGAUAAGUGCUAUGGCUAAACAAGCUGUUAUGAGUUGCAUACCUUUCCCUUGUUGUACACAAAGCUACCAUCUACAGCUUUAAAGUUUAGAUAUUUGGUAACAUUAGUAUGGAUGAGUACGCGAACAAGAGCUCCAUUAGCCAUCAUGAACUACCAAAGGACACAGGAAGAACUUUCAUCAGUUGCAUGUCAAACAAGCAAAACAUGGAAAACAACGCGGAAAAUUGCCAGUAGCCAGUAGGACUGGGAAAUCUACAAUUGAUGACAUAUUAUUUCUGCUUCAACAUGUCUUUCUCAAAUCAUGUAGGCCCUGUCUGCCUGAUAUUAAAAACUGAAAUGCUUACAAAAAUAUUCAAUAUAUGGACCCAUCCUCAAAUCUCAAGUUGUAGAAUAUUUCUCGUUGCUUUUGGCUUCAGUUGGGGGAAGGAAAAAGCUUUUGGAGGUCAAGAUGUGUUUUGUUUUUCAGAUUCUUCUCUUUGAUCAAUCAAAACCCUUUGCAGAAUGAAGACAAACAGGGACAGCAUAUUGUUCGAAGCCUGAAGCUGUAUUCAUAUAUAAGAGAGUCGGUGGGACAAUUGAACAGUGUAUACCUUAGGAAUCAUAUCAACAUUGUACUCCUUGCUUGUGCCUAAUUUUUCUGGAGGCUGUUCAUCACCCCUAAAACGCUUCCAAAGCUAUUAAACAGAAGAAGUUAGGGUACAUCAGAUGGAUAUUAUAUGUGCAGCAAGAUCACAAUUCAACUUGACAUUGAAAUAUGGGAGCUAAUAUGAGAGACACUAGAGGCAGGCAUACGAAUUUCAACACAACUUCCAUUUUACCUGAUUCAAAUUAAGGGAGCUGGACUCUCCUCCAUAAUAGUCAUUUUUGUCCAUGUGUAACACCUGUUUGGAAUGUGCAUAGCUAAAAAUCAGAGAUUACCAUUUUCAGUGAAAUGUAAUGCUAAGGGGGUCAAAGCGUAAUACUGAAUUGAGAGUUAUACCUUGAAGACCUCCUAAAACUACUGGCUAGCGCACUAUUCUUAGCUUCUGGCUUGAGAAUAGACAUUCCAUUUGCAGUUUUUGAAGCAACUUAAUACAGAAAAGACCCUUUUUUUAUUUUCUCCCAUGCUAAAGUAUGGGAAAAGAACAUUCUCCAGAACAUGUAUCCUUGAACUACAUAAAAUGAGAUGUUUAUGGAAAUAAAAAGUUUCAUUCUUGAUUAACCGCCUUUAUUCCCACCCCAGAAGGAAGAAGAGGAGGAAAUUUGCGUUUCCCUUUAAUAUAUCAUUGGCACAAUUAAGGCCUUACUCAAACAUGCAUAAACAAAUAAUACUUCUAAACUUACUGGAAAAUCACCUCAUCUUUUCUUACAGAAGAGUAGAAGACCAAAAUGGGACAACAAAUAAUGUAAGCAAUGGUGUAAAUCAUCCGAAAAUAUUAAGAUCUGACAGAUUUAUAGAUUAAAAAGAUCACGAAAUAGAGAUUCAAUCCUAGAACCAUCUAAAAAUGCGUCCAACAUAUAUUUUUGUCCUGACAGUUCUAUUUUGGCUGUAUAACGCAUUAAUUAGUGAGCAACCAGAACUAGAACUGGCAUGCAUUGUCUUGGGUAAAUUAUAGACGAUGUUUGUCCUAAGAGGGAGUAGUAAUGCACGUACUUUGAGCCCAUCAACAGAGAGAAGUCCACUAAGAAUGCAUUCUUUGAGGCCGGUGCCCAGAACAAUCACAUCAUACUCUUCGUCCAUCUUGAUUGAUCAGAGGAAAGUUGAUUUCGGAUCAAUUACUAAUGGCAAGAUUAAAAGACUAAUGCAGGAGGGAGAUGGAUCAAGAGAGACAGGAAUGAGGGGAUUGUUAGUGUGAGAAAGCUGAAAAGAUGGGGUGAAAUGUCGUAGAGAAGAAUAAUGGUAGUAAUAAGUAACGAAGAGCGCGGGAGUACUGAUCGAGAGGGAGAGAUGGAACGGGUCUUUAGCUGGAGCCUAACUAGAAUGCAGAGUAUUCAUCUGCUGGUCUGCCACUGAUUUCCCGUACUUGCACCUUCAUGCAGACAUGGCCACGUUUCAAGUUUGAACCGGUACUUAACCGGAGAUUUUGCCCAAACCGAAACUAAACCGAGCAACCGGAAUCGGGUUCAGAAGGCAAAAAAAGACUUCGAUUCAGAUGCAUUAAAAAUCAAAUCCAAAAUUGAAUCCGAUGGUUCUGAAUCGAUUUAAGCCGUGCACCAAAAAAAUAUAAAAAAGAAAGGAUUGGUUUGAUGAGAAAAGUCAAAACAUUUUUCAUUUUUUAUAGAAAUUUUAUUAGCUUUUCCUUUCCUUGUCAGCUUAUAAUGCAAUAAAGCUCUUAUUUUGCUUUUAUAUUCAUUUUCUUUAGUUUUUUCUGGCUGUAAAAUUAUUAUCAUAUUUUCUUCUAAUCAUCUUUAUAGCCAUAGAGCCAUUAAAUAUAAUUAUCAGAAGAAUCCACAACACCAAUCACAAGGAGUCAGAAUAAGAGAUCUUAAAACUGUAACUAAUAAUCCUAGAAGCCAGGCCGGUCAAAGGAAUUGGCACUGUGACCAUUCCUGCCUUUUCGCUACAAGUCACCACUUCAUUUGAUAGAUGUUCGGACAACCAAGUAUACAUAUUGACACUUUUCAAUUGUUUCUGUUGUUAGAAGUUGAUAUCAUAUUGAAUUUUGAUUAGAAAAUUGGAAGUGUGUUCUUAUUUAAACAAUUCUGAAAGCCAAUAUAGUAAGAAAUCUUUUUUUUUUUUUAAAGAAAUAGUAUAUAAUUAUUUGAACCAAAAUUAUCUCACAAAAUAGGAAACCACUGUUACACACGUAAGUCAAUCGAAGGAUCGAGUUAAGUGAUAAGACGAAAGAAAUUGUAAAUAAGAGACCCUGAAUCCGAGAAAUUUUUCAUUAAGCUGCGUACUCUCUCGAAAAAAAAAAUCAUUGAAUUAAGCAUUUCUCUACACUAUUGACUCUCGUUAAAAAAAAAAAAAAAAAAAAAUCUGCUAAGUUACACGAUGAAGUGCUUAGCGAGCUUUCAAACGAUGCAUUACAACAGGAGGAGCAUUCGUGUUUUACGAUUAUUGUGAUGGACGAACCAGUAACUUUCCUUUUAUCUAUAAAUAAACAAACUUUUCUUUUUAAUACUCAUCCUCCUUUAUUUCUUCGUGGUAAUUAAGUGCAAAUGUAAAAACAUGUACUUUUCUUUCAUUAAUCACGCUGUCAGAAAACUAUUUAAGCUGCAAAGCAAUUCAACAUAAAUUACAUCCCUCAUCUGUAUCUAUAUAAAUAUAUACACACACACACACACACAUAAUCUGGAAAUGUUUAAUAGAGCCAUUUUUAUUCGUCAAAGAAAAUUUCAGAGCAUGGAGGCCUCUACGUACUCAGAGAACCGCAUGCCUGACAUACAUGCAUGUUAUUUUUUUUAAAAAAAUAAUGCAACAUAAACUACAAUUUCUGGGCAUCAUAGAGCCAGCUAUGCUCAAAUUAUAUAUUCGAUCUUCUGCGACCGCAAUCUCAUCCUCCCUGCAAUUCAGUUGGGACAUGGUAAGCUGCAAAAAUUCAACCCCAAGUUAAACAGGUUUCUCUGUGAAAUGCUUGCCAAGGUACUUACAUGCAUGCUAGCGCUGUUUUAUGCAACCGCAAACACCUAUUCAUACAACGUAUCAUUAACGCCCAACAAACAACAAUUCUCCAAACCUCCCCUUUUUUCCACAUACAAUAAUUUGUGCAUUCCAAUUUGUCUGACUCUAAUCUCACAACAUAGCUAGCAGUUGCCAUGCUACUAAAGAAAAACUUCAAUCCAGGAGCAUUAAAAAGAGUGCCUUGUGAAAGCUUACUAGCUGUUUCACUUUUCUUUUCACGUCAUUGCUAGACGAUCACAUGGCCUUGAAUCAUGCAUUCUGAAAAUGAAAUCUUACUUUAGUUUCGUUUUGUUCUUCUUGCUUAAAUACUAGCAAUCUGUUGUGACAAAAUCACACAGAAUGAGAUGCCCCCCAUUUAGCUGAUAUGCAGCAUGUCAUCCAGAUACAAGAUCCAAAUGUUGGAUGGAUUUCACAUAUUAUAUUCCACAUAUGUGAUUCGUUUUAUUCUUGUAACAAAUUAUCCGAUCCAUAUUUGACUUGAAACAAACAUACCCCAGCUGGAGAAAUGUGUCCGAAUUGUUGAGGUCCCGAGGACAACUUCCGGCUUGGUCGCUUAAGCGGGUCACUGAUUCGGAUGAAAUCCCUUGUUCCAGCAGAGGUGUUUCGUCUUCCGAUGUGCCUGCUACCUGCAAUUAUCAGUCAGAAAAGCAAAGAUUGCAGCAUGCUCAUGCAGAGGGGCGAAACAAAGAAAUAAAGGAAAAGGGAAACUUUCACGUCACGCACUUUUUGUCUCAACUUUGCAUUCUCUUCCUUUAAUAAUGCUUCCUACAAUUCAUUUUGCAAAGAUAAGUGAGCAACCAAGAACACACAUUUCAAUGCAGUCAACCAAAUUAUAUUCCAUUGGAAUCUUAAGUAAAUUGCUCCUACAGCAUUAUUGUCGGUUACAGAUGAUCUUCAAAACUAUGAAAGCCCAAUAACACUUUUUUAUCUCCAGAUUCUCAAAUUGAAGAUUUCCCAUAUUGUUAUGCGAUUAAAUGCAGAAUAACAGAAAAUGAUUGAUAGAUAACCAAAUAGAAACAGCUGGUGAGGGUAAUUUGUCACCCGCCUUUUUCUUGAGAAUACCAAUUUCUUUCAUGAAUUUGUCACCCUGAAAUCCAAAAAACAUAGUACAUCAACACUAUGCAACAAUUGAAAGACCUUGAAAGAAGACAAAACAUGACAAGAACCUUGGUUUUGGCAAUACGACUUAACCCUGCUUCAACCAACUUUUCGAGUUUAACCAAGUCUUCCAUGCUCAGUCCUACUAGCUCUUCACCUUUGAGAUGUCUGUUACACGUGGGAUCGCAUCAUAAGUAUCACAAAACAACGAACCAUCCUCUACAAGGUAUCUGAUGGCAGAAUAUUGUACCUCAGUUCUGCGGUUUUCUCCUUGAUUUCCUCAGCAAGCAUGGCAUGGGUAUGAUUCUCCCGCUAACAAAGGAAACAUAGAUGUCCUUUCCAAUUAGAAUUAAAGCAAAAAUAUAUGCAGCUGAGAAGAGAAUUAUGAUAAUUAUGCUAUCAUAUCUCAUUUGUUUCUCUCCUUCGCUUGUAUUUUCUCAACUCCUUUUUAGUUGGUUUUCAUUUAAUUUUCACAUAUUAUUAGCAGUUAAAACUGAGUUAUGUUCAAUUAGAGAUGGCAGAAUUCUUAUAUGUCUUUACUCGAAGCUAUUUAACAUUAUUGGAAAAACCAAGAACUUCUGUUGUUGUUUGUAGAUUUCCAGAGCGCUCUUGAAAAUCUUACGAGAGGCUAAUUUCUAGACAAAAAUACUAGAGAACUUAAUACCUGCGUGUGAUGAGGUGGAUGCUUGUCUUGCCUCCCAAUGUCCUCGGAACAUAGGCGGUGCCUUUCAAUAACUUGCAUCAUACUUCAGAAGAGAAAAAAUAAGCUUAUAAUGAGUUCUGGGCACUAAGCUUAAACUAACAAUAAGAAUGAAAUAAUUCCUUAUGAUAGGUUAUAAUAUAAUUAAACUACCAAAUUUCAAAAAAACUAGACGCGUAGCUUUGCAUCAGUUUAGCAUGUUCAGUUUCAUUUUUAAAAUACUAAAUCACCAACUUACAAGGAAAUAAAAAGAGACAUAACUGGAACUUAAUUUCCUUGUCAACUUUAUGCAAUAGUUCAUCCUCUUUUUUGUCAAUAAAUUGGAAUACUAGCCAUGUUAGGUAUGCCAAAGUCUGUGAAUUAACUGACACCGCUCCCCAAACAUUGAGAAAGAUCAACAAAAGUGUGCAAACUUAGACAAAGUUAAAGUAAAUGCAAACAUGUCAUCAGGUUGUUGUAUAUGUCUCGUGAUGCUUUACAAGAAGCCUACAAAAAGGGUCAAAGAGUCAUAUCUAGGAGGUUGAUGUUAUACGAAUCUUGAUAUUUAUCACCAGCAAUGAUGUAUCGCCUCUCUUUAUAGAGUACAACCUUGCAAUCUGCAUCCAGCUGGUUUUCGUAAAUAUUUCCCAUACAAUGAAAGGCAGUAAUACAUCAUCAAGGUGACAUAUGGGUUUUUCUCUUCUACCAAUGUUGAUUAUAUUCUAGUUUGGCUAACGGGUAACCAAUAACCACCCAUUAAGAGAGAGAUCAAGUUUUAAUUUUUUUAAAAAGAUGUAUUAAUUUGAGAAAGUAUCGAAAUAUAGGGUAUGCAAUAAUUAUAAUUGUGUGUAUUCAUAUAGUAAGUUAAGUAUAAUUUAGAUACUUUUCACAGCUUUUGUUAGUGAUAAAGUUCCAUCACUUUUGCCUGAAAUUAAAAAAAUUCCACAGCUUCACUCGUGAAGUUAAAAAACUUAAUGAGAAGAAUAAAAACAUGAAUGGAAUUGUACAAUUUGAUACUUUGAGAAUCCAGAAAAGGAGUUGUACAAUUUGUUAGCUUUAUGGUCGGUUUCUCAUAGAAACAUAUUCAUCUUCCCAUAUAUUGGAUUACACUUGAAGUCUAGACAAUUGACAUAUAAGAGUUAGACAUUUCAGGAUGAGUUAGAUUUAUUGAAAUAACAUCUCCUUUUGUCUUCCAGAUGACACCAAAAAAAAAAAAAAAUUUGCUUUUCUUUUGAGGGGUUUGUAAGUUCUUCCCUUUCCCUCCCUCCAAAAAAAAAUGGAAAAAAAUUAAGCUGGAGAAUGAGGAAGGAAAGAAUUGAACCUAAAACCUCUAAUUUUUGCAAUUUCAACCUUAGUCACUCCUUCUCAACCAGGUAAAAGGUGUGUUUUUAAAUAUCAUGUUAAUUAUUAGUCCAAAGUUCAUUGUAAGUUGAGCUUCAUAGAGCCAUAUAAAUAUGCCCAAAAAAUGUCUUUUGACAAAGCUAAGAAAAUAGUUUUAAAUAAAUUAGAAUUUAGUAUCACAUUUAAAGGUCGUCCAUAAUCUAUUUCUCUGAGUCCCAAUUUUGAAUCAUAAGUUGAAACUCGAUAACUUUGCCUAGAUCUUGAGAUGAAACAUGAUACCCUAGUUAUGAAUCAUAAGUUUAAAUUCAAUACGUUAUUCUACAUAACCAAACUCUCUAAUAAGAUAAACUUUAUGGUCAAAUGCAUAUAUGCUUGCAUAUACUUGCUAAGGAAAAACAAAGUUUAAAAGAAAAGAAGGGAAAUAGAAGCUAAAAAUGUUUGGUGCAACCAAUAGUCUAACACUAUAAAUACUAUAGUACAAAAACUACAUAUUUUCCGAUUAUUUGUCACCAAAACAUAAAUUUUGUCGAAUAGGUUUCUAGGAGAUGUGCUCACGAUCAAGAAUGAACCCCCUCCAAAAAAAAAAGAAAAAGAAAAAAGACAAAAGUAGCUAAUCACUAUAGUGCACAUUUAAAAAUUUCAUUUCCUAAUCCAGAAAUGACUAGAACUAGCGUGCUUUAAUGUGCAUAUUUACUGACUUCUUCAACAAUACAAACUAGCACCAGAAACAAUAGUUUACCUGAUUUUUCACUAUCCACUCUAUUCAUCGAUUUUGUCACUGAUUUCAUUUCUUGGUGCUUUAUAACGCUUAGAAUCUUUGUCCAGACGCCGGACAUACAAAGUCAUUGUAUGCAUGGGCCUGUGUUAACCCUAUUCUUUUCACCCUUUCUUGAACUUCUUAUAUAUUGAACUACCAAUUAAUUUCAUUUUACACCAUUCAAUUAUAUUUAAAUUCUCUCGUUGAUCCCUAAUAUUAAAGUGAAAUGUUUUAGAUCUUAAAGUAUAAAAUGUGUUUCACUUUAGUACUUGAAAUAUUAAACUUGUCCCACUUUAGUUCCCAAAACAUAAAAUUUGUCUCAUUCUAAUCCCUAAAAUAUAAAAUUUAUCUCCCUUCCGUCAAUGAUUUCAUUUAAGUGAGACAAAUUUUAUAUUGUAUAGAUUUAAAGUGUCCCAUUUUAAAAUUGAAUGACCAAAGUGAAAAUGCAAAUAUAGUUAAAGAGUAUAAAGUAGAAUUAACCCUUAAACUACACAUACAGCAUGAGACUUUGCUUCUAAAUGCUGAACUACAUGUACAGAAUCAUAUUUUUCUUAUUCUCUUUCCUUUUCUUCUUCUUCUUGUUCUUCCUUUUUUUUUUUGUGAAGCAAAAACUUAAAAUAUACAAAUUAGUGUCCAGUACACUAUGCACGCUUGAAGAUAAUCAGACUAUCAUGUAAGUUCUCUAUCUAUAUAUCCUCUUCAGAAGCAUUCUUAUAGAUUUCAUUUUUGCAUCACGGAGUUUGUAAUCCAGUACUCAUGGUAAUAAGUAUUCUAGCAACCUAACGAAAAGGAAGGAGUUAGUUAAAAGCUUAGAAGAGCCAUGGAUCCUCAUUAAUGACAUAGGUUCAAGAACUCUUGAUGAUCUUUUUUACUAGGAAAAGAUGGGAAAGAAGUUGCAUGUUAUUCUCCUCCAUUUUGUUUGCCUUCGUUUUCCACAAGUCCGUUUAGUUAUGACAGUGUGUAACAUGUGACUUACAUGCCAAUCCAUCAAGUUUUGGAUAUUUAAGCUUUAUAACCUAUGUAUCCCGAGCACGAAUCAUUCAAUAGAUUCGUGAAGGGCAACACUUCCGUAACUAUCCUAAUCGUUUUCCUUUAGUUUUGGAUAGCAUUUGCAUUUGUUAGCAAAGGUAGAGAUGGACCUUAAAUUCCCAUCGUCAAGAUUAAUAGAAAUUGUUAUUCUAAGAUGAAAUAUGAUAGUUGAGCUUGCUUUCUGUUUUUUAUAUGCUCGGUCCUAUAUUUCAAGACAAGAAAACAAGGGUUAGUAGGUGCCAAACAAGGUCCUUAUAAGGACCAUCGGAAAUUACAAUCACAUCUAGAUAUGUCUAGAGUUUUUAACGAAUCAAAUCAAGACAAAUGUUGUUUGCUACACUAACUUAAAGUAUAGUUUGAAUUCGAUUCUUUAAUUUAUGCAUAUAUGAAUGAGUUUGACUUGUUAUAUUGAAUUCAAGUUCAGCAAUUUAAACUUAACGAGUCAAACGAAAAUUUGAGUAAUACAUAGUUUAGAAUGUAAACAUGUUAGUUUUUUUGAGAAAAUAAAUAACACUAAUUUUAUAUAUACUUAUUUUUUAGAGUAAAACACAAGGUAUAUAUAAGUGUUCAUAUUUACAUUUCCUUAUUUUUCAAAUUAUGUUUGUGUUUGUUCCUAAUUUUUAUUUGAACUCAAUUUGUUCUUUAUACAAUCAAACAUUUCUCAAACUCGAAUGAGCCAAAAUGAGUCAGCCACGAACAUGUUCGACAUGUCAAUGAGCAAUCUAGGUCUCAGCCACUAAAUUCAGAAACUGAUCUAUGAAUUUUACAUACGCUUAAAUCGAAGCUAAAAUGUGUCUAAGGUAAAGAACUAUGUCCAAACCGAAAUGAAUUCAAAUACUACUUAAUAGCUAUCUGCGUGUAUUAUUAUACAGAUGAGAUACGGGUUUCUUACGCAAAGUUCAAAACAAAUAUUACUAAAAAAAAAGAAAAAUCAAUUUAGUACAACCGACAUAUUCGCUAUCAAGAGUUCAUUACUAGUUUUUAUUUACCUAUCGAUGACUCAAAGAGUAGAGCUUCAAUGGAACAUUGAUGAUGGAACUAGGGAAUCAAAUGUGACAAGUUGAACUUCAUGUCCAGUCGAUAAUUUUGUCUAAUUUUAUAGCCUCUGACAUGCCGCAUAUAUACAUAUAUACACAUAUAUAUGUAUAUACAUCUAUGCACACACACAUAUAUAUACAUAUAUUGACAUAUAUAUAUAUACAUGUAUACACAUGUAUGCAUGUCCCUAGUACUAGAUGCGAAUCUUCUCUUUCGCACAAUUUGCACACAGAACCCCAAUGUAUCGGAAGAUUCUGAGAACCGGCUAACUAUGAAACCUACAUGUAUGUGUUAUAUAUAAAUAUAUAUAUAUAUAUAUAUAUAUUCUUCUGAUCAUUAUCCAACCAGGUCAAUGACAACACUUUUCGUUGACUGCUUCCCAUAUUGUUUUCUACCCAUCUCCCACAUGCAGCAGACCAGACCAUCCUAAAAAAUAGUUCGAAUGCUCGAUCCCCUCUCCCAGUGAAUUCUUGCUAGCAAUUUGGUUCAUAUGAUUCAUAUUGAAGUUGCUUAGAAGUGGAAAAGUAACCUCAAGAACUGAAAAUUUUUGGGUUAUUUACAAACUAUUUAUAAAGUACUAGAAGGAAAUGGUAACAAGUUGGAGAAAGGUGAGAAGUUAUGAGGAGGAGAAAGGAAAAAGACCUUGAGCUACAAUACUCGAAGAGCUUGCCUGUUGCUGAGAAGACUAUGAGGGCUAUCUCAGCAUCACAAAGUGUGGAGAGCUCCUGAGCUUUCUUGAAAAGCCCUCUUCUUCUCUUUGAAAAAGUCACUUGUCUAGCUGUCAAGUUAUCAAUCCUCUUGAUCUGAAUUCUUUGCCUGACCAUUUUUCUCGACUCAGAUGAAAGAUCGGACGUCAACCCUGCACAUAAAAAAGCCAUCAGUGGUGAGUAGUAGCUAGUACAAACUGUUAAGAAGUACUCAACAAGAAGAGAGGAGGAAGACGGGAAAAAAGACACGUACUAGUCCGAUCACCUAUGGGUUUCCGGCUGCAUAAAUGUCAGUCAAAAUAGAGAAAGAGAAAAUCUUGGAAGUACAAAACAGUAUCUUCAACCAAUCCCCCCUUCUCACUAAGAUCAACAGAAAUACACUCUAUUUUUAUCAAGUACAAGUUGUUGAUGAAAUCAUGCGGAUUCGAAUCGAGGAAGAUGCCAAAUAGACUAAAAACCAAUUUUAAUUAGAUUAGGCAGGAAGGAAGGAAAAAAAACCAACCUGCAGAAAGAAUGCCAAUCAAGAUCAACCCCAAAGCUUCCUCCUAGGAAGAGAUAAGAGAUUAGAGAGAAAAAGGAGGAUGAGAGGAGGAGGAGCAGCAGGAAUAUGAGAAGACCAACUAGAUUUGGAAUAAAGGCCAAGAAAGCAUGAAAAAGACCCAAAAUGUUCCAAAUUACAGAAGUGGAAACAUGAAAGCUAUGGGGAUAAAAAAAUUCUCCUUGAAAUUACCUUUCUAGGAUAUUGGUUGUGGUGCUUUUGGAGGAUCCACACCACCAGAUACAGCUCCACUAAUGGCGGACAGAGUGAGAGAAGACAAGAAGAGAGAACUAGUACAAGUAAAACUAAAUAUGAUGAGGAAUGGAGUACUGCCUUCUACUUUCUUUUUUUUCCUUGUCAAUCUGAUGUCUGAAGCUUAACUCAACUGGACAGACCCUUGAGAGGAUUCCGGUAUUCCACUUUUGGCCAAACAAACUGUCAAUUUUAUCUAUUUUUUAAUGUAAUUUUUCCAGGAUGUUGGAGUCAAAGUCGUCUGCUAAAAGAACCAUUCUUUAUUUGGAGGUCUACCAUCAAUACUAAUUUUGUUGGAGUCAAGAAAAAAUGUUUUAUAGAGAAAAAAAAAUGGAAUAAAGCUAUUGAUGUAUUUCUUGUUUGCAAGCGUACCUUUUAUAAAUAAUUAAGAUGUAUGCUGUAUCAUUUUCAAGAUACAAGAUUAUUUUUUGUGAAACUAUAUGCACAAGCAAUAAUGCAAUUCUAAGUCACCAACAGAAUAUAAAAAAAAAAAAAAAAAAAAACAGAAAGUAUGAGAAGUGAGGUCAAGAACUUUAGCUAAGUUGUUACCCAAAUCGAGAGCAUAUAGCAACCCUCACCGUACUUUUAUACAAUAUAAAAUAAAAUAAUAAAGAAAUAAUUCAGAUCUUACAAAUUAUAUUUCAUUCUUUCAGAAAAAAUGCCCAUUUUAUUGACCUUUUGAAAUCAAAUCGUUGGUGAAUGCUUUUCUUGACGUCUUACUAUUCAUUGUACAACAAUUUAAAGUCACAGUUAUGGCAUGUAAUAGACUUUACAAAAACAAUCUGAGAAGAGUUUAUAUUCCCGUGUUUCCUUUGGGCUCUCAUUAAAAGUGUAGUUGUUUCAAAAAAAAAUACGAGAAUGGAAUGCAAGAGUGCAAUAAAUUGUAUUUAAAUGAUAACUUUGAUGCGAAAAUUGAAAUAUGAAUUGCGUGGAGAGAGUCGUGGCCAAGGGCAUCGUUUGUCUCAAAGCUAAAUGAUACACAUUUACCUCAAAUAUGCCUUAAAUAUGUUCAAAAUUCAAUCCUAUGGUCUCCAUACAUGUUUACCUAUUCCUAAAAAACCUUGGACCGCUAUUUUUAUGAACUUUAUUCUGAUCUAAGAGGAGAAAUGAUAGUAAUUUUGUUGUGGUUGAUAGAUUUUUCAUAAUGACACAUUUUAUUCAUUGCCAUAAAAUAGAUCAUGCAUCUCAUGUUGCUAAUUUGUUCUUCAAAGAAAUCAUUGAUUUGCAUCGUAUGCCAAUGACAAUUGUGUUUGAAAAAAAAUAAAUGAUGAAGGCAAAGGUCAAGAGCACGUGGAACAAGUUAAAGUUCCAAUUGGACCAGUCGCAAGAGCUCGAACGAAGAGGUUGCGUGAUGAGCUUUCAAAGACUGGUUCGUGGUGGUGUUCAAAGUUAAGAAAUCAUCCCAAAAGUCAUUGAAGGUCUUGAGAAUAAAAUAUUGGAAACUUGUUCAUCCUGUUCAAGUAGGGGAAGAGUCAGAUGAAGCAAACCCUAGUUAUAUGCAUUAAGUUACUAAAUUGUUAAACACUAAAUCUGAUAUAUUUAAAUGCAAAUCACAUUAUGAUAAAUGAAUAAAUUAUCACUUAUUAUUUGGAGUAAAUUUGAUUUAUAAAAUUUAAUGUCACUUAAUUAAUUCAUAUAUUCUAUUUUUUUAGUUAUGAAACACUUUUAAAUAUGUUAAAAUUUAAGUUCAUUAAAUUUAAAGGUGUGUUUCAUAAAACUAAAAUCUAAAAUUUGAAACCGUUAAGUGACUAAAUUGUUACGUACUAAAUACGAUACAUUUGAGUACAUAUCACUUUAAGUGAUAUGUGAAUAACUUAUUACUUUUUUUUGAGUAAAUUUUGUCUAGAAAAUUCAGUGUCAUUUAAUUAAUUCAAAAUUUUUAUUUUUUUUUGUUAAUUAACAUGUUAAGAUCUUUAAAUUUAAGUACUGAAUUGGGUUAUUAAAUAAAGUCUAAGUACUAAAUUCGGUUAUCAAACACGACAUUAGUGCAUGUAUUUAUAUGAUAACUUAGAUGCGAUUCUAAUGUAUUAAAGAUAGAAUUUAUAAAAAAAAAUCCUUACGAAAAAACUUCAUAUAAGUGAUGGAAAGAAUCCGUUGCUUAAUUGAGGAUUUUUUUUUCAAUAGGCGCUCAUUAGACACCUCUGAGUUUAAAUUCAAUUUAGCAGUUAGAUGCACAUGUUUCAUUUAUGAUCCCUUUGACUUAGCCACUUUUUCAAUUUAUUUUCACCUACCCAAAAAGUUGAUAGCCACUCGUAACCCUCACCUAUUUAGCAACUAAAUCCCUUAACUAAUACUCCACUUAAGCACUUUGUGAGGGUGGUGAGAUAUUUAAAAAGGCAGUUCGAGAUGUCCUUUUUAGAAAAAUAAAUAAAUAGAGAAACAUGAAUGGUUAAGUGAUGGUGGUGGUGCCAUGCCAUCCGUACACUGCAAAAGCUGGAGCAUGUCGUGUCACAGGAUUCAUGGCAGCACCCUGAAGGAGACAUACUGCUGUGUUAUUAUUAUUUUUUUUUGUCGAUACAGACGUGUCCAGAUCAAUUCUUACGGGGCCUAACUAAUCCCUUGCGGCUUGGGGCCGGCGCCCUAACCCGAUCCGAACAUGUUAAGUACGUAGAGGAAUCCAGCGGAGCGGAGACUCGAACUUGUGACCUCAAGAUUCACUGAUGAGAGGCGCUGCCGCUGGACCAUUCAUGCGGGCGACAUAUUGUUGUGUUAUUAAUAUGGUUUUUUUUAUAGAAUUAAAUUAUAAUACCCCUCAGGCAUUGCUUGCCACCAUUUGUUGACACUUGUACGACCCAGUAAACUAAUUACAGCGCAACGGAUCCUUUAUACCACACUCUGUCUCACAUCCUAUCCCAUUCCUUCUAAUCUUGUCAAGUGUCCCUUUAUAAACCAAAUUCUGAAGCAAUCAACUCGGACCAUAUUUAAUUAGUUAAUCGAUUAAUCGGGCAAAAAAACUUAAUCUCUGUAACCGGUUAUCAACUAAAAUAAAAAUUCAAUCAUAAAAUUAGAGAUUAAACAAGGGGAAAAAAACCACGAAACCUGAGUCGUCAUCUCCACCAUACCCUUCGAAACAAAAAGAAUCAGAUAUCACUCCUUCUCAAAAGCAUCUUUUGGGUGAAACUCAUCAUCUCAUCAGCGUGUUUCGGGAAUGGCAAUUGAAUGACACUCACCACCUGUUCAUUGAGAAAUUCAAAUUCAUGAUGAUUCUUUGCUUCUUCAUUGAAUAAUAAUUACCCAUAUUUUAUCCAGCAAAUCGUUGAGAAAAUAAAAAGGAUCCAUGAAAUUAAGAACUAUCUUGGACGCAGCAGGCCAGAAAUUAACACUUUCGGCAUUUGGGAAAUACCAAUGCAUAAGAAAAUUGCCACUCCAAAACCUUUUCUGCUAAACGAAAGCUAGUCUUCAACUGAACAGUGGGAGUAUGUGAAUUUUCCUUCAAAUAAUUACUCUUUUCCUCAAUGGGCAACUCAAAGAAUUUAUGCAAAGGGAUUGAUGGGUUCGUCUUGUUUCAGUCUUUAAGUUUCGGGAUUUCUUUUUUAAAAUCUCUGUUGAUUGAAGAUCUAUUUGCUUAAGAUGUUUUUUGUUCAAAAAUUUUUGUGCUUUUGUGUUUGUAUUAUACCUGUUGAAUUGUGAGUGAUAUCUGAUGAGAUGAUGAGUUUCACCCGAAAGAUGCUUUUGAGAAUGAGUGAUAUCUGAUUCUUUUGUUUCGAAGGGUAUGGUGGAGAUGACGACUCAGGUUUCAUGGUUUUUUCCCCUUGUUUAAUCUCUAAUUUUGUGAUUGGAUUUUUAUUUUAGUUGAUAACUGGUUACAGAGAUUAAGUUUUUCUGUUCUAUUAAUCGGUUAACUAAUUAAAUAUGGUCCGAGUUGGUUGCUUCAGGAUUUGGCUUAUAAAGGGACACUUGGCAAGAUUAGAAUGAGUAGGAUAGGAUGUGAGACAGGGUGUGGCAUAGAGGAUCCGUUGCGUAAUUACAGCCAAGCAUUUCUUGCUCUCAGCGAAUUGUCCAAUACGAAUUUCAGACAAAAUGACUCGAAAGAAGUUUUCUGUUUUCGGGCACUAUUUGUUUUAUUAGUGAAAAAUGGUCGUUUGACUAAAAAAAAAAAAAAACAUUUGGGCGACUCAACUAUAGUAAGAAACAUGCAAUGUUUCAUAGCUCGUAUAAUUUAUAAAAAAAAAAGUACACAUUUUGGUAAAAAACAUAUGUAUGCAUUAGUUGAGCGGUCACUUUGACUAAACAAAGUGAUGAAUGAUCAAAACAUGUCUGAAUAGUUUAAUAACCAUUUGCUCAAUUCCUCAAACUUAUAUGGAUAAUGAACUAAAAACAUCUUAUACUACUUUUAGCCAUUAAAAUUCUUAGGAGAAUGAUGAGCCUGUUUGGUAAACAAAUUUUGGGCUAAGUUUGUCCGUUGUAAGUUUAUGACAACUUUAACUAUAUAAAUUUUAAAGAACAUCUCAAAAAUUUUAAACUAUAUAUUUCAAAAUAUAUAAAAAUUUAUACAUUUUUAAAAAAAAUUUCUACAACUUCUACAGUAAGUUACAAUAAAAUUUUAGACAAACAUCAAAAAAAUUCAUUUGCCGAAUGAAGCCAAUAUCUAGUACAAACUCCUAACCGAUAGAACCUUACCGCUGUUUAUUUCAUUAAAUGACUGAAUCAUCCUUCAUUUCAUUCGCAGUAUACCAUUUGUUAUUUUUAAACUCCAAUUAAUCCACUUAAACUUCUAAAUCAUGUGAAUCUUUCCAGAUUAGCUGGAAAUACUCCAUCGGCCCUAUUCCCUUGUCACCAUCUCUCCACUAAAGCACCUAACGACAACAAUAGCCUUCCUAAUCUGCACGUAUUUUCGAGGCAAAUUAUUCACGGUGUAAGGCUCAAUUAUAUACAACAUGAAUUUUGGACGUCUUCAUCUAAAGCACUAGAAGGCAUCAAUUUGAGUGCUUGAGUAUAGAAGGGAGGAGGUUUAAAGCUCUAUUUGUUUUGUGCUUAAGUUAAAAGGGAAAUCUAGCUAGAAGCAAACUACUCCACUAAUUUGAGAGAAAAAUACAAUUUCUGUUAAUUAACAAGUUGAUUUAAUUGUCCCUCGGUACAUUUAACCAAGAAAGAAAGAAAAAACAAACUGUCAAGACAACAAGAUUUAAACCCCCCCCCCCCACCCCUUUCCCCAAAAAAAAAAAAAAAGAGUAAGUAAGUAAACUGUCAAUAUUACAUCAGUUUUAAAAGUAAAGAAUCUAACAAAAAUUUAGUGGUCAAAAUAUUAAACUUUAAUGAUUUAAUCGUGUGGUUAAGUGUCAAACUACAUGUAUUUGUGAGUCUUGUGACUGGUUACGUUAACAUCCAAGUUGCCUAGGUGGUCCAAUAUGUAGGAUGUUGAUAUUUUUAGGCCACGGAAUGCAGUUGUCUUGCCCUUAUCAAUUCUAGGAAAAUUACUAUUGUUUCCCAAAGCCAAGGCCAUUCCUAAUUCAAUCACGAACCAAAUACUACUGUAAUUUAAGUUGGAACCAGACACUAUAAUAGUGCAAAAAUUGGAGUAGUUUUUAGGCUCCAUUUGAUUGGAUUUUAAAUCUCUUAUGCGUCGUUAAAGACGAUUUUUUUUUUAUACUAACAGGUUUAAAUAUUUUUUAUUCUUCUAAAAUAGGUUUCGAUGAAAAUUGUAGACUAUCUUUUGGUUAUGCUCUCUCUAUAUAGUAUAUAUUUGUAUAUUUACUCGUGUAUGAAUGAGAGGAUUUGUUGUGAUGUUAAAAUCAGGGGCAGACCCAAGUGGUUCAAAAAUCAGAAAUUAUACGUUAACAAGUUUCUAUAAUUAUUUUCAAUUACAUUUAUAUUUAUACACCUACAUUUUAUAAAAUUUUAUUUUACUGUCAUAUUGCGCCCUGGAAAUACUGAAGUUUUUCACUGUCCCAGUUGAAAGGAAAAAAAUACCUAUUGAACAAAGAAGAAAUUGAAAUUUUUUUUUUUUAAAAAAAAACUAAGCACAACAAGAUUAAUAUAACCUUUAUCUCUUUUUUUUUUCCUUUUCUAUAACAACAAUUAAAACUUAAGUCAAUUUUUAUUGGCCCAAGUGAUUGUCGCCCCCCACUAAUCAUAGGAUCUUAGCUGUGCAUUGUCUAAAAUUUAAAAAUUUUGAGUUGUCACAAUCUACACGUACAGUACUUUUCACCAAAAGAAUAAAAAAAGACGUAGUAAGGUAAUCUAGGCAGGCAAAUGUGUCGGUCGCUGAGGUGCUUUGUUACGGCACGGUGGAACGAUAGUCCGCAGGAUGUACAUUUCGUUUGUGCUGCAAAACAAACUACUAUUUUUCUACACGUUACGUAUAUAUAUAAAAGCAUUUUAUUUCUUGUUGAAGACAUUAGCAAUUUUUUUUAUACUGAUAUAAAAUAAAAGAAAAUUGAUGAGUUCGAACCCAGUUACUGUCAAAUCAUGAGUGUGUUUGGAUAGUAAAUUAUUUGAAAUAAUUUUAUGAAAAAAAUACUAUAAUAUUUUUUUUAUAUAAUAUAUAUGAGAUAAAAAUGUGAUUAAAAAAUUUGUUGAUGAUCCAAGUAAGUCAAUAUAUAUAAAUAAGAUGUAAAUAAUAUAUACAUUCCAAACACACUGAAUGGUCUGUUUGGAUUGUGAAUUAUUAGAGAUAUUUUUACUGUAGCACUUUUUGUGAUGUGAUGUAUGUGAGAUAAAAAGGUAAUUGGGAAGGUAAAAAUGUGCAUUGGAAAUUGUAAUGAUGAUAUAAGCAAAUAAAUUUUGAGAAAUAAAGCCCAAUCCAAACAAAGCGUUCAUGUCCCCCAUAACCAAAAAUUGCUUGCAAUUAUCAAAUGAACCAACUUACGUUGCUGCAUAAACAUUAGCAGUUUCCUUAUAAAGGUUACUCCCCCAAUAUCUGUUGGCCACUUACAGGUGAAAGGCUGCUGAACCAAUGAAGCGGCAGAAGUGACUACUUCUGCCUUUCAGACUCAGUGACGUGAGUGAAUGACUGGUGCCCACCGCACGGCCACUGCUGUGCGAACAUUGGGAAGUAUACUCAUUGUUCGGUGGCUCAAGUCUUCGAAUGGGAUUAAAAAUAUCUAAAGCAUCAUUAUGUAGACAUGAUCGUCCAGAUAUCAACUCCCAAGUCUCCAAUAAUCAUUGAUUAUUUAUUUCUCCCUCCAUCCUAAUUUAUUUAGUAAUGUUUCAUGAAUUUAAUUUUUUAAAAAUAGUGAUUUAAUUGUGAUGUUUAUAUUUUUUUUUCAAUUUUAUUUCUAUAAAUUCAAAUUUUAAAUUUGAAUGAUAAUACGAAGAUUAUUAGAAAGAAUGGCUAUAUUGGAAAGAAAAACUAAAAAGUGUCUUGACUUUUUUUAACAUGAUAAAUGUUUUGGAGCACCUCUAAAAUGGGAAGCAUGACACUUUCAGUAGGACGGAGAGAGUAUUAUUAUUAUUUUGUCUUGAGAUUAUAAAUUUAGAAUCCAGGUGAAUCCAUGGCUGGCCGCUUAUUAUAAGAUCUGUGCAUCUCUUUAACCGAUGAAUUACUAUAGGAUCAUGUAUCCAUUUAAGACUUUCGUGCAUAAUUAAAAUGGCCCUAUUAGUUCGUAAUCCGACUACAAUUAUUAUUAUUAUUAAAAUUAAUUUUACAUAUACUGAAAGUAUAUAUAUAUAUAUACACGAUAUAUGUAUAUACAUAUAAAUUGAAUUUUAAAUUUAAAUUCAAAUUAAUUAUUUUGUAUCUAAUGAUGCUAGUAUAUAUACUAUUGAUACAUAAAAAUUUAAUCUAUUUUUAAAUCAUUAUAAUCACCUUUACGCUGUUGAGCAUGCAUUUUCUUUCUCUUAUACAAAAGAUUCAUUAGUAAAAAGUUUCUCAUAAGUACUACAUUGUCAUAUUUUUAGUAAAUCUUCUCAACUCUUUGGGUGGUGAUAGACCAAAUGUAUUGGGCUAGUUUCUGCAAAGGUAUGUGAGGCAGGGGACCUGCCCACUCAGUUAGUCCCCCAACUCCCCGCGAGGCUUCAAUACCUAGGAGACUUUGAGAGCAGUAACCAACCGAUUGCAGCAAUCUCAUUCGUGAUCCAAUAUGAAUACCGACAAGCCGUUUGGUUCAUUGGUUAUGAGGGUACCCAAUGGGAAUAACCAUUAAUGAUACUUAUUGAUGGCAUUUGGUACCCUACUAUGGCGAUGAAUCAAUGACAGUGAAAAACCUAGUAAAACUUUUCUAUCACCCCAUUUCUGAGUAAAUGGGACACUUUUGGUACCAACAAAAUAAAAUAAAAAAAAACCAUUCCCGAUUACCGAUUGUUCCACAUUUAAGUGGCUGGUUUCUAAAAAAAAUCCGGGGCUGUGCACAGUGCACCCGUCUGGUGGUGCAGUGGUGAUUCAGUUCCUUCCGGAUUAUUCCUGAACCUCUUCCCCUUAAUGUAGAAUAGAUUAGAUUUACCAUCUCUGAAAAAAAAAGUACCGAUUAUUCCACAAAAAAAGGAUUUCUCUCUUUCUUCAUCGUCAUCUCAUUUGACUCAAUAAUGUCUCUCUCUUUCUCAUCUAUUUCUCUCCCCAUUCCCUCUGCGAACUUCAUUCAAUUUUGUCUACCAGAUUCUCAACUCUUGUAGUUUUACAUUACGCGCUAACCCACCUUCUCUCUCAUAUGAAACAACAAGAGGUAGAAAGAUGGUUGGGGUAUAUUUUUCUGCUGGUGUUGGGAGUGAUUGAUUUUAAAACCUUCAAUUGAUGGUAGAAAAAAAUUAACUAUUCAUGGAAAAUCAAAUUUGUUGGUAGAAGUUGAUGUUGAUCGCAGUAGUUUUUUAGAUUAUGAAAAUUUUAAAAGAUUUUAUGCUUUCAUUGAAAACUAAUAGGUGGAGAUGAAUUGGAGAUUGAAAAUAUUUCGAACUAGGCAAAGAAUAAAUUGAUGAUAUGUUAGUAGCUGUUGGUGGCGGCUGACUGUUGUAGAUCCAUUAGGAAGUAAAAACAAGAAUUAUGGUGAAGUAAAAAAAUUGAUUUUACAUAUUAAAAAUAAUAACAAAAAAUUCAUUAGAUUUUCAUUGCACCGACAAAAGGUUUGGCCAAAACCCAUUGCGAUUGAAGGCUCUCUUAAUACUCAUUGCCAUUACCAUUACGAAGUACCAACCAAACGGGUGGUGGCAAGCUUCAUUUGGGAGUUUAUCAUUGGAGGAUGAAAAAAAUGGAAAUGGAAUUAGCAAAAGAUAAACUUUUAUACAUUGACAAUGUAUACCCGAUGAAUCUAAAGUUAUGUCAUAUGUGCAAAAUUUAGAAUUAAAAUUCAAAAUUUACACAUGUGUUAUAUAUCUAAAUUUCCGAGUUUAUAAACUUUCAAUAUAAAGAAGGAUUCAUCUAGUAACAAAAUGUUGGUUUUUUUCCCCUCUUAUAAUGAAACAAUUGGGUAUAAGAGGAAAAUAUUAUCACCAAAAAGUUCUCUAUUUGAACUCAAAGGAAACUAGAAAAUAUACCAUCAACUUUACUCGUAACGAGACGGGCAAAGCAAAGUGCAAAUACAUUAUUGCUAAUUUCUCAUGCCUCGAACUCACAAAUAUCCAAGAGCUCAUCUUGAAAAAAGAAUACUUAUAUUCUUUCUUGGGGUUUAAAAAUGGUUAUCCAGCAAAUUACGUAGUUAAACUACACUUAACAGACACCAUAUGUUGUGAACUUGCCUUCGACAACUACAAAUGAGUCCAAAACAAUUGGUGCAACAUCAAUUCUACCUUGGCAAAAAAUAGAUACUCAAUUCGUAAGUUCUAACUUGUCAUAUCAUCAAACAUACAGCCAAUUUGAUCUCGUCGGCCAAUUGACAUGACAUGAUUAAUCCCUUUUCUCUUCGUCAAUGGAAGUAUGAAACUAGUUUUUAAGCGAUCCAUUACCAAAAGAAAAACGAAAAAAAUUUCUCUGCAUCCCUGUUGAUAAACAGCCAAACAAGGCUGAAGUGUGGGUGGCAAAAUCAACCUGGAAACCUCCUUCGACUUUUGACUCGGAGCUUUAAGUUUGUUUAGAUCGCAAUUUUUCUUAAAAUUUUUUUUUAUGAACAUAUUUUUUGAUUAUUUUAUAUACAUCAAAUUAUUAUAAUAUAUUUUUUGCUACAAAAAUACUAGAAAAAUUAUUUAUCUCGUAUAUAUUAAAGUAUUACAAUAUGUUUUGGUUACAUGGAGGUUAGAGAAACGACAAUUGAAUCUAUUUUCUACAAAAAAAAAACUUCAAAAAAUAACUCUGAAUGUCGGGUGUACCGGUUACCGUUGUCAGAAUCUACACCCCAAGUGCAAUUAAAGCACAUUUUACACGCAUUUGAACACCCUCAUCAAAUUACAAAACUCCCCCUUUAUCCCUACCCAAGAAAAUUAUUUUAAAAUCCUUCCCUUACAAAACACGUGUACCUUCUUGUCCACCCGAAAAAUCACACUACCCACUUUAUGCUCGGCAGAAGUCUAUCAGUAGUGCUCUUCACUUCCCCAGAACAAAACAAAACAAAAAUAAAAAUAAAAUACAAUAAAAAUGGAGCUUCCAUUUUUCACCACCACGGCCGCCACCAGCAGCAGCAGCAGCGCCACCACCAGAGCGGAAGCUCUACGGUGGUUAUCUAUAGCCGAGAAGCUUUUAGCUGGACGUGACCUCGUGGGUAGCAAAUCAUUCGCGGCCCGGGCAAGAGAAUCCGACCCGACCCUUUUGUACGCGGACCAAAUAAUCGCCGUUGCCGACACCCUCCUCUCCGGAGAUAAGCGGAUCAACAACCUCCACGACUGGUAUUCUGUGCUGCAGCUCACCCCUCAGCAGUCCCGCGACGCCGAGCUCAUCGCCGGUCAGUACCGGAAGCUCGCACUUCUUUUAAACCCGCAGAAGAAUAAGCUCCCCUUUGCCGAUCAAGCCUUCACACUUGUGGUUAAUGCCUGGCAAGUAUUAUCUAACCCCUCUAGAAAGAACAUGUACGAUAGCGAGCUGAUGGCUCACCUCAGAGUCAACCCGAUGAGUCCUGUCCCUCCUGGGUUUAAUCCGGCUAGCCCUAGGGAACAUGUUAACUAUCAGCCAUUUGAGAUAAAUUUUCAGGUGAUGCCUCAGCAUGCAAUGAGCAAUCGAGAACAAGUGAUGCAGCCCACCCAGCCCCAACAUGGGACGGUUAGAGAACCAACCCGGAGUCAGAUUUUACCCCCGCAAAAUCUGACUCGUCAACCCAUCAGUCAAAAUUUGCCGCAGCAGAAUCUGAGUAGAGAGCAAGGGAGGCAACCCCAGCCCCCGCCUCAACCCCAGGCCCAGCUUCCACCUCAGCCCCAGCCCCAGCCCCAGCCCCAGCCCCAACCCCAGCAGCAGCAGAGGAAAGAUAAUUUGAUGGGUAACAAUGCAACCCAUGAUUUUUCUAGUAGUAUUGGCAACGCUAGUAAUACUAAUGAUAACAAUAAUGUUCAUGAUGAUGAUGUUGACGUUGGUAAUAAUAGUGACGUUAAUCGAAGAGACGAGGAGAGGGGAAAGGAUGGAUCAUCAGAUGGUGGGGCAUUGAGUUUCUGGACAGCAUGUCCUUAUUGUUAUUAUAUGUACGAGUAUCCUAGUGUUUAUGCGGAUUGUACCUUGAAAUGUCAGAAUUGUAGGAAGGCGUUUCAAGGGGUGGAGCUUCCAUCACCACCCCCCAUUGUUGAUGGCCAGGAUGCAUACUUUUGUUGUUGGGGAUUAAUGCCAUUGGGGGUUUCCAUGGAGAUUUUGGAGAGGAACAGGGGGAAGGGUGGAAAAUGGACUCCAUUUUCGCCUAUGUUUACUUGUCCAAAAGGGAUGGGAAGCAAUGGGAAUGCUGGGAAUUGGAAUGUGAAUAAUGGGAAAAAUAAUGCUGCGGGACCGAGGAGUGGGAAUGUGGGUAGUAAAAAGAAGAGUUCAGGUCCAAGAGUUUAUGUAGAUGAUGAGGAUGUGUUUUUGGAAUAUUCGGAUCCAAGUGAGGAAUCUGAUGAUGAUUGGCGAACUGAAAUGAGGAAGAAGAAAGCAAAAGGCGAGAAGAAAAUGAAGGUUGUGAAAAAUAAAGGAACAGGAACACCUGGUCGCAGAGGCAGACCACCAAAGGUUGACAAGGGGAAGAAUCCUAAAGGGGAGAGUGAGAAUGUGCGAGAAGGCUUGGUUGUUCAAGAGGGUGUUGAAGUGCCUAAUGCACCCUCUGCAGAGUCAAGUAAGAAAGUGGCUGCUACUUGUGGAAGGAGGCAUUCUGCGAGAGUUGCAAAGGACUUUGGGAAGUUAGACUUGAAUGUGGAAUUUAAUAAUGAGGUUGAAGAGCCUGCACCAAGGGUGGUCCAAGGAAAUGGAACAGGCCGUGGGGAGGAGGAUAUCAUUGAGGGGAGUGGUUUUUUUGAGGGUCUGGAUGAGUUCCUAAGCACUCUUCCAAUACUCAACGUUGUAGGUGAUGAUAAGGUCAAGGCUGCUUAGUGAAAUUUGGAUCUAUCCUGUUGUAGUUUUAGCUACUUUUUUGUUUUUUUAAUGCCUGUAGAACUUAAUGAUGUAGAGCAACUUGGGCAUUUUCCUUUAUUUUUCUUGUGUAGUCUAAUUGAAUGUACAUUCAGCAGCAGGAUGCUUUUUAUGGUACGGUUUACAGCUUCAGAAUCGAGCUGUUUAAUGUUUAAGAACUAUUUUCGUUUUUACUUAGUUUUAAAAUUUUGCCUCGGCAAGUUGCCAUUUUACGUGCUUGGUUUUCGAUAUGCAAAAAUGCAAUAUUAAUAUGUUAUGUUCUUCAAAUGUUCUAAUUGAUUUUCUUUUGCACCUUGAAUUCUGAUAUUAAGAUGUGAAAAUGGAAUGGAAGGAUCUGCGAAUCAUUUCUCAAGCCCCUUAACUCAUUUUUGUCAUGGAUAUUGCACCUACUCUCUCUUUGUUUCAGAUGACCCCAUAUUAUCUCCUAAACCUUUGAGAGAAUAAAAUUCUCAACCUUGCAGUCAAAGGGCUUCCGGUCUCUGGUUGACGCAUGUCACGUAGGACUACACAACAACGAGAGGAUGUAAUGAUAAAAGAUAAAGGUAGUUUGUUCUAUUCUCGUCUACCUAGCUAUGAAAUUCUCGUGUAUGCAUCACUGAAAUUAUUAUAGACUUGACAAUGUCUUCCCAUCCUGCAAAUUGGCCUUUUCAAAUAAUACUCUAUCCGAACACACUCUUUUGCUGAAGAUAAAUGUCCUUGUCUGUAAUGAAAACUCUUUUCUGCAGUUGAUGUUGCAAUAAGGUGAAGUUCCUCCACUACGUGCUUUCCUGAAUCUUAUUCUUUUCUAUCUUUACAUUUGGCUUGUGGUCAACAGAUUGCUUUACGCAUUCUUCAGAGCCCAAAGGGAUUUAUGGGGGGCUUUUUAACCUGUGGUUUGCUAUCUGCAAAUGUCUAGAUGUCUGCCUAUUGCUGGUAUGCACUUCUCUAGUCUUUUUUCUGUUUAUUUGAAUGAUAAAGGCAUGGCACUAUAUUAUCAUUGUUGUAGUUGUCUCUGAGUGUUUUCUUGCAGGGAUCUGUUGGUCUUGUGUAUGAUGGAGAUGGUAUUUCACCUUCUUUGCGGUAUAAUAUCAAUUAUUUUUGCAUAUACAAGAUAGUUUCUUUCACUUGAUCGUGCUGUUCAUAUGAAUGCCAGUGAUUGAUUUACUCUUGCAACUGCACUUUCAUUUUCUUCUUGCUUUCAUGAAUCAACUUAGUAGAGGAAAUUGUGAAACAGUAGCUAUCAGCGAAGCAGCGAGAACCAAACCAAUUUGAGAAGGGAAAUGGAGUUCCUCUCCUCUUUUUCUUAGCCCACUCUCUUUUGCUUGAUUUUCAUCAUGUUUUGCCCUGCUGCAUUUGAGAACCAUAUUUUGGCAAACAAAGAGUGAAAUUUGUCAGCCCCCCACUGCACCUAGCUAUAGUCAUGAAGGCAUUGGAUCGUAAACCUGACAUAGGCCAUCUGAAAUCUGCUAACUCGAUGGUUACUUUUGCUUCUCUCAUGUAUUGAAAUGAGUUCUUAUUAGCUGUUGUUGAAUCUGUCAUUUUCGUACUGCUGAGCUGCAAACUACAUAGCAUGUCUUACGUGCCGCUAUCUUUCGUUCUUAUGGAAACACUGCACAUUUGGAAUCUGGAGGUUGGAGCAUACUUGUUGAACCAUUUAGGAUUAAUACUGCAUGGUGACAAGCUUGCUACUGCUGUUUGACAACAAUUUAUGGAGUAAAUUAUUUGUCAGUGAUCUUAUUAGCAAGUACAACUUCUCAGACGGUCCUUGCCUUUUCCUUGUGCUUGAGUAUUUUGAUCCUAAAUUUCUCUCUCGUUUAUACUCUACCAUCUGUAGAGGUUACAGCUAUCUUCUCGUUGGCAUUUUCCACGACUUAGGUUUUAUCCGUUCUCAAGAAUCGGGGACAAAGUUGAAACUUUUGAUACGUCAAUCAGUGUUUCAUGCUGAAGGAGCAUAUUCCGAAGUCAGAAAGUGGUAAACAUUUAUUCCCAAACUGUUGCAGAAGGAUGCAAAAUCAUGAACCAUGUUGAUUGCCGGAGACAAAAGCAGCCAAGGAGGGUUUUGUAUUUCUAAGCAUGGUGAUGUGCCUAUGUUAUUCAUGGUUUAGUUGGAGAUGAAGGGGAAACAAUUAAGCAACUAGAGUGAUGUUGGAGAUGAAAGGGAACAUUUAAGCUCAUUUAAGAAAAUGAGCUGAUAAUGAGGACCUUCGGAACCUAGAAAUUAUAAUUAUCUUCAGAAUAGUUUAGACUUCUCACUCAUUCAAAACUUCAUCUUUGCGCCAUAAAUGUGACUUUAUUUAUGGUGAUGUGCCUACUUUGUUCAUGGUUGAGUUGGAGGUGAAAGGGCACAUUCAAGCAAUUGGGGUGAGGUACUCCUAACAAGAGGUUGAACCAAGAAAAUGAGAUGAAUUUUGGGACCUUCAGAGCCUGGAAAAAAUAAUUAUCUCAGGGAUAUCGAGAUGAUUGCAGAGUACUGUUUUUCACUGCUUCAUUCAUUAAAAAAUUCGUCUUUGCGCCAGGUACUCGUCCAAACAAGACAAAAUAUUUUUUGCCUCCUGACUUGUGAGGCUGCACGGACGUAAGACUAGUUUUUUCUCCUUGCCUUUUGUUGAGAUUAUAAAACGUAUUUCUUCUUUUCAUUUAGCAUAGGAAAUUCAUUUUCUACCGAGCAAUUUGGUUAAUUAUAUUAUAAGUUGAUUUUCAGAAACAUGUAUUUCCAUUUCAAUAAGAGGAGGUAAAGCCCAAGAGAAACAUCGUUCGGAAGCAAGGGAUAUCCACAUAAGAUGGAAUGGACUGUGCCCCACAAAUUUGUUCUCUCUGUCGUUCCUGGACUUAUCCACGGAAGCUGGCAGCAAUCAACGGAAAAUCCAUUCCCGCCUGUAAAGGUACUCCCCUAUCAUGAUUCUUAUGAUUAACAUAACGGAUAAUUGCGGAAACCUACCCUGAGGUUUUUAAUAAUUUCACUUGGCUUCCCUAAAGUUUUAAAAAUUACACUUACCUCCUUUAUACAUUUAAAAUGACAAUACUAACCUUAGUAUUUUUAAUAAAACUCUCUUGCUACCAUAUUUAUGCAAAGGACAGAUUUCAUAAUUUUUUUUUACAUUUUUACUUCUUUUUCAUUUCUUUUAUAUUUCAUUAAAAGUAUAGAAGAAAUAUCAAUGCAAUGUUGUCCAUAAUAUCUAUUCAAAUUAAACAUUAAACUAGUAAUAUGUUUUUGAUCAUUUUUAAUAUCAUUCAAUUUUUUUGUAACUCUUUUUUUUUUUGGUAUCAAAAUCAAGGAAAAGUCAACAAUGAUUAAAAACAAAUAACCCAAAAUCACUACUAAAUUAUGAUAGUUCUAUCAAUAAACUAGUCCAUAAACUUUUGUUAAAAAAAUAGUCCAUAAACUUUAAAAGAAACAAAUUAGCACUUUUUUUCUAUCUCAAAAAGAAUUUAUAUUCCCAAUAAAGCACUAUGAAAAAUAUCCUAUUUUAGCAAAAGAUUUAUUGCAAUAGUUGAUUAUUAAAUAACAAAUAUUGCCAUGAAAAAUUGACACUCUUUUUGUUUUGAAGAACAAAUUGGACUUUGUAAAAUAAGUGCAUUUUAGGAUAUUCAUUAAAUUUUUUACUCUAUUCUAAAGUUUGGUUAUCAAAGUAUCAAAUCAAGGGAGGUAAGUGUAAUUUUUAAAACGUCAAGGGAACCAAGUGAAAUAAUAAGAAACCUCAAGGGAGGUUUCUGAAAUUAUCCCUAACAUAAAAUACUAGCAAUUUAAACAAAUCAAUCUGUUUAAAAAAAAAGAAAAGAAAAAGAAAAAGGGGUACCCUUUGACUAAGGAGAGGCUUCUAUAAUUAGUAAGAAAGAUACAACGUGUACAGUACGCCUCUGAGCUUGUACCUUGUCUAGCAGAGUCCGGUUUGCCACAAACAUGUAAGAUGAAGAGACAGAUAAAAACCCAAGUUACGCAGGCCUGUAGCAGUCACUAUGAAAAGAAACAACAUAGAUUUCUCCGUCUUUCUUGGAGAGAACAAGUGUCCUUCGAUCCGCCAGACAACUUUACACAAAGUACAAACUGACUCUCAUGUCUGCACAACGUAUGAGUGCCUCCAUAAAUACGCAUCUAAACCCAUUCUUCUGCCCAUUUGCUAAAAUUGUAGCGACCAAGAAAGAAUUCCCUUGAUCAUUUCCUUCAUUUCCCAAUAUAGAACUAGAGCCAGAAGACCCUUGAGCCCCCUGAAAGAGCUAGAUCUAAUGGCUCUACCCGUCCCACAAUCCACCUCUGUGACUACUGCUACUUCCUCCUCCAGCAACUUCCCCAGCACUUCUCCAAGAAAAAUUAAAGUAGAUCACUAUCUCUCCUCUGUAUAUUGAGAUUUAAUGCAUAAAUGAUUUAGUAUUUGUAAAUGAGUAUCUUUUAUUUGUUCAGUAUAUGGUCCUCAUUCGUUUCCUUUGAUUGCUGUCUUGUUCUAAUCUGUGAAGCAGAUUUCUUGUUCCCAGUUGAGAUUCUCGGAAACUAAGCAGGCCCAUCUGAGAUUAAUGGAUGCUUUCAAGUAAGUCUCUUCAAAGUUCCAAUUUUUAUUCUCUUGAAUUGCUUAAGACUAAAUGAGUUUUUUCUUUUUCUUGUUUUUUUAGUUCUUUUUUAUUGUAGUUGCUACUUGCUACUAACCGAUCAAGAUGCUAAUUUUUGUGAGCUCUGCGUCUCAGAUCCUAUCCUAGUCCAAAUUAGGUUGUAGCAAGUGUCAUUUGACGAGUGGCUUGUUGGUGAUUUCUAAUUUUGACUGUUAGAGGUUCAUGAUCUAACUCGUAAAUGGACAUAAAAUUUAGAAUAUUUAACAACUUCGUAAAGGUUAGGCCAUUAGAUUGUGGGCCAUUUGCAAUCGUGAUCUUGUUCCGUUUUAGCGUUUAAUUGGCUUUGUCAAUAUGUGGCAAAAGAAAGCAAAGAGAAGGACUUUCGUUUUUACCACCCUUGUUUUUUUCUUAUUUGGAAACUGAUCCUUAACUUGUUUUCCAUUAUUGACAAAAUCUUAUUUCUAAGAUUUUUCUUCCAUGAAGAUCAGUUUUGAUUAUUGAUACGGUAUUUAUUGCUUGUAUCCUUCUUUCCCUUUGCAAAGCUAUCUGAUUUUCAACCUCAGGGCUUAAAUUCAUGAAUCUAUCAUGUCCAAAUCAGCCCAAGAAGUUUCUAAUGUUUCUUGCUUGGUCUCUCAUAUAUAGGAAAUUCCUACACUUUAAGAUUAAAGACAUGCCACAUUCGACAAUUGGUCCCAAGAGAUAAGCAUGUCUUUUUUUUGCCUUGAAUUAUCUGCAUUACCAGCUGUAAAUUGGUUGGUAGUGAUUGAGAAAGGCUUCUUUUUCGUCCUCCUUCUACAUCUACAGGGGCAAUUCAGCUUUGCAAGUGAAGGCCUUGAGGGAAUCUCAGGGCCUGACUCAGGAGAUCAUUAAUAACGAGCAGAAGUGUGUUCAAAUAAUGGACAAUGAAUCUGAACUUUUCAAAGAGAUGAAGCAUCGAUUUCUAACUUUCAAAAAGGAUAAAUACCUGUAAGCUUUAUAAUUACUGCCUACUCUGUUUAGCAGAUUAAAGUUUUGCACUCUUGAUAAGGAUUUCUUUAUAUUUUUGUGGGACAGGGAGAACUUGGAACAUUUUCAGAAUCUUGCCAAGGUUCAAAAACCUAAGGUACUUAUUCAUAUGAUAUUUUGUCACAAUUUGCUUAGUUACAGGAGCAGUGAGUAGGUUCUUAUGAACUGACAAAUUUGGAAAUAGUUCAUGGUGAUUGCCUGUGCAGAUUCACGAGUGUGUCCUUCAAGCAUCCUUGGUUUUCAACCAGGAGAAGCAUUUAUCGUCCGAAAUGUAGCCAAUCUGGUUCCUCCGUAUGAGGUCUUAUAAAUGAUACAUUUGCUUCUUUUUUGGGCCCCUUGCACUUUCUGCCUGAGAAGCAUGACUAAAUUGAAAUGAGGAUGAGCCUUGCAUACCAUGAGAUUCUCAAUGUGUUAACUGUUCUUCUGCAGAAUGGACCUUCAGAAACCAAUGCUGCCCUUGAAUUUUCUGUUAAUUCUCUUGAAGUAAGCUAAAGAUUUCAUCUCUCAGAAGGUAGUCGUGCAAUUAUACUAUUUCCUCUGUCUACUAAUCUAAAAUCUCUAUAAAAUUCUGCAGGUUGAGAAUAUAUUAGUUGUUGGUCACAGCUGCUGUGGAGGCAUUCGAGCCUUGAUGAGCAUGGAGGAUAACAAAAAUUCUAGGUACUCUUUGUUGUGUCAAUAUGUCUAGUUUGCAGUAGAUGACAGAAGCUCCUCAUUCAUUUCAUAUUUUUCUUUCAGUAGCUUCAUAGAAAAUUGGGUACGAAUUGGAAAGCCUGCAAAAUUAAUAAGCACUAAGGCUACUGCUACUGCUUCCGACCUCAACUUCGAUCAGCAGUGCAGACACUGUGAGAAGGUGCUACUUCUUAUUCACAUAUAUUUUCACUUUUCAGUGUGUCACCUUGUUCAAGCAAAUCCAUGUUUGCAUUUCACAUAACUGAAAUAUGCAUUUCUAUGGAGAAUAUGAAUACCUACAAAGCUUUACUCCAAACUAUAGAGAAAAGACAACCUUUCUGAUUGGCUUUGUUCCUUUGCUUUUAACCAUCAAGCUUUUUCAUGGUUUUAUCUUCUAGAUUUUUGCUUCCACGUUUAGUUUAAUGGUAAUCAAUACUUGUCUAUUCAUCAAACGUUACUGAAAGUUUGGCAAGUUACUUCUCGAAAGGAUGAGAAAAUACGUACUUUGGAAUUACCUUCAAGUAUGUUUCUACGUGCCAAUUCAAGUUUUAUUCUCAUGAAAUCUCAGUGUGGAGAAGUAUUUAACCUCAUCAAGAUGAAUAUGGCAUAUUCAACCUCUUGUUGCCAAGUUUUCUGGACAGCAAGUGUAGUUAUCCUCCUUGAGCAUAAAUGGCUGCAACAACUACUUGUUCUUAGGUUGUAUGAAUUUACUUUAGUCAUUGAAUAUUAAAGAAAUCAGUAUUCCAAUUUUAGGUAUCUAUCAACCAAUCUUUGUUGAACCUGCUCACUUAUCCGUGGAUAGAAGAAAAGGUGGCAAACGGUAAGCUUUCAGUUCAUGGGGGCUACUAUGAUUUCGUUGACUGUACAUUUGAGAAAUGGAGCCUUAAUUACAAGGGUAGCGAGUCAAAAGAAGAGGGCGAGUAUUCCAUUAAGGAUCGGGAAUUUUGGUGCUAAGCCCAAUCUUGUAGUACGUGUCCAAUUUUUGUAUUUUCUUUUCCUCCUCGUAUGUGGCAAGCUGUAGUUGUUGUUGUUGAUGAUGAAUGAUGUAAUAAAAUGUGAUGACAUCUCUUGAAGUUUUGAGCGUCAUUUUCCUAUCAAAGAAGAUUUUCUUGAGCCAAACAUUGUGAAAAUGUCAACUGUAAUCGUUGAGAUUUCACAUCAUUAAGGUGACAAUUUGUUUAUCCCAUUUAUGAAGAUUUUCGCAUCGGUGACUGUCAACUUGAAUCUAACUCACAAAUGAACUCACAAACCGGCAACAAUAUGCAUGGUAACUAGAAUGUUAGGAGUGUAUGUAUUGCAAAUCAUUUAAACAUGAAUGAUUGGCGCCGAUUCGGUAUCGUAUCUAAGCAAUGAAGCACCAUCUUUAUUUUAUUUUAUUUUUAGAUGGGAGGUUUCGAAUCCGAGACUUAUGAUUCCUCCCGCAUACCAUCCAUCUUAGCACAAAAAAUUAUGCAGCAGUGGAAGUAAAAUUAAAGUCUCAACUUAUCAAUGAUACCCAAAUGAAACUUUCCAUAGUAAUUAAACAAGGAAUAGACAAAACGGCAAGGCUAGGCUCCCUUUGAACAAAUAUGAAGACGAGACCAAACUGCCAUUGAUUUUCCUCAACUACAAAUCUACAACUUCAGAUGGAGAAACCAAAUAAUAAGACCUAUUCUAAUUCUAAUUCCUAAACACAAUUCAACUAGAUUUCCUAAACAAACUAUGACACCAAUUCUACUCCAAUUAUCAAAUUUAAAAAAAUAUAUAUUUUUAAAACUUCUGAAUAUUGCUUGAUUUAAUUAUUCGAACAACUCAACCCAUUCCUCCCUCAAAACCGCUCCUAUUUUUGUAUUCAUAAAGAUGUCGAAGAAGGAUGGUCUGUGUGUGUGUGUAUAUAUAUAUAUAUAUAUAUAUAUGUAUAUCCAUAUUUUUUUUUAACAAAGGAAUGGAGAAAUCCUUCAAUUAGAAAACCAUAUUCAUGAGGGGAAAUACGUUUGACAAAAAAUUAUCUCCAGGUGCAUGCUACACACCGAUCGCGCUGCAUUUCUGUGAGGUUCACCAACCUGCAUGAACCAUAUCGAUUAUUAAAUUUGAGGGGGAGCUGAGUCGUCAUCAAACGAUACGUCAAAGACAUUUUGGUGUACUUGGAAUACACGUACGUAGUUAAUCAGCCAUCCAGCCUAUGAGCGAGCAAUUAGACAUUGUGGGUUGAACCACUAUAUCCGUUUUUUCUUUGGAGGCGUCAAGACACUUUUUUAGAGAUGUAUCUAUGGUUGAGAAGUUGAGCUAACUGACAACGAGACAACUUCCCCACCAACCAAAGCGAAAUGAUUAACCACUUCUCGCAUCUAUAUAAAGCACAAUACAGAUAGAUUCUUCCAUGCACUCGCAAACAAAACAAAAAAGCCUAAAGCACUUUCUUCAACCUGUGUGUUCGAUCUACCUUCCAAAUCAUCAAUAAUAUUUGCUUAAUCCCUUCCAAGGAUGGCUGGUUUCCACCGUGCAUCUCUUGUGUUCGCCAUGCUUGUUGCUGUAUCAUCCAUGAGCAGCAACUGUUUCCAAGCUGAAGCGCGUCGCCUUCUCGAUACAGGGUUGCCUGAGAUUCCUACCUUGCCAAUGCCUGAGAUACCAACACUGCCUAAACCUGAGCUGCCAACCGUGCCAAAGCCAGAGAUUCCCACGCUGCCGAAACCCGAGCUGCCAACCGUGCCAAAGCCUGAGGUUCCAGAAUUGCCGAAACCUGAGCUGCCAACCGUUCCAAAGCAUGAGAUUCCAGAAUUGCCAAAACCUGAGCUGCCAAAUGUGCCGAAGCCAGAGAUUCCAGCAUUGCCUAAACCCGAGCUACCAACUUUGCCCAAGCCAGAGGUGCCUAAAAAGCCUGAGAUCACCACUCCAUGAAGUCUGUUGUAGCCCAGCUGGAUACACUAGUUAUUAUUAUUAUUCAUUAGCACUUUUCUUCUGAAUUGAUAUUUCCAUUGCGUUUGAUGUGUGUUGGAGUCCAGUCAUGGUGUAUACCGUGAUGUCACGGUUCAUUCAUCUGUAGCUGUUGUUAUUUCGGAGUGUCACUUCUUGUUUCCAGUGGAAUUACAUAUUUGUACUUUCUUACGUACUUCUCAGUUAAAAAUAGUGUCUCAUAACUCCAUUGUGCCUAAUUAUUGACCAUAGAAUGAAGCAGUACUUCCAAGAACCAGAAGAAUAAUAGCAUUAAAACAUAAAUUGAAGAUGACUCAAGAUCGUCAAACAAACAAAGAACGAUAUAUAUAUAUAUAUAUAUAUAUAUAUAUAUAUAUUAUGAAUGAAGAUGCAGUCAAUGUUAAAGAAGUCGAAUAACUCCUCACCACACAAACCAAAACUCAGUUCUCACAUCAACCUGUCAUGGCUGUUGAUCAAUUCCAGGCAAAGAAUGAUAAUCCUGUGGAAUGCAAAGCCAUACCAUUCAACUUACCAAAAUUCCGACCUUAUUGCCGAUAAUAUGGGGAAGUAUCAGACUCCUUUGAAGUCAUCAUUGAAGUUUAUAACGCUGCGUGCCCAGUAGGUCAAAUGUCAGAAAAGUUUAUGUGCAUCAUAUCAUAUCAUAUCUGAUACUAAAACAAAGUUAGUUUCUUUUGGGAAAUACAGAACCAGUCUCAAUUUAUCAGCCGACAAUGGACUUAAGUUUCGGGCCUGAGGUUCCUCUUUUAUGCUGUGGCCAAUCUCACUUUGAUUUUUGGUUAUGUUGUACGGGUAUUAUGAUUUGGGUAGAGAAUUCGAGAACAGUAAAUUAGGCUCGUCGUUUAUUAGCAUUCAAAAACUGAUCUAGAAUUGACUCCACAAGCUGAGAGACAAACUGAAGGCUAGUCUGCGCUCUACUGCUACUAACUUUAAUUAAUUAGUCACAAACUAAGCAUUAGAAUCACAGAGAUAAAUGCAUUAAGUGAUGAAUCAAGCAGGCUAUAAACUUAAAAGAGUGAAAGAAAGAAGAUAUAUAUCAAGCACUUAGUCGAUUUAAACGACAUAUGUUAAGAAGGGAAACGGAAAUCCAUUAAAUGGUACUACUUUAAUGCCCAUCUUAGUAGUAAAGAGCGAGUAAAGACAGAUGAGAAGAGGGGUUGAACAAACAAGAGACAAUCUUCCUACCGACUCCGCCAAUUACACCUCCAAUUUCCCGCAUUCCUAUCUAUAAAAAUCCACCUCUUAGCUUCUUGCUCCAACAUUCAACUCUCAGACAAAAAAAACAGUAACCAUAAUUCGCCAGGAAAGAUGGAAGCCCAAGUGAUCAGAUCUCCAUUGUUAGCAUUUUCUUUCCUGCUGAUCACCCUGGCAUUAAGUAGUAACAUGGCAUCAAUCCUAGCCGAUGCACGCCAUCUUUUGGAGGCAACAGCACCAGGUGUUCCAGUUGAUGAAGCGCCUAGCGCCCCUGAUAGCGAUGAUACCGAUCCUGAGACACCAUCAACACCUAUAGUUUUCUCAGUCCCCCAGAUUCCAACAAUUCCACUGCCUCAGUUCCCUACUAAUCCGCUUCCAAUUCCCACAUUCCCCGCCACCCUCCCAACCUUGCCUUUUCUGCCUAACUCGCCUUAACUAUCUAUCUCAGCCACAUCAACUACGACUCAACCUCAUGUCCGCCAAACUGAAACUACCUUUUCUUGGAUUACAUAUAUACUAGCUACCCUUGUCGUCAUCGUCUCUACUGCUUCCAAGACAUGCUGUAUUUUUAAUGUUGGUUGUAAUGCUACCUUUUUUUUUACAAAAAAAAUUCCCUUAGUUAAAUGUUCCCUGAUUAUCUCUCUAGUGAUCAUCGCAAUUGGACUGUUAUGAUCCUGGUUGUACUCUGUCUACGUGAUUAUUAUCCAUCUCGACUUGAAUUCUUAACCUCCAUAUUUAGCCUUUUAUGUGGCAUUUUCCUUUCAGAAUACUUUCUCAGUUACAUGGUUCCAUUCCGAUAUCAAGACGAAAUUAUUCCGAGAUAAUGGAUUGUCCAGAACUCAGUCGAAUCACAGAGAACUCGGUCGAGAUGUUUCGAAGACAGAUAGAAACGAUCGAGCCGCCUCGAAUCAAUUUGAAUUAUUAUUAUUUUUGUUUAUCAUAUUUUUUUUACAAUUUUUAAAAUAUUAAAUAUUUCAAAAAUUACGUUUUGCCGAAAUGAUGACCAAUAUAUUGAGACCGGUGUGGAACGAUCCGAGGCAUGAUCGCGACAGCAUCUUUGAACCAUGGUCUCAAACCUCUUCUUGGAACAUUGCCCAUUCUCCGCUCCUUUCUAAAUCUACCCAAAAAAGGGGCAGAAAAUCAUGGCCUCCAUGAAUGUUGAGCUAUGAACCUAGUAUUUGAAUCGACUGUAUGGUAGUUAAAAAAAAAAAAAAAGAAAACCUAUAAUUAGCAAUAUCAUUUUGAAAUUGAGAUUAUGGAAAUCUAUGUAUACAUGAAUCAAUUAAACAUUUUCUAUCUCCUAUGCAGCAUGCAUAAUUGACCUUUGGAUACUUGGGUUUUAUCUAUUUUUGUAUCCAACUCUUCUCUAAUUAAUGAUGUUUUCAGUUUUCCUCUCUUCUAACAACUUUUAUAUUCCUUAAUAAAUUUCAAUUAUUCUUUUUUUAUUCAUAUGUAGUAACUUACUUAAUGUAAUUUUAAUUGUUACAAUGGUAAAUUUAUUAAAGUUGUUGAAAACUAAAUAUUUGUUCAUGUGAAAAUAGAUUGUUGCAUCUAUUAUAAUAUAGUAACGGAAUACAACCAUGUACUUCUAGGCAUAUAAUUUUUGUAAAAUUAUUUUUUAUGAUCAUCCAAAAGAAUAUUUGUCAAUUUUUUCGAUCUCUGUCUUAUUUGAUGAAUAUUAUGACAGAAUAUAUGCAACUUCUUAAAAAUUCAUGCGAUAAUUGAACACUUAGAAUAUAUUAAUUUUUUAAUUUAUUGAUAUUUUUUCUUGAAUUAUUCAUUCUUGGACAAAUUCGCUACUAUUAAAAAAAAAAAAUCUGUACAGAUGGGGUAAAAAUACUAGUUAAUAUAUGUAAAAUCUUGCUUCUUAAUUAAUGAUCAAAUUUCAAGCCAAAACCUGUUUGCAUUCGAUUGCUUGCUUGCGUUCAAUUACUUCCUGCAAAGAUUCCAAUCUGUUAUGACUGCCUGCAUACAUUCCAUUUCGGUUGUUGAGACUUGAGACUGUGUGUGUCGUGUGCGACAAACGUUGUUAAAUUGGGCCCGAUUUAAUUAUUGUCGGUGACGGCCGAACGAUUUCAAUGCACCAAGCUAAUUCUACUUUGCAACUCUUAAAUUUAUAUCACUUUUUUAUUUUUUAUAAUAUUUUAAACACCUUACAGUUCACACCCUCAACUCUUAAGUUUUUUAUUUUAUUUUAUUUGAGUCAAUCAAUAAUAUUGUGAGCAAAAUUAACGAAAUAUACAACCAUACAAAUCAAUGAUAAUAUACUAAAAAUGUUCAAAAGGAGUAAAGAGAUUGCAAUUAAAAUAAAAUGAUGCAUUACACCGUCUUUUAUCUUGUUAAUAGUAGCAGUAAUUGAAAUCAGUUGAGAGAAAUUUAAAAUUUUAGGAUGCAAAGUGUCUAAAAUUAAAGUUUGUGAUGCAAAGUGAAAAAAUAGAAUAAGUUGGGUGUUACAAAGUGAAAUUAGUCCCUUACAUUUAAUUGGGGUAGAGCAGCAUUUAAAUUGUACUUUAAUGCAUUAAAUUCAUUUUGUAGCUUUAAAAUACUUCACAAGACGGAACCGCCCCUAACAUCAAUCUUUUCUUUUUCUUGAUUUCAGUCAAUAUUUUCAUGUAACUUUUAGUGCUAUACCGACAUCUAAACUAAACAGCUGCACUAAUGCACAUACUCAAAUAAGUUUAAAUUCAUCUGGUUCGAUGGUGGUUCAAAUCCUAUUGAUUUCUCUAAGAUCUGUUGGGCCUUUCCCAAUUGUAGGUUAGAGUAGAGUAGAAAUAGGUUAAACUAACUGUUGUCGUCUAAUUAAAAAAAAAAAAGUUUGAACCUCCAUCCAACUCCCAAAAUUUUGAACAAAAGGGCUUUGUUUAGUGGCUGGCAACUCAUGUAAAAUAAGUAAGUUACUCAAUUGUUUUUGUACGUGAUUCAAGAUGUUAUUGAGUUUACGGGCUUGGGAGGACAUACUGUGCGGUUGAACCUUCAACUUUAGAGGCCAAUUGAAGGCACAAUCCGGUCUAUCACAUAAAUUUUGACCAAAAUCAAGCCGUGUUGUUUAGUUGCAUGACAAUAUAGAAUGAAGGUUUAUAUAUAUAUAUAUAUAUAUAUAUAUAUAUAUAUAUAUAUAUUAAUGAAUGUACACCUAGAAUCAGUAGAUAGUGUCAUACCCUUCACUCCCAAGAACUUCAUGUGAUGGUUGUGCAUGAUGGAUCUCAGGACAGAGAUGAAAUAAACGUUAACCCGUGAGGCAGCAGGACAACUAAUUGCAGAUGGAGUCGUCUUCAUGAAGAUCUCUUUCUUGGCUUCCCCGUUGCUAUCUUUUUUGUAUCUGAACACAUUUUUAUGCUUCCCUAUAUUAAAUCGAAUACCAUGUUACUUCUUCAUUCAUAGUUCAGCAAACAACCACAUUGACGGCAUUUCAUCAAAGCACGAGGAAGAAUUCUAUUUGUGAAGCAUAUCUGGUUCGAUCAUUUCCUGGCAACUAUGCCUAUAUAAGGACAUCACAGGGCAAAGGCAAUGCCAUCACCCAAUCCAAGUUGCUAACAUAUUCACUACCACUUUAGAUUAGCAAAAGAAUACCACCAUUUUUCAACCAGCAAUGGCAUCUUGCAAGUUGUUCGUGUUCAUGUUUCUCAUUGUCGUCUGGUUCCCCGGCUACAAUGAAGCAUUUUCAUCCCGUCGCCUUCUAUUACUACCAGUUCCAAAUGCACCAGGUUCUCCAAAAAUUCCAACUUACCCGGUUUCGCCACUCCUCCCAACACCAACUGUCCCACCACCACCAACUUUUCCGCUCCCUACCCCUCCCUUCCCCGGAAUUCCAAUUGCUCCAUUCUUUCCAAGUCCAUUGCUACCACCUGCAGCUACUACCACCAGCAGCAGUACCAGCCCUUGAAAGUCGCAUUUUAAUGUUAUCUUGCGUGCCUGUUGCUUGCUCAGCUUGUAGCAGGAGAACUAAGCCAAUUUGCCUGGCACACGUUUCAGAAUGAUGAAGCGAGUCCUGGACUGUAUGUGCUUCAAUAACAAUAAGUAGACUGUUGUUUAUUGGAUGUUUCUAGUGUUUAUUAUGGUUUCAGUUGCUGAAUGGAUUACCUUUGCAUAAGGGUGUAAGUUUUAGUAAUAAAGGAUUCUGAAUCCUAUAUUAUUCCCAUUUUCUGGUUGUUUGGCUUGUGGAAUUCACGAAUUCAAGAUUUAACGACAGUGCAUUGUCACUUAAAAUGUGCUAAUCGACAGCAACAUGCCUGAGCGUAUAGGCAAUAAGAAAUUUUCUGUGCCUUGCUACAUAGCAAACAAAAACUGGAUGACCAGUGGAAGGAAACAACAACUUUAAGAUGAUUGGUAUCAAAUGAUUUCGGCAUUGAGCCCACUAGAACACGCAAUGUUCACAUUCCAUAAAUAUGAAGAAAGCAGAAGACUAUUUAACGAAAAAAUAAAAAAGAGAAUUAUUUCUAAAGGAGACAACAGGUUAUAAAUGUCCACAACGGCAGCAGAGCCCACAUUUCGCAUCACUUAAUUCGAAGUACGAAAUUUCUUGAGUAUAUUACUCAGUCAAUGAGAAUUGAGGGGAUUCUUAAACUACUGCAGAAGUUGGGAUUGCUCAUCGGAAUUGAGACAUUUUCACUGUCGAUGAAUUUUAUUCGCAGUCUUGUGUGCUAAUGCCUUUGCGAUGUUUAGAUCCUAUCCUUUUGGGAGUCAUUUGCUGUCUUGAGCUCUCAACCUUCAAAGUAGCUAGCAGUUGAGACUACAACACAUGACCCCUUUAGGCAUUAUAACUGCAACUACUGAUUCACUCUCUGUUUUUGACCUAGUUACGUAAUUGACCCGAUUAGCAGGCCAACCCAUGCAGACCUCUUAAGGGUGGUACGCUUUACAAGUUGCUACUGUGGCCAUACAGUCGCCGUUCAUGCCAAGAGGCAUUUUCUUGCAUAGUUCCCUCCCAACACCAUAACCAAUGCAAGGUAGAUCCGUCCCGCAGUCCCCACUGCAACUUUUAAUAGCACAGCUUUGAUUUUCAAACCCCGCUGCUCUGGCUUUUUGCCUCAUAUCAUAUGGUUCCACUUCCACAUGCCUUGCUACCCUACCCAUAUAAAUGCAGCAUAGACUACCAGGUCUUCAAAAUACCAUCCAAGUUGUAGUGUUAGUCGCAACUGAUACUACUUCCAAUAGCACAAAUUUGAAUUUGAAAACUCGUUGAUCAUCAAUUUCUUAACCAAGAAUGGCUUCUUACCACAAGUUGUUGGUGAUCUUCCUUAUCGUUGUUGGAUCUGUUGCUGGCAGCGGCCAAGCUUUGACACACCGUCACCUUCUGUUAUCACCAUCUCCAGGUUCAGAUUCACCCCGAAGAUCAAAAUUUCCCUUUCCAAAAUUAAUGGGAGGGGGUUUGACAGAACAUGGUCCGUCCCAUGCCAGAACCGUCACUUCCCAGCCCGGAAAUCCAAUACUUCCAGACUUUCCAAAUCCAGUGACUUCACCGGGAAAUCCAAUUGUUCCAUACUUUCCAAGUCCAGUGAUCCCACCCGGAAUUCCCCCUAUUCCAUACCUUCCAAGUCCAGUUAUUCCUGCACCAGGAAAUCCAAUUAUUCCAUACUUUCCAAGCCCAGUAAUCCAACCUGGAAAUCCAAUCAUUCCGUACUUCCCAAGCCCGGUGAUCCAACCCGGAAAUCCAACUGUUCCAUACUUUCCAAGUCCAGUUUUCCCACCUCCUCCAGCUGCUACUUCCACCAUUAGCCCUUGAAAUCAAUUUGCAGAAGUACCAUUGGACUUCUCACGUUUCCAUGUUGUGUACGUAGCUCAAUUUUAGCAUGAAGGCUAUAUCAGUUUUCUUGCAUAUUUUGUCAUGAUGUAGGCAAGUCCCUGAUGAAGGGUUGUCCCUAUGCUUUGCAGAAUUCUUAGGUGUUGCUUCGAUAUCAUUCAGAAGCAGACUAAAUUUGAAAUCAUAUCUUUGGUUAGCUUCCAUUCAAGUGCGAAGUUUAUGCAUCAAUAUCCCUAAACUUGAACUACUUUCUCGCCAUGGGGUUGUUUGUUUAUAAAUUGUGUGGAUCAACUUUUUUCUCAUAUAAUAGAUCACUUGAAUCAUGUUAAUCAGUAAUGUGGAUUACUCUGCAGUCUGCACUAGAUGACCAACAACUUUGUUUCGGAGGAGCUGUGUAGAUGUUAAGGGCUGUAUGAAAGAAAUUCUCAUUGAUAUCUUUAUUCCAGAAAAACUGAACGGCAGUCUCCAACCUGAGAAAAGUUCCUUCCAGUGGAAGGUAACAUUUUCACUGAAAUAUUGAGUUACAGACAGGUUUAACCUCUAGAGCUUUAAUUGGAAACGACAACUAUUUCAUACCAACUGUCUUCCGCCGUAAAAGUUAAAAUCAUCAACUUUGACAUCAUUCCAGCUCCUUUAUACACGAAAAGCUUUUGGAAGUGCACAUUUGUUUAAAAAAAAAAAAAAAAAGACACCAAAUUGAUCUUAACCGUGGAAACAUUUUUAUUCAAAUUUAUGAAAUUUUGUAUCGAUUCCUUUCGUAUAUUUUAUUCUUACGUAUUCUCUACUUGCCCACCUUUGUCAGUUUCGGGUCUAGGUACGUACCUUUUUAGUUUACAGUCGUAUGAGCUUUUCGGCGAGGGCAUAAGAGCAUAUAUUGUGUCUUCUGGUUUAUGCUUCUCUCUUGGCAGCUAUCUGCAUCGAUAAUAUGGGUUAUUUCUAGCAGACAAACUAGAAUAAGAACGCAGUCACAGCCACAGGAGUUUCACAGAAGUUAACAAAAUAGUUUAAAAGGGAAGCUGAAGCUGGAUGUGGCUCUUUCCACGCCCAAGCAGAGUUACAGGACCAAACGAUAGCAAUUUACAAGAAGGAAAGGAGGAGUUGCAUACUUACAUGUAUCAAAUGUAUUAAACUUGCACCAACUUUCUUAAUUGAUUCAUCUUGGACCAACCACGUAGGAGGCAUUUAAAAUAGGACCCGAGAGAUGGAGCUACAGUGGGGGGGGGGGGGGGGAAGGGGAACUAAAAUCUAUUAAUUACAUAUGUAAAUUUAAACUUUGCCCCCACUCUUUUAGAAUAUUCUGCAUUAUUUCCUAACAAAAUAUUUAUCCGAUGUGCUUCUUUAUUUGUUACUUUUUUUUCCCUACAAGUCAACCCACUUGAAAACAAAUAAAUAAAUUAUUUAAUCUCUCACACUCGAUCAAAAUCAAGCAAUAAAGAUUCAACUUUAUUUUUAAACCAAUUUAGAAAUUCUUGAUAAUAUAUUUUUCCUCCACUAAAAUUUUAAAAAAAUUCUAGAUUAGUUAUUUCAAAAGGUUUUUUUAGGCAAUUAUUUCAAAAUUUUGAAAAUUACAAAGUUAUAAAAUAGUAUUAGAAUAUUUGAAUAUGAAGACACUUCAAGAACAAUGGUACAGUGUUUGCAUAUUUAUGGUUAUGCUAUAUCGUUUUGAUAGUUUUGUGAUCUAUAUAAUUUAACAUGUUAAGUUCACCUUCACUAAAAUUUAUUUUUGGAUAAAAUAUACUUUAUUCCCCUGUGGUUAGCACUUUUUUGCAUAAUCCUUUUGUGAUUUGAAAAACUAUAUAUAACCUUUUCAUAAUUUGAACUAAAGCGUUAAAGUGACGGAAUUUGCAUUUCAUAAUGGAAUCAACUAAAAUGUCAAAAGUGCUCAUCUUUAAAGUUGAAAAUUAUUAAUUAAUUAUAAGGGGUUAUGUAUAUAUUUUAAAAAUCAUAAGAAGUUAUGUGGUAAAGCACUAAACGAUAAAGGGAUUAUAUAGUAAAAUACAAAAUCAUAAGGCACUAAAAUGUCAUACAUAUUACGUUUAUAUAUUUUGGUCACUUCAACUAUUUUAGGCCUCGUGUGGCAAAUGAGUUUUUUGAAUGUAAAUUUUUGGAUAUUUUGAAAUAUAUAGUUUACUGUAAUUAAAGUUGUUAAAAAACUUGUAGCAGACAAACUUUGCCAAAAAUUUAUUUGCGAGAUAGGCCCUUAGUUUUGAAACAAAGAUAUUCUCGAUAUUUCCUUGGAUUCCGUUACGAAGAAUUUUUUCCGUCACUUUCAUACGUUAGUCCAAACUAUGAGAAAUUACGUAUAUAUUUUAAAAUUACGGGAAGUUAUAUAAAAAAUUGCGAAACCGUAUUUUUAACUCCGCCCUGCACGAGAUGACUCAAGCAUACAGAAGAAAUCUCUCGAGUGUAUUAGUAUAUUCAGUGGGCAAGGAUGGACACGAAACGUCACAAGUCAAAGAAUUGUACCUCUGAGCUUUGGGUGUUCAGUUGGCAUGAUUGAUGAUGCCUUCUUAUUGUCAAUAAAAUUUGGUAAAGGCCAAAAAAUCUGACCAAUCUUUCUGGAUGGUCAGUGUCUUUAUGUUUUCAAACAUUCUGCGAGUGAAUUAGUAAGACUCACAAUGAUGGAUUCAGUCGUAUGGUGAUCAUUGUUUAACUGCGUUGUAACUCGGAACAUGUUAAUUAAUAACAACACGUAUAGUACCUUAAAAAAAAAACACACACACACACACACACAUACUGGCCAUUUUACUCAAAGCUGUAUGCUAGUAUAUGAACCUAAAAUUACAGUGGCAUGCAAAAUCUCAUUGGGAAGACAAUACAUAUACAGGUCAGGAGGCCAAGAAGAUUAAACAUAAUUUAUUCUUCUCUAAACCACGUAACAAAGAUCACAAGUGCUAUUCAAUAGGUUUGAAAACUUUUGAUGAAUCUGAUCUCAAGUUCAUCAGAAAUAUUUCCAGCCUGAAUAUAAAUAGGACCGACCGUUGAUAUUGCUAAAGUAAAUUCCUAUCCCAUUAUUUAUAGCACUUCAUUGGACGAGACAAAAUAUUAUCUUGUUUGCUUUAAUGAAAUCCAACCCCAGUGCAUGAAAAAGAUAAUUGGCAUCAGGGAGAAAUUUGGACGGACGACGCCGUGUCAUGAAUAGUGCUCCAAUUUCGUUCAUCCGCCCCAUCCCCAAACCCUCAAACCAUGGAUAAGUGAUUAACUGAGGGAUAGAUGUUCACACUUCGGAAAAAAAUAGAAUAACCGGCGGAUCUAAUUUAGAUCGGCGAUCGGAUGUCGGUAAAAUGGAAUUCGAGAAAAUUGAAUAAUAUCCAACCUUAAAUUUUGAUAAAAAAAAUUAAAAUUUGGUAAAAAAAAAAAAAUUGGAAAUGGAUAUUGAAAUUCGAUUCUCGAAUUCUCAAUUAGUGACCAAAUUAUCUAAUUUUGUAUUUUAAUUAAAUAUUUUAGAUAUUUCAUGCCUACUGAUAUAUAAUAUUACAUAUUAAUAUAUUAAUCUAUUAGUCAAAAUGUUAUAAGUUAUAAUUUAUACUUAUAAACAAAUAUGUGACCUUUUUAAUUAACAUGUUAAUAACUUUUAUAUUGUUAAUUACAUAUCAAAUAUACUUAACUAAUCUCUAUUAGAAAACCAAUCUAAACCUUCGCAUAUUUUACCGAAAUACCGAUUCUUCGGGCGAAAUCCAACUACCAAUAUCCAAUUAUCCAAAUAAAAAGUUUAGACUUUAGACGGUGAUUGAAUAUUGAUCUUUUAAAAAAAAAAAAAAAAAAAACCGAACCGUUGAGCGGCCGAUGAACAUCCUACUAACGCGGGGGGGAGAACAAAGAAAUUUGAGCACCUACAGAUCUCCUUACUCAAGGAUAAUUUCGUCUUUUCAUUAAAAAAGAGCUCGUUCUGCCGAUUAAAGAAUUGCAGCUUUCAACUAAUUUCCGUAUGGCAAAAACUUGGAUGAAGCCGGUGCAAAAUCCAACUAGUAGACCUGAUGGUGUCUAUUAGCCACGUGGAAAGAGGAGGUAACUCUUGAGACUGAGAGAGGGCUCGCUGUCCAUCGCUAUCAAAGCGGAUCCCAACUUUUCGCCUAGACUACCCACCUCAAUACUUCAGGAACUAGUGUCUUCACCCGUGCUAUGCACGGGUUAUAUUUCAAAUCAAAAUAAUAUUUUAUAUAUUUAUAUAUUGUGUUACAACAUAAUAAAUAUAUAUAGAAUAAAAAUUUUAAAGAAGUGUAUGCUUAAUAUCUUGAAAAAAAAUUGUAAUCUAUAAUUAUUUACAUAAUAAAAGAAUUGUUAACGCAUUUAAGGAGAGAGUUAGGUCGGGUGGUAAGGUGAAAAGAGUUUUCUAAAAAAGUCAAUUUAUCAAUAUCCAACAAAAUAUAUUACUAUGUUAUACCCAUAUAUCAAAACUUAUAAUACAAAAAAAUAAAUUAUAACCAAUUUAUUUUCUUCCAUUUUUAGAAAAAAAAAAGAAGAUCUUACUCCUAUCCUGUGCCCCUAAAUUUGUUGAAUGUAUUUCGAUUAGCAUUUUUCAUAACCUUUAACGUAUAUUUUAAAGAAAAUUCUCCGUACUAUGUGUUUUUAGUGUUCUUAAAAUUAUUAAAAAUCACUAUCAUUUCUCUCUUUUCUUAUACGCCAGUUAGUCAUCAAAUGUCUCCUACGACUUUCAUACCUUUUAUCAUGGUACCACCCUUUUUAUUAUUAUUUUUUUUGUCAUCUCUGCCAUAUUCCUGCAAUCCCCUUUCUUCUUCUCUCCCUUCUCCGCCCAUCAUUGUAAUCCAUAUUUUUUCUUCAACCUUUCCUGCUACUUUUUAACACCUCACCAUUUUCUUCCCUCGCUCCUCCCCCUAUACUUAACAUAUAAAUUUAUAUCCCUACGAUCCAAUAUAUUUAACUUAACCCAUCAUAAUAAAAAUAUAAAAUUGAAAAUUAAUUACAAUGGUUGCAAUUAUUAGUAUCUAAAAAUGGAAAUGAAAAACUGACAAUAUCUAUAAUAUCCUCAAGUACUACAAUCAAUUCAUAUAUAUAUAUAUAUAUAUAUAUAUAUAUAUAUAUGUUUUAACAUAGCAAAUACAUAUUUAUAUAUGAAGACAGCAAUAAGAAAACAUAAAAUAAUUAUGAAUCAAAAGUUAAUAGGAGUGUUUGGGUUUUUACAUCUUAUUAAAUGUAUAUAAUAAGCUACAUAGCAAAUACAUAUUUAUAUAUGAAGACAGCAAUAAGAAUACAUAAAAUAAUUAAUGAUAUCAAAAGUUAUCAUUAGUGUUUGGGUUUUACACUCUUAUUCAAAUCUAAUGUUAAAUUACAAAUUAAGUAGUAUUUUAAGGUUGAAUGUUCUACAUCUUUCUCUUAAACUAUAAUAUUACUUUUUUUAAAUUUUUUGGUAGAACUGGUGUUGUUAUUAUCAUUAUUUUUUAUCAAAAAUGAAUAUUUCAAAAAAAAUUUCACAUUAAAAGGCUAGUAGUACUUUGCUUUUUAUUUAGUGAUUUCAUAAUUUGGAUUUCAUGAAUGGUACCAUUCUUGAUUUUUUAAAUUCAUGACAUUAUUUCCUUUUUGUUUUCUAUUUAAUUUUGUCUUUUUACUUAGGAUUACUACGUUUAAUGAUAAAAUGUUAUCAUUUACUUUUUUACUUUUACUAAGUUUGGCAAUAUUUUUUUUUAUUUACCCUUCCAGUAAUAAACUUCAAACCAAAUUCCUAUAUAAGCGGAGCCACUACUUUUUUAAAUUAGAAAAACAUGAGAGCCACUUCUUUCUUAAGAAAAUGUUAUUUGCACUCAAUUUUUAUUAUUUGCAAUUCUACCAUUUUUUUUAUCAUAUAGUCUAAUUAAUAAAAAUUAUAUGAUCAAAAUGAUUAUUGAAGUGUGAAUAACAAAAAUGGGGUGUAAAUAAUCUUACUUAUUUAAAUUAAUAAGAAAGCAUGAAUGGAUGUUAUAUUUGUUAUCUUUUCUUAUGGUCUUAUAGAAGUUUUAAUUAUUGUAGAAUCAUAAAUAACGCAAGGCAAUCGGAAACGUGAUGGGUUGAAGUUCAAAUAGGAUAUCACUAGUAUUUUGACCCGUGCUAUGCACGGGGUUAUAUUUCAAAUAAAAAUAAUAUUUUAUAUAUUUAUAUAUUGUGGUACAAAAUAAUAAAUAUAUAUAUAGACUAAAAAUUUUAAAGAAUAUACUUAAUAUCUUGAAAAAAAAUUAAUAUAUAAUGAUUUACAUGAUAAAAGAAUUGUUAACGCAUUUAAGGAGAGGGUUAAGUUGGGUGGUAAGGUGAGAAGAGUUUUCUAAAAAAAAACGUCAAUUUAUCAAUAUCCGACAAAACAUAUUAUGUUAUACUCAUAUAUCAAAACUUAUAAUAUAAAAAAAUAAAUUAUAACCAAUUUAUUUUCUUCCAUUUUUAGAAAAAAUAUCUUUCUCCUAUCUUGUGCCCCUAAAAUUGUUGACUGCAUUUAGAUUAGCAUUUUUCAUAAAUUUUAAUGUAUAUUUUUAAACAAAUUCUCCAUAAUAUGUAUUUUUAGCGUUCUCAAAAUUAUUAAAAAUCACCAUCAUUUUUCUCUUCUCUUAUACGCCAGCUAGUCAUCAGAUGUCUCCUACAACUUUCAUAUCUUCUAUCAUGUUACCACCCUCUCUAUUAUUAUUAUUAUUUUUUGUUAUCUUUGUCAUAUCCCUACAAUCCCCUUUCUUCUUCACUCCCUUCUCUGCCCAUCCUUGUAACCCAUAUUUCUUCUUCAACUUUUCCUGCUACUUUUCAACAUCUCACCAUUUUCUUCCCUCGCUCCUCCCCCUAUACCUAACCGCUAAAUUCAUAUUCCUGCGACCCAAUAUAUUUAACUUUACCUAUUAUAAUGAAAAUAUAAAAUUGAAAAUCAAUUACAAUGGUUGCAAUUAUUAGUAUCUAAAAAUGGAAAUGAAAAACUGAUAAUAUCUAUAAUAUCCUAAAGUACUACAAUCAAUAUAUAUAUAUAUAUAUAUAUAUAUAUAUAUAUAUAUAUAUAUUAACAUAGCAAAUUCAUAUUUACAUAUGAAGAAAGCAAUAAGAAUACAUAAAAUAAUUAAUGAUACAAAAAGUUAUCCUUAGUGUUUGGGUUUUGCACUCUGUCAUUUGUUUCUGCCGCUUGGACUAAUUCCAUCAAUAUCGGGACAGCAAUUGAUGGUUAAGGAGUUUGGCGGUUUUCUUUUUCCUUACUUUAGGUUGGGUUUGAAAAAGAUCGCCAGUGCAGGCUGCUGAUGCCUGACCGCCAUAAUCUGAGUUGAUAUCUUGCAUGAAUUAUUUUGCCGUUUAUUGAUUGUUGUCUGCUAGCAUUAAUUAUUUUGCAGUUUAUUGGUUCCUGCUUGCCGAUCACUAGGUUUCAUUUUUUUUUUUUUUUUAAGAAAAAAAUAGUCACAACUUUCAUCUGGCCUCGCUUCAUGACUUUACACGACAUUGAUAGCUAAUGGGAGAUGUUUUAAUUUAUGGAAUGGUUCAAGGUUCUAGGAUUCAAGAUUCUUGAAUUUGAUUACACUGCCCUUUGUGGCACAAGAUAGCCUUCCUUUUGGCUUUGGCCACAUCUUUUUCAAAUUUUUUUUAAAACUUGGUAAUGUUAUAAGUAUUUAAUAUGCACUACUGCCCUCUUUGUUUGUUCUUUUCUUUUGAGUUGUAUGCUCACAAGUAGGAAUGCCCAAACAUUCCCCCGCCCCCGUCCCGCUUCUCCCAUGAGUGCUCGCAAGAGCUAAUAAAAAUUUGUUUUUUAAAUAGAAAAAAAGAAUUUUCAUUAAUGUAAAAUAAUGUCUACAACAAGUGUGGUAACAAUAAAAUCUGGAAGAAAGGCCCUCCAUAUACUUUUUUUUUUUUUUCAGAAACGUUAGAUAAUUUCAUUAAUAUAUUGUAAACUAUACAAUUGCUGAGCAAAGGCCCAAUUUGACUUUACAAGUGCAUCUUGGCACUAAGGUCUGAAUUCUGAAAUCUGAAUACUGAAACAAUUAAUUUGCUAUGAAUGUCUGAAUUUUAAUACUAAACAUAUUUAUACUGUUUGAUAAAUACUUAUAAUUGAAUGCUUAAUAAGUUUAAUUUGAUAAUUUUGCCCUUAUAUCCUUUCAUUCAAAAAGAAAUAGAAUCUAUGACUUAAUUAGUUUAAAAUUGUUAGGUAUGAACAUGAUAAUAUUUAUUUUUAAAUCAAAUUAAUAUAAAAGAUGAAAUAUAUUAUAUGAGGAGUAUGGAGAAGAUGUGAAAGCCAUUAAAAAGGAAGAAAAGAGAAACUAAAAAUCAUUAGAUAGAAAACAUUAGGUUGUGAAAGUCAUUAAAAGGGGAUAAAAGAGAAACUAAAAAUUGUUAGAUAGAGAAUAUUAUGUUGUUUAAUUAGAUAAGAAUUUUGAACAUAAUUUACAAACAAGGGUAGAUUUGGUAGAUAAGCUAAGGUAGUUGAAGUAAUUCUAUUGAUUCUUAUCAGAAUUAAGCAUUCAGUUAGGAUUCUUGUGCUGAAAAAAUACAUACAAGUUCAGCACUGUUUAACAAGUUCAGCAGAUAUAUUUUCAUUUAUCAAACACUCAAAAUAUCUGAAUGUCUGAAAAGGUUUAGUUUCAACACUUUUUUAUGUUAUCAAACAGACGCUAAGAGUGUAACCACUCUUCAUCAAAAGAAAUGCUUAAUCCAUGCAUGCUAACUAAAUCAACCCUUUCCUCCGUUAAGUUAAUGGAUAAAAUGAAUGAGCAACAUUGUUCAACUUUCUAGGUGCCCAUAAUGCUUUCUAGGUUGCAAAGCUUUAUAUAUCUAUGAGAAUAUAAUCCACAAAGUUGAUGCAUCCGAAUCCAUACUUUGAGAAUCAUUUUAAUAACUUCUUGACAAUAGAAAUUUGUUAAGUGCAAAAGAAUAAAAGUGUAACUAGUAAUUUAGUAUAAAUGUAUUAAUACAACAAAUCAUUAAUUUAUAGUAUUACAAAUGUAUAAUUAUUAGUGUAAAUAAUAAUAUUAAUUAUAUUACAUAUACAUAAUCUAAUACUUAUAACUACUAAUAAUAUCAAAUAUAUAUUAUAUAUAUAAUUAUAAUAUAUUUAUUUUUUUAGGUGGGUAAUGGGACAGGGGUAUACUCCCUUAUCCCCCACCCCAUUUUUUAAGGGGGACAGAAAAUGAUCCUUGCCUCGCCCCAUCUCUCACCCCAUCAAUCCCUACGGGCACCCGUCCCAAUUGCGAUCCCUAUUCAAAUGGAAUAUGGACCUAUAUUAAGGUAAAAUAAGAACGAAAUAAACUUGAUAUUAGUGGGCAAUAAAGGUUGGAUUAAUCUUGACAAUAUAUACAUGAUCAUUGUUCGAUGCAUGACAAGCAAUUUGAAUUUAAAUUUAAAUUUUAAAUUUUAUAUAUAAUAUAUAGAAGCAUAAUAAUGUAUGCAUUAUCAAUGUAUAUAAGAUUACCCACAAAAGUGAUGGAAUUGUACAACAAAGUGAUCAUGUAUAUGCUCAUUUAAACAAAGUAACGAGACACAACAAAGUGGCAAACAAAGAUAAUUUCAAACUCACCCUCUUGAUCUCAAAGUCGCGUUUGAGUUCAACCAAGUUGAAUUGUACAAAAUCGGACUCGUUUUGGUUCAACAAAAUGAAAAGAUAAGAGAUUGAGUUGAAUCUCAUGUUCUUCUUUCUUUUUGGAGCAAAUCUUCCCGUUCAGGCUUGAGUGCUUAAGCGUAAACAACCCCGUUGGAGCUCUAACAGAAAAGAACAUUUAUCCCUGUUUAUUUAUCCAGUACAUAGCCAAGUUUCAAGUCAAAAUAGGAGCAAAAGCAGCAAGAAGAUUACAACAGAAAAUUUUUAUUCCCAAAAGUAUGAAAGGCGCAAACAUAUUUACAUGCCGUUGUCUACAUUCUAUGCUUAAACAAUUUUAAAGUGAGUUCAUUAUUUUUUCUUGGCGAUAGGCGUCCCUCGAAAACUUGUCUUACGCGAAAUUUGGGUUUCCAUUCAUUUUGAUGUUGCAUUACAUUAGCAUUUGAUCAGAUUCAGCAUGGUUAUACUCCCCUCUAAUUCGAACCACAUUCUAAGUAUUUCGCCAACUAAAACAAAGUUGGAACGGAGUCUGAUCAAUUUGAAAGGACAGAAUCAUCACUUUUGAAGAAGUAUCAUAUAAACUUUUGAUGGGUGUCAAACCACCAAAAUUAAAAUUCAUACUCUAAACUUAAAUUCAAAUAUAGCAGUGAGUAGAGUCGUCUACUCAAAGACUGCAUGAUUUAUUUCCAUCCAAGCAAGAAUUAAAUGGGGGGUUUUGAAAAUUUAAAAUAAAAAAAAAAUCAAUUUAAGUAAAAGCAAUCAAAUGAAAGAAAAUUUAAAUUAAUUCAAUAAUAAAAAAGCUCUAGCCAAGGAUAAAAUUCUGGAAUUGGUUCGUACAACUGCUUAUUGAUCUAAUAAUAAUUUCAUCUAUCCAUUAACAAACAUGUUAUAAUUGCCAAACAAGUAAUGACGAUCAAUAUUUCCUUUUGAUAAUUACUAAUAGUUAAGGUACCUCGUAGAAUUUAAUUUAUUAGUUGCAUUAAAAACUAGAAAAACCAUGUUAUAAGGAUUUAUUUAAAUUAGAUCAUAUAUUUCCCUAAUAUGAAACCAAUUACGCUAGUUACCACUAAUUUAAGACAAUUAAACAAUUACGGAUUUAACUGUCUUAAUUGGCAAUGGAUUAUUAGGUUGAAUUAAAUAUCGAGCCCUUCAUAUUCAAAUAACAAAAUAACCAUGAGAAAUUAAAUCAGAAAACAUACGAAUAUUAAUGAAUAAAAGAAAUAGAUAAAACAAUUACGUCUCACAGUUGUAGUUGAACCAAACCAUUCGUUAUCCCAUUGACUAGAAAAAGAAAAUUACCCCACUCAUCCUUGGGAAUAAUCCAAGUAAUUUCAUUGACAAAAGUUGCAUAAGCUUUCGACAAAUAGGAAAACAAAAGAGAAAAGACGGACAGCUCCUUAGUUUUUGUUUUGUGCCGAGACUAAUAAUAAUCUCCUAAGAACAAAGACGUUCCUCUGUUUUUCGUUCGAGACUACUCAAUCACCUCUACAAAACAAAGAUAUCCCCUUUUUAAAGUCGAAGAAAACAAAAAGUGAAAGAAGAAAUCCCCGUUUCUCACGUUUCCUUCGAAAGCACUACUACUUUUCUAAUUUUUCCUAAGAAAAGGAUAUUUCCUAAAAAUGACAAAGGAUAAGCUAACUCGUUUCCUAAUACAGGUUGGAAAGACUGAAGGGCAAUCAUCUUGGGAACAGAAAAAUACGCUCCUAAGGACUUUAACUUGAAUUGGGAAAUUGCCAAACGUGCAAAUGUCGAUCUCUCCGGACUUGACAAUAGAAUUUGGACGUGCCCACAACAAACCGGUUCAUCGUCUUCUGAAAAAUUGCCUCCUUUCAUCACUUUUUUCCUCUACCUCUUACAAUUAACAUCAUUAAUCAAGCAUAAGUAGAAUCUAUCAAUUAAUAUAAUAUUUGAUCAAAAUUCAAGGAAAAAUACUCAUAAAUUUGACAGCAAUUACGCACCCUGUCAACUUUAUGUAAGAGGAAGGAACGAGAGAUUGAGCUCUUGAUAAUCAUCCAUCAUACACUCAAUCCACACGAGAUUCAUAAAUAUGGAGUUAGAAGCCCGCAGGGAAGGGAAAGUUAAAAGCAAUGUACUGGGUCGUGAUUUGUUGGUGCAAACGGGGUUGGUUGGUUUCAAAUGGGUGUGACCAUUAUACUUGUACAAUAGAUAAUUUUUGAGUGAGAAUUUUCAUUAUUCAACAUGGUUGUUUAAAAUUUGAGGACCCUUAAUUUAAUCUGUUCCAAGAUACUCAUCCACCUGAAAAUUUCUUAAAAUUGAGGUUUAACUUCUUUCUUGUCUCGGCUCUUUCUACUACUGUUGACUCUAUAACUUACAACAACAACCCCUUUCUCAAUUUUUCUUUGCUAAAUCAUACUACUGUGGCUUUAAAAUGUUGCUCUUGAUUGACAUUCCAAAACUAGACGGCCUAUCCAGUAGGUUACCAGGACCGAAAGAGGGUUACCAGGCCCAAGGUGUCGUCCUACCCACCAGGGAUUUUCCCUCUAAUACACGAUCCAGGCCAAUCAUAAGUGACUCUGGUUUGGGCUACCUUAUUCAUCUGGAAUCCGGGCUACGACCCUGAAUUUUUGUCAAACAUUUUGUUUGACAGUGAUAGAACUGUCAAACAUUCGAAUGACUUCCAUUUUACCAAAAGCCUGAUUGAUGGCAAUUUUGCCAGUUUGUCCAACAGCAAUAUGCUUCAGUUUGGAAGUAAAAUGUCUUUCUAUCUGAUUUGGGGUUUCCCAAAACGAUUUUACAAAUGGGCUAUAUGGUAUCUAGGAAGACCAUCUGUCAUGUUUUUGUGUGGCACAGCGAGUUGUUGAUUAAGCUAAAUCAUUACCUACACAUUAGCAUUUGAAGAAUAUUUGGUCCGAGGUAUCUGAAAUUUGAGAUGUUCUUGUCUGAAGAAGAAGUUUUGGCGGCGAAGGGAGAUCAUUAUUGGUAGGGAUUCCUUAGAAGAAGUUUGGUUUGUAAACUUAAAAUGUGGAUGGCUCAGCAGUAGAAUGGAGUCCGGGCCUGGUAGGUAGAGGUGGCGUGCUCAGAUCAGAAGUGAUGAGAGAAGCUUUUUCGGCUAUGGGGUGGUGAAUAUCGGACAGGCACAGGCUACAAGUCUUGCUGCACAAUUGUGGACGAUUGAUUGUAGCAAGGUUUAAAAGUAGCUUGAAAGUCUCAAAUUGAGGCAUGCUGGAGUGGAAUCCGACUUUAAACUAAGGCUAGACUUGGUUCGAUAUGCAGGAGUUUUAUCAAAACUUACUUUAGCAAAUAAUACCAUCAGGCGUUUCUUUGUUAUCAAAUUCACAGAUGUUGUUGAGCCGCUGUUAGCUUCAGAUCUUUGUAGGUGCUUCAGAAGUUGUUGAGUACGCUUUGCCUUUUACAAUAUCGUCAAAAGUUUAAUUGACAGAAGAUGAUAAGUAGACUAUCUUUCAUAAUUAUUUGGAAAGGAAGGAUUUGUGAUUGGUUUGGUAGAGCUAGUUGGAACUAGGAAAGGAUUCUUUCAUAUAAUGUAUGGCGCUAUGUCCCCAGUUUUUGUUAUUGCCGCAACCCAAUAGGUUUUGAGAUGUUAAACAUACGAAUUUGUAUUAGGAGUACCUGAGUUGAGGAGGGAAAUACCAGUGAGCCCUGAAUCCAAAGAAGGGUGCUGAAGCAGAUGAACACCUAUGGGUAUGGGGUACGGGUUCAUUGAGAUAACUAGAAGACCCAUACUUGAGGCCAGCAAGUACUUUAAAUGCUCCACAAAUUGGAUGGUUGAACAGGAGUAGCCGUGGACCGGAGGUUAAGUAUGGGAUUGAAACGAAUAUUGGCAGAAGAUUCAUUGUCAAUGCAUCUGUGAUCACUGAUUAGCGGGGACUAAGGCUAUACUUUCAAGACACUACUAAUUUUAACUCGCGUGCUUAUUAUAUCCCACCGGCAACAGCUAAAGGAGAAAAUAGGAGGAAGUGAUCAUGGAAAAACGAAGAUGAUAUCAUCACUAUGGACUUUGUUCUCACGGCUGCCUGCAACUUGGAACUCUGCAAUAUCAUCCCUAACAUAUGGGAAAACCAUGAAACAGCUGCCAGAGGACAGUUUGCUUGAAAAAUGGGAUCCCGGUGCAAGACUGAAUAAUUAUUACUGACAAAACCAAAAAUUUUAAGAAGCACGCAAAAUGCUAAAUCCGCUAUAAUUAGCACUUUGAGAAAUCCACCAAAAGAUUGAAACCAAGCAUUAUUGCUUUUCAAGCUUAAAAGUAUCACACGCAGUUUAGAUUUUCAUCUCUUUGAGAUAAAAGGCAAAACUUUACUUACACUUACAGGUUCUGUGCGACCGUUACGGGACAUUCACAAGCUUAUGACAACUUUCUGCAGCUGAUCCCAAUUCCGGGGUCAGCCUUUCAAUCAAAGUUUCAACUCCUCAUUUUUUUCAGUAUCAGAAUUCUAUGUGCAUUUGAUGUGGAAACAUUGGAAACUCCCAUCUUGUUGAGAGUUAUCAUGUAAUUUGAAUUCAAGGCCAAAAGCUCAUGGCUGAGGAACGGAAUUCCUGCUUCUGCUAUACCUUGACAAGAACACCCUGGCACUGCAAGAAAGUGAUCUCUUUACCGCAGAAGUCUCUUUUUGCGAUGAUCUCUCCACCGAAGAACAACCCUCCGAUCUCGACAAGCACUGCUCAUUGCCAGCUCCCUUUGGAGCAAGACCCAUACUUGAUCCAUUCAUUUGCAUAUUCUUGUUGUCUGAGUUUCUGUCACAUUGUGGUGGAAAUGCAUUAGCAAUAGCAGCACUAACUUUGAAGGCUGAUAAGGAAUCCAUCGAAACUGAUCUUCUGAGCGGUUGAAUUCCUUCCUCCUCUCUGGCACCACUAUUUCCCACAUCUUCCAUGAAAUUUUCAUUUCUCCUCGAUGCAUUUCCGGUUCCUACCCUUGAUUCAUCUUCCUCUUCCACCUCAACACCGACUUCAAGAACCUCACUUUCCCUUUCUCUCUCGGAAUCCCUAUUAUUUUCCGAAACUCCCAUUUGGAUUUCCUCCACACGACCUGAAUUAUGAUGACUCUGCGACGAAGACUGGAGGUUAGCCGUGCUCACAACAAUCCCAGCUCGGCAAUUGGGGCAAUUGGUGUGUGAUCUGAGCCAAGUAUCAAUGCAAGGUAUAUGAAAAGCAUGAUUACACUUGGGCAGCAGCCUUAAAGUCUCAUCUUCUUGAAAUUCAUUCAAGCAAACAGAGCACUCUGUUCCUUCCACCAGUCCAUCACCUCUUUUAUACUUACAAAUAGUGAUUGCAUUAAUCACAGACGACUGAAGACCAACUGUCCUGAUAUACCAUAUGGGAUGGUCAACCACGGGACCCUGAUCUUCAUCAAGAAAAUCCAGAUGGGCUUCUUCAUCCUCUCCAGGCUGCUGCUGGGGCUGUGGAAUCAAUUGCCUACUCCUUGAAGACGUAUACCGACGUUUAUAAAACUUGUAUAUCAUGUAGAUAGAGAAAAUCAAGAAAGUUGUGGCUAAAACACCAAGAGACACGGAGAGGGAGACAUAGAGUCCAGAUGGCUGGGUAGAAUGCUUGCCAUCAGAAAGCAAAGUAUGAUCAGGAGGUGGUGGAGGCAGACCGGGAAAGAGUGGAUGGUUGCAGGUUGGAUAACAUUGGAGUAUACAUCUGACCGGACAAGAUCCGUCUAGGUUGUGUACAGGAUCACAGAAAGAUAGACAAAGUCUUUCAACUGAAUUCUCGAGAGAAUCAUUAAGCAACUUCCUGUGGUGGAAGGACAUGGCUCAUUUGAUUUUCAUAACAGUGAUUUUUCUGGGGUGUUCUUGGUGGGGUGAAGGAAGGAAGAAAGGAAGGGAGGAGGGGUGGGGGCCUGGGGAUGGGGCUGGGGGUGGAGGUUGGAUGAGGAUUGAGAUGGAUGGAAGAGUCGGCGAAGGCUACCACUUGGAGUUGGAGUGUUGCUGAAUGUUGACUAAAGCUAAUACUUUUUCGUUUUUUUUUGUCAAAAGAAAAGCUUUUCUUUUUUCCUAAUCCGGCCAUUUGUUGAUCUUGACUUCUACGAAGGUCCGUCUAACUUUGAAGGCGGCAGAUCGUCCUUGCAUGUCUUAUUUCCCUAUAUAAUCCGUAUUGUAUUGGAAAUUGCAAAAGUAAUACAAAGUUCUGAAUUUUCUCAAAAUAAAGAUUUUACUUUGAAAAGACAAUUUCAAAAUCACAAUUUUAGAUGGCAAAUUCACAGGUUAUUUAUUCUUCAUUUCUCUCUAGAUUCCUUGUUCUAAAGUGGUCUAUAGUCAUCAUUUCAAAUAUUCGCUUGAAAGGAUCGAUCUAUAAUAGUAAUUUUUAAGUUAUCUUUUGAAAUAACGAAAUCUUUAUUUUAAAAAGAAUUAAAAAUUUUGGAAUUUCAAAUAAAUAUUGGAUUAAAUAGGUAAAAUCCCAUCAAGCUCACUCCAAAAUGGUCACUUUGUUUUUCUUUAGUUUUUAUCCAUACAUGGUCAUGUAGUUUUUUGGGUUAAUUACAGUUUGCUUCCCUGAAUUUGAUCCAUUAUAACACUCUACCCCCCUGAACUUUAAAUAUAUACACUUUGCCCUCUUCAUUGAUUAAUCAAAUUAAUGAUGAAUUCUCCAUCCAAAAUUUUAACAACAUAACAUUAAUGUCCUUACAUAAUAGUUCCAUAAUAAUACUAUACUUUUAAUUGAAAUAUGAAACAUCUUAUUAGAAAAAAAACACAAAGUCACAUGAUUUAAAAAAAUAAAAAAAAAAUACAAGAUGGUAUAAUAUCAAAGAAUUGAAAAUUUGUAUUGCAGAAAAAAAAAUUUAAAAAUUCUUAGAACAUCUGCCCAAAUUUUCCAUCACUUAUCUUUCUUCCUUUAAAUUGUAAACGGAUUGAUUUUAAUAAUUUUCAUUUACGUUGCAACUUUCACAAGAUUUUCAAGAGUCAAUAAAAUGCUAUUUGGUAAUUUUAUACCGCAUUCAUACCUUGCUGUGUAUUUUGUUUGAGUUCUAUAUUUUAAAAAAUAAAAAAUUCUCUAACUAUGUUUUUCAAUAUAUUUUUAUUUUUAAUCAUGUUUUUAUAUUAUAUAAAACACAUUAAAAAGUACUACAAUAAAAAAUAAAAGCAAAUAAUUUUUAUUCCAUAUGUACUAAUUAAUUUUUAUUUCAUUUAAAAUAAGUACUACUAUCGGCAAUGAAAUAAAUACAUUGUAUAUUUUUUUGGAAUCAAGGCGUAUUUACAUUUUGAUUCACACGUGAAAAUUCUCCUUGAUUAUGUGGACAGCAGUAGUAUUGUGUAACUGUGUUGCAAUUGUUGGGUUAGUCCAAAUUCAACUGCAUAGUGGUGAAUGACGCUCAUUGUUGUUUCUUUCGUCUAUAUGGGCAUUACCUUUUUCUUUUUCUUUUUUUUAAAAAAAAAAAAUUUUCAGCGCAAAAACAAAAAGUGUUUAAGUUAGAUUUAAGAGAGUUGUUGGCUAGUUUCAACUUAUUAGUGCAUUAUGCUCACAAAUAGGGAACAAAUAAGCGCAGUAAUGCCACUGCCUUCUCUUGUCUCCGCACAUUAAUUCCAAAGAACUUUCAACCGAAACACUACGGUAGAAGCUGGUGAACUCACCAUGAGAAAAGAUCCAUUUUCCAAUGGAUAAAUAUUUUCUUUAGCUCAAAACUUCAGCAUUGUAAUUAUAAUUCUCUAGUUAAAUUUUUUUAAAAAAAUAUAUAUAUAUAUAUUGGCAUGGCCCUCCACAUGAGCACAACUUUCUUUCCUAAUUUUGAAUGGGAACAACCAUCAUUUUAUUUCAGUCAAUUGUUUUACAUUUGAUAAAUGCUCCAGCUGGAGAAGUAGAACCAGCAAUGCAUGUGGGAGCAGUUUAAUUUGGUCAACAACAAGGUACAUUUUUUAAGUAAUUGGUUCCGAAUCUGAGUUCAUAAAGGAGUUUUCUAGCCAUCACAAGUUGGCUUAAUUAACGAGAAUGAGUCAUUUUCUUGUAAAAAGUUGUAUGCUCAAAAUUAGCUGUUAAUGUGACGGUUGUGUUGAAAAAGAAUCUGUGAGAAUCUCUGUAAACGACCUAUGGUCCGGAGAGAUAUGCCUUGACUCAUAGUGAUGACCGGAGUCGAACCACCCAAAUUUUAAUUUACCCAAAAAAAAAAAAAUGGAGUUUCUGAAAAAGCAUCCACAACCAUUAAAACAGCUUGCCUAUUUGACCUAUCUGAUAAUGACUUCCAGGCUGAUAUUACCCGCAGAUUCUUCAAAUCCGGCUGCCUCGUACAUGAAAUUCUUUCCCUGAAAAAUGUGGUGCUGAUUGUAAGAGUCGACUUGAUGAACAGUAAUAAAAGGUACUGAUAUUUAUUAGUUUGCCAACAAUAAUCAAAUUUAGCUUAACAUAGUAAACGAAAUUAAUCUCGUGCUUAAUUUCAGUUUUCAAUUCUAGUGGUGGUACGUUUGAAGUAGAAGAAUCAGAUUGAAUUUGAUUAAUGCAACCCUGCCAUCUUUGUUUGUUUGUUUGUUUGUUGAUGAUUAUACUAAAUAGAAUACAUUAGUAUGGUUUAUAUUUUGAUUGUUCAGCUGCAUUUUGCACGAAUGAUAAGAAGUCAGUUCGUGAUAUAAUUAAUUACUAAUGGAUCGUUGUCAGUUGGGUGACCUAUCAAUAAUGAUACUUGAAGCGGAAAUAAUUACUGAUCACUACAGGGAAUAGUAUUACUAUUAUUUUCCACCCUGGAAAAAGUCCUCCCUCCGUAGCUAACUAACAACCCUGUCAUGCUCUUACGUUACUUCACCAGAAAGAAAGAGCAAAGGGCAGGGUAAAAAAAAAAAUGGAUAUAUAUAUAUAUGAUCCUAUAUUAUACACCCAGCAUUAGCAUUAAGAAGAAAGCAGCUUAAUUAAUUGGAAGAUUUGACCUGUGAAAUUUGUUUCCAAGUACUAUGGUAUAUAUUUAGAAAAUCAAAUUGGAAGAAAAAACGAAACAUUACUAACUUGCACGGAAGAUGUUGCUUGCGAAAAUUUUAACUUAAAAAAGUGAUCAUAGGAUUAGGAAAGCUCGCAUCAUACCUUGGCGUGUUCGUAUCGAUCUGCUGCUCUCAAGUUAGUACUAAUUUUAACGUUUGGACCCAUAUUGUCUACACGAACACGUUCUGUCCAGUUCAAUUCGACCAAAUUAAAAGACUUCCAACUUGAGUUGUGGCAUCCCUCUCUAUAGCUAACAAUAAUAUACCAUCAAACCUAUUCAUUCAUCAACGAUAAGGAGUCCUUGUUCGAUCAGAAAGUUCUUUUUUUUUUUGUUGUUUUCGGGUGAAUGAUAAGCCUUUGGUCCGGUGGAAAAUCUGUUCAUCAUAUAGUACCAAGUAUAACUAUGUCAGCUGCUGCAAGAAACUCUCCCUACAAACUUCAGGAUUUGGUCACCCUACUUUACCGUUAUAGACUUUCUUCAUCGGUGGCAAAUGCCGGCAACCGCCAGUUCUUGUCAUCCAAGUUCCGUUGUGGCAAUUACAUGAAUCAAGGGUACUUAAGAUCAUUCACUAGCGCCCCCAUCGACCAAGCUGAUGCAAAAGGAAAACCCGAUUUUCAAAUGUAGCAGUCUCUCUCUCUCUCUCUCUCUCUCUCUAUAUAUAUCAUCUGCUGUCUCAUCUUCCAUUUUGCUAAAUAUAUUCUUCUUCUUUUUUCUACCUGUUCUUUUGGGGCUGUGUUUUGUUUGUUGUAGAUUGAAGGACGCAGAGAAGAAGGUUCAGCCAACGUUGCCGGCUUCUGCUGACAAGCAAAGCUUUUCAUCGUGGUAAUUAAGAACUAGCUUGUUUGGCAUGACUAAGGAGUACGCAGUAGGCAUGACUCAGAUAUGCUCCUCUGAAUAAUGUGCAAUUUUCUUAAUGAGUAUAAUAAGGGUAUGGAUCAUCUGGAGAGUAAUGCAUAUCCCAGCUUGAGUCCUCUCUUAACAAGUGCAUAUAUUAAGUACUCGUUAACCAAACUGAUUGUUAAAUGCUACUUCAUCCAAGGAAAAAGAUUGCCAAUGUAAAAAACACUUAGUUCUGCCUAACCAAAAAAUAUAUAGCUACUCAAAAGAUAACCAAUGAAUUAGACUUCAUAGAAACACAAAUUCCCCAGUUAGAAAGGAUGAUCUAUGUCAUACCCCACAAACUAUGAACCAAUCUUUAUGCCACAUCUAACAGCUAAGAAGAACAGUAAUUUACGCUUCUUGCUUAUUAAUUCAGCCUGCAUAAAAGUUUGAUUCGUUCGCUGCCUUCAAGUUCCCUCUCAACAUUGAAGACACGAUCUUUUUAUGGAUUAAAGGAGAGAACUAAAUUCUGCAGGGCCAAGUGGCUUUUGGGUUCUUUGAUGACAUUAUUGUUGCCUUUCUGGAAGCAAGAGUGGGAAAGCUUACGAGGACUGGAAGGUACGUUUGUGUUAUGCGUACAAAACAACGAUUCUAUGGGGCCGGGUAUUUGAUUAAAAGGUGAUUUAAUUACUUGGAUAGUUGCAUCUCACUAAAUUAAAGCUUCUUUGAAUCAUAAUCGGGGAGCGUCCAGGGAAGGUGGAAAAGGUCGUUGGAGAGGUAGAAGUUGUAGCGGAGGUGGUGGAGAACGUGGCCACUGUGACGGAGAAGGUGUCAGCAGAGGUGGCUGAAAAGCUUCCGGACAAUAACAAAAUCAAAGAAGCUGUGCUGGCGGUAGAACACUUAUCAAGUGUGGCCGCUCAAGAGGCUAAAUUAAUCGAAGAUUUUAUUCACAACGUAUGUGGAUCAGUUAAGAAUAAAAAAGAAAACCAUUUGCUGUAAAUCAAUUACUGGUUCACUAAUGGCAGCUUGGCUACUUUGGGUUGACAGGUUGGUGACAUGAAGCAAGACCUGAAAGAGAUGGAGAAAAUAGCAGAGCCUGCAAUUGAAAAAGUAGUGGAACCCCAUCAUCAAGAACAAGCAGCUUAGAUGGACGCGAUUUUCUCGUGGCAAGGAGUAUUUUCCACGGCACUAAACGUGCAAUGCUAAUUAGUUCCCUGAUCCAUUUCUGUAAAAGCCUCGUCUUUGUUCUGUAAAUAACUGAUCAAUUCGUACGUGCAAUUUGCAGAUGGCUAUUGAAAGACCAAUAAGUUGAGCUUGGAAAAUGCUCUUUUAGAUUCCACUUGAUGAUCGAAUUUUGCGUAAUUAACAGUCUAUUAAUUGUUUUUGUUCUUCUGAAAGCCAUGCAGCUUCAUCAUAGACUAUAUCUGUUUAAGCAUUUAACUUCCAGCCAAGAAGCUACAUUUGUGUCUCUUCCAACUCCAUGCAUCUCCCAAAUUACCUUAGUACAAUAUGUAGCCAUCAUUGUCCUAUUUGCGAAAAGUUCCAUACCGCCAUCAUUGUCAAAAAAAAUAAUUAAUUAAAAUUAAAAUACUACUCCCACCUAGAAUUUUACAGAAAAUAAAAAAUAAAAAAUAAAAUACUACUCCCUUCCACGUGACAUGUUACACGUUAGGCGAUGGAUGUCAUUGUAGCAAAAAACUAAUUCUAGUGUCCAUGUAAGAUCUAUGUUGGUAGGCCAUAUAUAAUAACUUCUGUAAGUGACCAUGUCCUAAGCCAUAGUAGUGAUUAAAUUCGAACCCAUUUGAACUUUUAAUUAGUAAAAAAAUUUAUUGGAGAGACCCAGCAGAAUUAAUAACAGAGGCAGCAGAAGCCCCUCAGAUUUCAGAAUUGAAUGAAAGUCUGUGGAAUGCGGAUUAAUACCACGUAACAACCCAUAGGCUUUUUUAUCCGCCGCUCUAUAUCACGUCAAUAAUGAGUGUGUCUAGGUAGGUAGCAGAUUAUUCGAAAUAAUUUUUUAAAAAAAUUAUUAUAAUAUUUUUUUAAUAUAAUAUAUAUAAAAUAAAAAUAUUAUUGAAAAAUAUGUUAACAAUACAAACAACUAUUUUCUAAUCCAUGAUGAAGAUUAAGGAUCAUUCUUUUAUAAUUGGGUAGAUAAGAUUUUGUUAAUAUCCGAAAAAGAUACAAAAUACAAGGGGCAUACCCUAUCCGGCCAUAAAUCAACCAACAAAGACACAGAUACGCUCACACUGUUGACAAAUUAUCAUUUAGAGAGAAAUUACGCGUAUUUCUUCUCUCGGUAUAAUCCCUGAAAAAAUCGCUAAAUGGAUGAUAGCUUGAAGGUUCAAAUCUUCAGCAGAAAGCUGAUAAAACCAUCAAAUCCAACUCCAAGUCAUCUUAGAAGCUUCAAGCUUUCAUUGUUCGAUCAGCUAGCUCCUCCACUAUAUGUUCAUAUACUCUUCUAUUACUUGCUUGAUGAAGAUCACAAUCGAGCCGAAAACGAUGAGAGAUUUGCUCAAAUGCAGAAAUCCUUGUCCCGGGUAUUAUCCAAGUAUUACCCUCUAGCUGGCAGAUUCCUUAAAGAUGAACUCUUGAUUGAUUGUGCGGAUCAAGGAGUUGAAUACUUUGAGGCACAUGUCAAUGGAGAACUUGUGGAGUUUCUUCAAGAAGGACCAGAGAUUGAGCUUCUGAAUAAAUUUCUGCCCUGGAAUCCUCCUCCGUCGCCAUAUCUGGCAACAAGUCCACUAGUAGCAGUCCAAAUCAACAAGUUUGAAUGUGGAGGAGUAGUGGUAGGCAUCCAAAUUUCACACUUCAUUGUAGAUGCCAGUUCAAUGAUGACAUUCCUGAAGGAAUGGGCUAACAGCUGCACUAGCCCGACAGAGAUGUAUCCAGUGCUCAGUCCUAAUUAUAAUGAUCACUUUGUUUCAAUCUUCCGGCAAGAACACUAUCAGGGCCUAAACCCCGGACCAGCCGACUACCCUGCUAAGAUAGUCACGCAAAGAUUCUUGUUAGAUGAAACGAUAAUAGAGAAGAUCAUGGAAGGAGCUGCUUUAUCUUGUUCAAAAUGUAAUUUUCAUCCAUCUAGAGUGGUGGUAGCGUUAGCACUGAUAUGGAGGGCUCUCCUAGGAGUAUGUCUUGCCAAACAUGGGCACUUCAGGGACUCAAUUGUUGCUAUUGCAAUGAACUUGAGGGGGAAAACAGCUCUAACAAUAUCAGAACCAAAUUAUGGGAACUUUUGGACCUCGGUCAUAGUUCCAUUGGAAGCGAAAAAAGCCAAGAUACAGUUGCAGGAGCUGAUGAUAUUACUCGAUAAUAGAAUAAAAUCCACAAGUGAAAAACUUGCAACAGCUAGUCCUGAGGAUAUUUCAUCAAUGCUGAUCGACUCCCGCAGAGAGAUUAUUGAGAAACGUUAUCUGUCCGUUGGUAUAGAUGUUUACGUUUGUACCAGUUGGUGUAGGUUCCCGAUACAUGAAGUUGAUUUUGGUUGGGGAAAACCACAUUGGGUAAGUCAUGCAAGCAAAGCAAUUGAGGCGAUUGGUUUGGUGGAUGCCAAAAAGGGAGAGGGGCUUGAAGCAUGGGUAAGUUUGAAAGAGGAGGACAUGAUCGAAUUCAAAAGAGCACUGGAAGUUUUAGUGCCAGUGCCCAAAUGAUAAUUCUAGCGUCCUUGAAGUUUAUACUGUGAUUCCACUUUGAUUAGCUACAUUUUACGGUAACAUCGAAUCUUGUUUUCCCGUCCUUUGUACUGCAGUUAUGGUGCUAAUAUUCUGAAAAUCAUGUUUAGAAUUUGUUUUUCAUCUUAUACUUUUUUCUGACAAACUAAGACAAUGCCAGUACUAUUUAUUUAUUCGAUUAACAGAUCAGCAGAGUGAGGUGUCUCCUGCAAUUCAACCGUGUAAAUCUUCCUGUUUGAAAGAACUAGUUUUGCCAAGGGACUUAUCACUUAUCAGGGCUAUUCCCCUGAUCGUUUCAAACUUUAGCUCAUAUCUAAUGCAGUCAGCUGAAGCUACAUUAUCCUCAAUCACAUGAAAAUUGCCAAAUUGCGUCAGACAUGCUAGAUUGGAAAAGACCUCACAGAAAAAGAACCUCCCAAGUCUUUAAAGAGGAAGUUCAACAUUGUAUCAUCUUUUGAUCUUUCAGAAUGGUAUUCCUAUAUACAUCAGACAGGCUUCAAGAAGUAAACAAUUUUCAGACAACUAUUGCACAAAUUGCAGCUAAAAUGCAUAAAUCAGGAAAAAAGAAUGACACGCAAUGCAUGACAGUAGAAAGAACAUAUAAUGACUAUCACUAGAAUAAGGUUAUAUUAUUAUCUGUAUGUCAAUCCUUUUGUCACUUCAAUCUGAAUUGAAAUCAUGAAAACUGUCAGUUCAUCUCUUGAUCAUGCCUGAAUAGCAAUCAUCCAGUGCUGAUUUUGCCGCUGGAAACAGAGAAGCUUACAAGUCAGAUCCAUUUAUUUAGCUCCCAGCGCUGGGUUUACCAUUCUUGUUGCUAAUUAAGUUCGGAAAACCAUUUGAACUGAAGUCAUAUAUGUGGCCCAAUUUGACACGUUUAGUUUCCAAAUAUCUCUUGUUCUCUUUUGUAAUGAAACUUUGAAGAGGGACGCGCCCAGCAACCGCUAGACCAUAGCCCUUGAGCCCACUGUACUUUGCAGGGUUGUUUGUCAUCAGCUUCAUUCCACCCAUGAGGAACCAAUAGACUUCCACCCCUGGCUGACUCUUGAACAUUCACCUACGGAUGCUUCUUAGACUGAAACAAAGAUAACUUUUGCAACAUUUCCUUCUUUUGUAGAACUUCCUAAAUCUGUUCUUGUUGCCAUUAUUAUUGAACUUGGGUGUAGAUAUCAUGUUUUAGCUAUUUCUCUAUCUCUGGGUCCCCUGUUGUUGAUGUAUCUUUGCCUAUUCAGUGGCUUUUGAAUCCUUAAGCUGCUUCAUUGGAGAGGAAACUCACUGUGAUUUAAUCUUUUUCCAUGGUUAGUCUGUUAACCUGAACAGUAUCAUGAGUACAAGUGCGUUCCACAGAGAGAGAGGGAGAGAGGGGACCUGAGUACUAUCAUGUUUACAAGGGUAUUACACGAAGAGAGAAACAGGUGUGUGUGUGUGUGUGUGUGUGUGUGUAUAGAGAGAGAGAGAGAGAGAGAGAGAGAGAGAGAGAGAGAGAGAGUAAAGCUACAGGAAAAUUGUCAGAUAUGGUGUUGAAUUCUGCUUAAAAUCAUUUAGCUCAUCAACAAUCAGCCCGGAAAAAACAGGCUACUGCCACCUUAUAUUAAUUUCCUUAUUUGUUGGUAAUAGUUUAUGUGGUGGAUGAAUAUUAGCAGGAUGCAAUGGGAGUUGAUGACUAAGACCUUGAAUAAACCAAGAGUAGUCAUACCUUUGAAGUAGUAUGCACCAUGGAUUUCUUAUAUUAGCAUUGAUAUACCAUAUAUUUGGUCAGCCAUGAUAUUUUUAUAUUAAGAGCAGAAGAUGUUAUCAUAAAGCUAUGUGGCUUUUCCCUUUCAUUUAAAUUUCAUAGCAGUUCUGCAGUUGUUUAAUCUGUGUCAAUGUUGCACUUACUGAAGGGUAAACAUGGAGUAAAGUCUUAAGAAAACAGACUCGACUCUUAAGCGCAGAUUAAUUUUUUUGUACGCACAGGUGUCAUUUUGAGUUUUUCUUUUCAGUUUUAAUCUUCAUGUGCGUCUGAAUCAGGUAAUUGAGAGUCCUAAUCGUAGAUCAUAUGAGGUUGGGAUUGCUGUAUAAAUAGCAUGUAUGGAUCUAUUAUCCUGGGUUCUUACCUUUAGCACUAAUUUAUAUUCUCUUUUCAAGUCUGAUGGUUCUAAUGAGGAGUUUUUUUGGAAAGAUAUAGUGCCUAACUAUGAAAUGGUUUACCCAUAGUAUAUGUUUUAUGAUCGUCUUAACCUCCUUUCUCAAGGGGAAAAGAUUGAUGAAGAUGCUUCAUCUGGGGAUGCAUUUGAAGAUGCGCUUGAAUCUGAAUUCUUGACCGCUGAUAUUGUAGAUUCUGAGGAGGUUUGUAUUAUAUGCCCCAACUUGUUCCCAAUAGAGUUUUUUCUUUUUCUUUUUUUUUUGAAAAACCUCUUGUAUUUAAAUUUGAUAGGAACACAAACUCUUGACAUGUUCUUUAGUGCUAAAACUGUCUUUUACACCUUGUUCUCCUGUGAGGAUAAUUAGUAUGACAUUUUCUUUUUAUUUAAAGCUUUGUGAGCUGAUGGUAUUGGUAGAAUUGUUAGAAUUAACAUACGUCUUUUGCCAAUAAAGAAUCAGAAGUCAUGAUUGGUUUUGACCUUAGUGGUGUUAGUUGCUUUCAGAUUUCUAAGCUUAUUGUUGUCAGUCUGUUUAAUUUUUUCUAAGACUUUACUGUUAAUUAUCUUUUUAUUAGUAUGCCAUAUUCCUCAUUCUUAGUUGAUACUAAUUUAUCAGGAGGUGCCAGUGGGCUUAGAGGAGCCAUCUGGGGGCAACGAUUCAACUCUGCUGCCUAUUCUUUGUGUUGAAGAUGGAUUGGUGAUUCUACGUUUUUCAGAAAUUUUUGGCCUUUAUGAGCCUUUAAAGAAGUCUGACAAAAGGGAGCGCAAAUAUCCUGUUCCUAGAGGUAUAUAUUUUCUGUACCUGAAUGUUUCGAGUAUAUUGCUGCUAAUAAAUUUUAUGGCAGUAAUAUAUUAAUCACUUGCGCUUAUUCACCUUAUGCAUCUCUUUAUGGACUUCCAGUUUAGCCAUUGGUCCUUUCCUCAUGUUGAAUGUUUUCAGAUAAAUUCAAGACUAUGGAUACUCCAGAAAAUGUUGAAGAAGAUGAGGAAACAUUCUUGAAGGGAUCCGGCUUAGAUGUGUCUGGUACGAGACAAGCCCAAGUGGCUCAACACAAUGUUUUAACAUUUAUGGACGAUGAUUUAGGAUCGGGGAAGUUUGGUGUUAUCCAGGAAGAUGGUAAAAUUGAUGCAGAAGUUGACCAGUGUAGAAAAGAUUCUUGUCAGAGUUCUGAACCAUUUAAAGAAGAUUUGCCAGUGAUGCUUCCUCCAGAGUGGAACUCACCUAUUUGUCCAAAGUUUUACCCUCUUGAUCAACUAAACUGGGAGGAUAGGAUAAUUUGGGAUAAUUCUCCAGCACAGAGUUCCAGUGUUGAAGAGAGUUGUGAGAUGUCUGGACCUGAUUCUGACGUACUGGGUGAUAAGAAUUUUGAGGCCGAUACUCACCCUCUGGUGUCAGAUCUUGAAAGAGAACGUUGUGAACAUGAACAUCCUUUUCGUCAUGGUUUUUCCAUAUCACCAGAGCCCUUUGGUUCAGGAAGUCUUUCUGAACCUUCGAAACUGCCUUACUGUGAAAGAAUGUAUCAUCCUCAACUUUUAAGGUUAGAGUCUCGAUUUGAUCAAGAUGAUCCAAAUAAUACUGACCUUGGACAUGAAGGAGGCUCUGAAAAAGUUCUAGGUAAUGGUGUCAUAAGCCGUUUUAAUAGGCUUAUGUUAGAGAAUGGAGAUCUGCAGAAGGAUCUUGGUUGGACAAUAUAAUUUGGGAUUCAAAUCAGCCCAUUUCAAAGCCGAAGCUGAUAUUAGAUUUCCGAGAUGAACAAAUGCUUUUUGAAAUUCAAGAUAAUAAGGACAGUAAGCAUCUUAGGCUUCAUGCUGGUGCUAUGAUUAUAACCCGUUCAGUCAAGCCUAGUACUGGUGACUCUGUCGAGCUACAUAGUCAUGGAGGUCUUUCAGGAGGUAGGUUUAACAUCUCAAAUGACAAAUUUUACUCAAAUAGGAAAUCUUCCCAGCAGGUGAAAUCACAUAUGAAGAAGCGUACAGCUCAUGGUCUCAAAGUUCUGCAUUCAAUUCCAGCACUUAAGCUGCAGACGAUGAAAGCUAAGCUAAGCAAGUAAGGGUUGAGUGCCACAUUCUUUUUGUAGUUCUUUUACCAUAGAUGGUCUGUUUUACUUUGUUUAACAUGUGUAAAUUUUUAUGCUUGAGGCUUGGCUGUUUAUUCAGCAAGUUGAUCUUCUUAUUAAGUUCCAAUCUUGACCCUUUGUCAGUUUUCUUACUUGUCUACUUUUCCUGUUCUAAUCUUCUUUUGAACUUAUUGUCUUAGUUCAUGUUGUUUUUUUUGUUAAAAUGUCAUCUCUUAUCCAGUAUGUGAGGUUAUUUUUGUCUUCUACUUGCAUUGGAUGCUCUGUUUCCUAUUCGUAUUAUGGCUUUGAGUGCGUGUUAGUCUGCUACUGCUUAUUGUGAAUUUUUUGAUGUACUUUCAGUAAAGAUAUUGCUAAUUUCCAUCGACCAAAAGCUUUAUGGUAUCCUCAUGAUAAUGAGGUGGCACUGAAAGAACAAGAGAAGCUGUCUACGCAAGGACCUAUGAAGGUCAUAGUAAAGAGUUUGGGAGGCAAAGGAUGUAAACUUCAUGUGGAUGGCGAGGAGACCAUCUCUUCAGUUAAAGCUAAAGCUUCAAAGAAACUAGGUCUCACUUUUAUUAUGCUUCUGAUGUUACUAAAUUUCGUUGUUAAAAUCUAGUUGUUCUUCGUUUGCUAUAGAAUAUGGAAAUAUUGUUUUAUCUCUUGCUUGUAGAUUUUAAAUUGUCUGAGCCAGUGAAAGUGGUUUAUUCUGGAAAGGAGCUAGAAGACCACAAGGCUCUUGCUGCACAAAAUGUGCGACCAAACUCCUUGUUGCACCUUGUUCGUACAAAAAUCCAUUUACUACCCAGGGCACAAAAAAUCCCUGGUGAGAACAAGUCUUUGCGUCCUCCUGGGGCAUUUAAGAAGAAGUCCGAUCUUUCAGUAAAGGAUGGUCAUGUCUUUCUGAUGGAGUAAGUCUUAAAAGUUCUUGCUUAUCAUCUAUACACCAGUCCCUUAUGAAUACAAAAGAUAGUCCAACAAUCUCAGUCAAGAUUAAUUCUAUUCCAUGUAAUUAGAUCAGCUUGUGAUUUGUUAGAUGUGAAGAUCUUGGUCAUAAUAAAGUAUUGUUUAUUGGAACUGUGGGGCAGAAUACGUCUUCACCUUGACUGUAAUUUUUUUUCACGUUUACAAUAGUGAAAAGUAUAUCUGAGGUGCUGAAUCAAUGAUUAUGUUGCUGUUUGCAUUAUAUUAAAUGUUGCCACCUCCUUGUCUAACAUUCUGUUCGUAAACACUAUAAGACUUUGUAGAGUAAUUGUGAUGGUUUGUUUUUUUAUGGUUUAAGCAUAUAAAAUUGUCAUGGAGGAGGAAGAACUAGUAAUGCAGGUAUUGGUGCGAUGUCUUGGUUGUUUAAGAGUUAAUACAUCGUUUUCCCAAGGUUCUUAUAUGAAGAUGGUUAAGUAUGUUAUUCCUGUGAUUCUUCUAUUGGAACUUAAGAAUAAGUUUCAUAACACGUAAAUGUAGCACACCAAAUUGGAAAUGUGGAGUUUUUGAACUCUAAACAUGUUCUGCCACAUGCAUUGCUAUUAAGCAUUCAUUGUGAAGAACUUAAGAGUGAAGGAAAGAUUGAAAGAUUGAGCAUUCAUUUUUCUGUCCUUAUUUGAUGGGUUCAUCUUUGAAACAAAUUUAUUGCUUGGAGCCCUCCAGAGGUCUAUUUCUCGUGCUUGUGCUGAUGGGAUGUGUUUAAGUCGCAAAAUGGAGACUUGUCAAACCCUUACAUAGGGAUCCUUGACAGGGAGAGGGUUUACUAUUUCUAUUAAAUAUAGGCUUGUCAUUGUGAAAUGGAUUACUAUUUUAUCUUUCUUUUUUUGGGUCUGAGCAUGGAGAGAAGUUGGGGUGGGGGUGUUCUUUAACAGUUGUAAAAUUUGGCUAUGCUGAAACCUCUAGAGUACGUGUCUUGCAAUAAAUGUUUGACAUGUCAUAAAAUUCUGUAAAUAAUUGCAUCUCUCUGAUGUUCUUUCUUUGGUGUGUUACUGGCAGAUACUGUGAAGAAAGACCUUUACUCCUGGGAAAUGUGGGAAUGGGUGCAAGACUGUGCACUUACUACCAAAAGUCUGCCCCUGGUGAUCAAACAGGGAACUUAAUGCGAAAUGGGAAUAACGGAUUGGGGAGUGUUUUAAUCCUAGAUCCUGCUGAUAAAUCCCCUUUUCUUGGGGACAUAAAACCUGGUUGCAGUCAAUCAUCUCUCGAAACCAAUAUGUAUCGAGCACCUAUAUAUCAGCAUAAGGUGUCAUCAGCUGAUUUUCUAUUGGUCCGAACCGCAAAAGGAAAACUUUCAAUAAGACGAAUUGACAGGAUUGAUGUUGUUGGACAACAGGUUAAAAAGAUUUUCUUUAUCUUUUAUUUUUCUUUAAAUAUCUCGGAAGGGUUACAUUUCAACCAAAUCUAUUGUGUUACCUUGGAUUUGUUGCUUGAUGACAGGCAUAGGUACAUGCUCGUGCGAAAAUUGUUUGAUCUGCUUGUCUCUGUAUACAUGGAAUAUCUCUCUCUCUCUCACACACGCGCACACACACACAGAGUUGCCUUUCAUGUUCCCUCUUCCACCACUACAUAUUUAAAUUUUUGUUUGCAUGUUAGAAUAACUAUUCUUGCACAUGGUUGACGAGAGGUUUGAAGGCUGGUCUCACCCAUUUUGAGAGAGGAGUACAGAAGAAAGUCCCGUUAUUCUUUCUGCUACGAAAGUUGGUUGUUUGUAGCUAAUGAAUACUUAAAAGAUGUGAAAAUUCUGUAUAUGGCUCUGAAUGAUAUAAAUUUAUUGAUUCAAAAGAAUCAGAGGAUAGAAAACUGCAACUUCAAGGUCAAUGCUAAUCAUUAAAUUCCUGCAUAGUACUUGCAUAGAUAGAGCAAGUUGGGUUUGAAUGAAGGGAAGAGUGGGGAAAGGAAUGUAUAUAGUCUAGUGGCAAAGAAAUGAAAGUAGUAGCAUAAGUAUAGUUGUGGAAAAAGAAAAGAAAAAAGAAAAAGAAAGUGCAUGAUAAAGGAUUUUUUCUGCCUUUAUCAGUUUUGUUUUUCUCUUCAGGUGUCUUAAAGUUCUACAGAUUUUGUUUUCUGGAGAACAAAUUCUUUGGAGCUUAAUUAGUCACACACUUCAUAUCAUUUCUCUGUGCAGUACUUGAUUUAGAAGUUGCUUAGGUGGUCUUGUCUUGUCUUGCUUUUGAUUUCAGCAUCUUUGUAUUCAGCUGCAGCUUUCUGAUGGCUUUCAUAAUGGUUAAAUGAGUUGAAGGAAAAACCAGAAAUUUUCUUUUAUUGACUUUGGGGUUGUUUUCUGUAGCUUUUGUGAUCUGGAGAAGUAUUCAUUGCAUCUAUAUUCAUUUUGUUAUUGUAAUCUGACUAUCUUAUUAUUAAAGCUUGAUAUAUGUCUGAGGGAACGAUACAGCUAGAAGUGAAGUGAAGUUUGGGAAUAACCUCUGUUGUGCACAUUUUGAAUUCUAUUUCUUGUUUCACCUAAAAAAUCAUAGCAAAACUUCAAUUCUUAAUUUUAUCUUGUUUCAUGUCAACUAUGUAGGAGCCUCACAUCGAGGUAAUGUCUCCUGGAUCAAAAAGUGUUCAAACAUACAUUAUGAACAGGUUGAUGGUGUACAUGUAUCGUGAGUUUUCUGCUGCUGAGAAGCGUGGGUUACGGCCUUCUAUACGCGCUGAUGAGUUGUCUGCACAGUUUCCCAGCCUGUCAGAAGCAUUUCUUCGGAAAAGGCUAAAACAUUGUGCUGAUUUGCAGGUAUUAUACCUUUGAAUCUAGUUUACGGAUAUAAUCGAAUUAUUUGGUUACCAAUCCGACAACCUCAACGUCAAUCCCACUCCCCGGACUCUGCUCAUUAAAGAAGAGUGAAAAUAGAAAAAAGAAGUUAAAAGAGACGUUCAGGUUUAUAAAUUCAAGGAAACAAGGGAAUAGCGUACCUGUUUUUGAGGAUUAUAGGUUUUAAACUGGUGUCCUUUUGUUGACAAAGGGAAAGAACUUGAUUGUAAGAAUGAAGUAACUUAACUAAGUCAUUUGCUUUGGACUGUUAGUGAUUAAAAGACUCAGCUUCUAUGAUAUUAAUCUCUAGCAAUACUCUCUGUAUUACUCACUUUUUGAAAGUUGUGAAUUGUACAUCUAUUCCAUGUAUGGUCUAUUGUGUAGGUUAUGUGAUAGCUAACUGAUUCAGAAUUUGAACUUCUUCAUUCAUUAGUAACAAGUACCAAUUGAAUUAGGCAUCAUUAGGCCUAGAAAUUUGUUGACAGCAUCUUCUCUAUCAUGGGUAUAUUUAUCCUCUUUCAAUAGAAAAAAUAUGACCUUUCUAUAAUGAGAAUUUUUUGGUAAAUAUAUUGCUAAGUGCGUUACUGCAUGGAGAAGCUCACACUGACGCUGCUAUAUGUCAUUGAAUUAUUUUCUUUUCUUCUUAAUCUUUUGUGGUCGUGUAUGUGCACAUAGUUAACCUCAAUUUGCAAUCUACCAGAGAGGAUCAAAUGGACAGCUUCUUUGGGCUAUGAGGCGCAAUUUCCGCAUUCCUUUGGAGGAGGAACUAAGGAGGAUGGUGACACCAGAGAAUGUAAGCUCUUAGUUAACAAAUUUUAUCCAUAUUCCUCUUCCUUUAUACAUGUAGGAUACAACAUACGAUCUGCAUGUAUGUAUUUAGCAUGUGAUCAAGAGUGUUUUGUCACAGAUAUUUUCGAGUUUUCGGAUCAAUGGUUUGCCCCAGUUGAGUGUGAUGGGGUGGAUCAUAUGUUUGUUUUGAGCUUUAUAUUUUUAAAUUGAUGGUAUUUUGUCUGAAAACAUCGUGAAGUUCAACCUCCAUUUAAGAGUGGGACAUGUUGAAGUUUGGGAUGUUUUAGCGGUUCUCCUGGAAGGCUAUCCAUCACAUCUGCUGAUGUAUUGACUGAAAAGCUGUAUAAACAUGAUUUUCUAAAAUUUGAUUUAAUUGUAUUUGCCUGAAGCAAUAUAUUGUUUAUUGAGUUUGUUUUUCCUCCUUUACCUGUACUUGUGUUAUUAGAGUCACUCUUGAACACGAGGUAAAUUGAGCUUUGCUAGAUUCCAACAGUUAUCUGCUAGGAUAGAAUUUACAAUUACUUUUGACUGUUAUUUACUUAUUUGUAACAUUCGGAUAGCCAGCUCAACUGAUGUUUGGGGCAUCCUCUUUUGUCUUUUGAAUGCGUGCCUUGAUGCGGUUGGUCUGGAAAUAGGCUUCCAAUAAUUCUGCAAUGACCAGAGUCGAGAAAUUAAGUUUGUAUUUAACUUGUUUUCAGCCAGUCAAGUGUCCAUUUCAUAGAACUUGAGUGGGUAUUGUAGUAAAAAGCAUCUAAGACUAUUGAGAAUUUUGCUACAAUCUGGUUUCCACCUGCUGGUCAUCAGAUUAUAAGAGCAGUUGCUAAUGAACAAUCUCCCUUCUCUCUACUUUAAGGAUGUCCCUGUUCUUCUUUCACUCUAAUUUCAAAGGUAAAUAUUAUAUGGUUUUGUCCAAGCUAGCAUGCUGUGAUUCAACUUAAAACCACUGCAAGACAGAAUGGAUAUAUCCGUCUUCUUUCAUUUCUCCAGAUGGUAACUUCUUGUGGUGCAUGAAAUAGAAAAGCUGGAUGGAAAUGGGUUUUCUUCAUAUGUUGGAGGAAUUCAUUUACCUUCACCAAAAUGACUGCUUGUUGGAAGCAAACCUAAUCAAUUUCAACAAAUGAUAAUAUUAUUGAACAGGGGUGGAUAUAGAAGACCAAAAUAGGGGAAAAUUCUGUUUUCCGCUAAAAGGCUGCAUCAAUUUCUUUUUUUCCUAGUUAACCUUCUACCUUCCUCUUUGUUCCUAAUUCUUUGUCCUUAAACAAUUGCAUCCUUUUCACUUGUCUGAGAAUAGGUUUGUGCCUAUGAAAGCAUGCAAGCUGGCUUGUACAGGCUCAAGCGGUUGGGAAUUACUAGGUUAACUUCACCAACAGGCCUGUCAUCUGCAAUGAAUCAGCUUCCAGAUGAAGCUAUUGCGUUAGCUGCUGCAUCUCAUAUUGAAAGGGAGCUGCAAAUAACACCAUGGAACUUGAGUAGCAACUUUGUUGCCUGCACAAAUCAGGUAAUGAUAUCCAUACGUCAUGUACUUUUUCUAAAGAUGCUAUCUUUUACAAUAUGACGGAUGUACAAGUGACCUUAUAAAUUAUGUAUGGUAUCCAUUGGGAGGAUUCCAGUUCUUGUUGCUAUGAAAUAUGACCCAAAAGUUGUUUUCAAUGACCUUUUUAGGUACUUAAUCUCAGCACUAUGACUUCACUGAAUUUUCCCAUGUCUGCUGUUGAUGCAGGACAGGGAAAAUAUUGAACGUUUGGAAAUUACAGGUGUUGGUGAUCCAUCUGGACGUGGGCUAGGUUUCAGUUUUGUUCGUAAUACUCCUAAGGCACCUGUAUCAAAUACAAUGGUGAAGAAAAAGGCAGUUGUUGGUAAAGGUUCAACAGUAACCGGUACCGAUGCCGAUCUACGCAGAUUGAGCAUGGAAGCUGCACGAGAGGUGUGUUGAUUUUUCACCAAGAAUAAUCUUUGCUGAUAACCAAUGAGUGAACUAACUAUGAAAUGUUCUCAUUAUUUAUGCACCUCAAAUCUACAAGAAAUUAAAAAUUUUCUCAAUUUCUUACUGAUUUGAAAACGAAGUGUGUCUGUGGUGAAUUGGUUGAGCACUGAAAAGAGACAUUUCUAGCUACUUGUACAAGGCUGAAUUUGAUUCUGAUUAGUUUCUUUGAUAUUAAAAACUUAACUUAAUCAACAUUUUCUUGUUUGGUUAGCCAUUUGAUUUGAUCAAAAGUACAUAGAGACAUUGUUAAACUUAAGUUGGACUUUUUCUUGAAAUGUUCAAGGAAACAAACAUGGAAAAGGUGAAAUUUCCUAAUUCUACUUUGUUCAUAUUGUUCUCAUACUAUUGGACUACCAUAAAGAUGUGCUCGUGCCGGGCAUUGCAUGGUAUUUGACUCUUUAUAUUUCUGACAUAAAACCAGCAUACACAUUGAUUAAAAAAAAAAAAACUCAUAAAUGCAAUCCUAGAACCAUAAGUCUUGCAUGUAAUACUGACACAUUGCAUGUUUUUGUCUUCUGUCCCUAAAGAAUGGGUUAUUUAUUUUGAUGUACAUGAGAUGAUGUUGGCAUGCAUAUUGUAGGUUCUCCUCAAAUUCAAUGUACCAGAGGAGCAAAUAGCUAAGCAGACUAGGUGGCAUCGAAUUGCUAUGAUUCGGAAGCUUUCAAGUGAGCAAGCUGCAUCAGGGGUCAAGGUAGAUCCAACAACAAUCAGCAAGUAUGCUCGUGGCCAAAGAAUGUCGUUUAUGCAGCUGCAGCAGCAGACGAGAGAAAAAUGUCAGGAAAUAUGGGAUCGACAAGUUCAAAGUCUUUCUGCUGUUGAGGGUGAAGAAAAUGAAAGUGACUCUGAAGCCAACAGUGACCUAGAUUCCUUUGCUGGGGAUUUGGAAAAUCUUCUGGAUGCAGAAGAGUGUGAAGAUGGUGAAGAUGGUAAUAAUGUUUCCAAGAAUGAUAUCAUUGAUGGGGUUAAGGGGAUUAAGAUGAGAAGGCGACCUUUCCAAGCACAGGCAGAGGAGGAAAUUGAAGAUGAGGCUGCUGAAGCAGCUGAGUUGUGCAGAAUGCUUAUGGAUGGUAUGUAAUAAUCACUUUUACUGUUUCUAGUUAUCAUUCUUCUUGCAGCUCAAUAGCUGCUGGUCAUAUAAAAUACAGAUGUAAGAUUUUAGACAGCUCUUCAGUACGAUUAUUUACUCAAAGUGGUGGUGGGUUUAUAUGGAAUGCCUUGAUGACGAAAUACAUUCAGUACAAUAAGGAUUUAAAUGGUUUCAUCUUGUCGUUGUCCUUUAAUUUCUGAGUCAGUUUUGCAGGGUCCCUCUCUGUGUGUGGUUCUGGAUGUGCGUGAGUGAUGUUUAUACUCUGUAUUGGAUAGAUCAAUGUUUUUGCUUCAUUCUAGGACCUUGAUCAACAGGUUAAUGCAGGGAAGAAUAUGAUGCUUCUGGUUUGUUGGUGGUCUUAUAUUAUUCCUAGAAUUAAUCAACCGAACUAAAAGAAGUUAAUAGAAGAAUAAACCCAGAGAAAUAUUUGUACCUUGUGAGUUGUCCAAUCCCUUGACAAGCAAAUUGUAACAUGAAUUGAUGACUUGUCAAACAGUUGUGAUAUCUGGACAUGUUUCUGUCCUCUGAUAGACACAAAGCAGGAAUCACUUUAGUUGGUCCAAGUUACUCAACAAUUUCAUGUGGUUGUAGUUUUAAGUUGUCUUCUGGAGUUUCUAAAGUAAAAAGAAAAUGUGCAUCAAAUGAGAAGUUACAAGUCUUUUUCACUGAUGUAAAUAUUGAACCACAAACUUUCCCAUUUCUGAUUGAUAAAGUUGAUUCUGCAGAUGAUGAAGCUGAUAGAAAGAAGAAGAAAAAAGUUAAAGUUGGAGGGGACCAAGUUCGGUUGGGUUCAGUCUCGCAAUUGAAGCUUGGUGUUGAGAAUGUUGAGCGAAUACAGAAAACGAACAAUGUUAUCAAGAGAAACAUACAACUAGAUGGACAACCUCUAGCAAAGGAGAAUGCCACUAGAGAUCGUAAAGAGGUUCAGUUUCUUUGUAUUGUUCAUUUAUUUUUUGAAGUUUUUGUGUGUCCUUCCAAUUUGAUCCAAAUGUUUGGCAUUCUUUGGGACAACCAGACAAAUUUGAGGGUCUUCCUACAUACCACAUAUCAUGCACCUACAAGAACUUCCAACUUACCUCUCAUAACUCAUGAAUACUGGCUGUGAAAAUGGCUAUAUGCUUUAAGUAUCCUAGCUACAUAUUUGAUACAAGUCACCAAACUGGUAGCUAGCCUCCCUUGACAUCAGACCUCUGUUUAGUCUAACCGCUUGCGUCCAGAAUCAAAACUUGCUCUAUAGCCUUGUAGCUUCACCAGAAGCCUCCUCCUAUUUUUGGCCUCCAAGACUUCUUGAACUCAUGUCUUAUUGGCUGAAUAUUUUCCUGGAGUCUCUUUUAAGCUAAACACUUGCAAUGAUUUCCACCACAAGUAACAUACUUGUUCUAAUUCAGAGAUACACAGUUAAUGUGGCUUAUGUUAUCGCUUUUCCUUUUCUGGAAAGCAGAAACAUGGGCUGUGGGAAAUAAUGAUGGUGAUUGAAUGCUCUCUUGUUCUUGUUGGCUUUAACCCACCGGGCCUGGCAUUCAUUAGAAUGAGGAGAUAGUCAGUGACAUUGACUGGUGGAGGUUGCAGGAUGCAUGGUGUUCUGUAUGAUGAUGUGUCAGAAAGUUGACAGUAGAGCAGUCAGCUUUCUAGGACAAUUUCCGUGAUUUUGCUUCGUGGCUCAAUUUGUGUAUUCUUUGGUUGCUUAAGCAGACAAACUUUCUUAGGCUUUUAUUGGUCAUAUCAUCAAGAUGAUGUGAUUAAGUUUUACCAUGGAAUGAAUGGAUCUUGAAGUCACACAAAUUAUACUGACAGUAAUUGCAAAUGUGUCCCCAAAUUCAAGUCAAGAAAAUCAGCAAUUUUACUUUUGCCUUGGUUUGGAUGCAGGACGAGAAUAUUUCAGCUAAAAAGAACUUAUCCGGGAAACUUAAAGCAAAGAAGAAGAAUGACAUUGAACAGAUGGAGCUUCUAAAAAAGAAAGUUAAAAUAUUGGGUGAUGGAAUUAAGGUAUCUCUCUUUGUUACUGGAUGUCCCUGUCUUGUUGCUGUGUGAUGGGAACAAUUCUGUGUUUCAUUCAUUUUAUACCAUGCUGGUAGUCAAAUUCCAUUUGAGCUGAUUGUUAUUGAAAUAUACAUACAUAUAUAAGUACUUAUAUGAGUUUCAUUCCCUCCUAACCCCGUGUGCAUAAUAUUACAAAACUAGCAAGCUUGUUUGAGUCUCCAUUGUCUCUAAGAUUUGAGUGACAUGCUACCAACGUAGAAAUUUUUCUGUUUGCCACCAGAUUGUCAAGGAAAAGAAAUCAGCAAGAGAGAGUUUUGUCUGUGGGGCUUGUGGUCAGGUUUGUGCUGAUACAUGAAUCUUGUUACUUUGCUUACAGCUCUGGAUCUUAAGAGAUUUUCCCCCCUUUUUAUUCCAUGUAUCAGCUUGGUCAUAUGAGGACUAAUAAAAAUUGCCCCAAAUAUGGUGAAGAUGUUGAAACACGUGCUGAAAACAACGAGCUGGAGAAGAACUUAGGGAAAGUUGGUAUUCUGGAUCAGGCAGAUCAACCCCAGCAGAAAACUUCUACAAAGAAGCUCAUACAGAAAAGUGCAACCAAAAUUGCUGUGGUUGAAGCCCACGAGGAUGACAAGUCUAGUACAAAGGCAAAAAUUCUGAAGGUCAAAUGUGGCACAACUGACAAACCCCCCGAUAAGCUCACUCCUGCCACAUCACAGAAUUCUGACAAACCUGUAACUUCAGAUGCUGAAACAGUACAUAAAUCUGCUGUCAAAGUAAACAAAAUUAUUUUUUCAAACAAAACUAAACCGGACGAUAUGCUGGUUGAGUCUCAAAAGCCUUCCAUUGUUAUAAGGCCACCAACAGAGUCUGAUAGAGACCAGCCUCGCAAGAAAAUCAUAAUCAAACGGCCAAAGGAGGUUAUAAAUGUGGAUGACGUAAGUCAGGAAGGAAGUAGUGGAAUUGAGUACCGGAAAACAAAAAAAAUUGUUGAAUUGACGAGUGUUGAUAAGCAUAGGGUGCGAGAAAUCAAAUAUUUCACUGACCAAGCAGCAAGCAAGAAGAACAGAGAGGAGAAGAGAUGGUUGGAAGAGGAGGAGAAGAGGAGGUUUGCUAUCAGACAAAAAGAAGAAAGAGCCCGAAGGUAUUUGGAGGAACAGAAAAGGGCAAUGGAAGAGCGGGAUAGAUUUUCCGAGAUAAGACGAUAUGAAGAAACCAUCCGCAGGGAGAGAGAAGAAGAAGAACGUGAAAAGGCAAAAAAGAAGAAGAAAAAGAAGAAAAGACCUGAAAUUAGAGAUGAUUACCUGGAUGAUUUUCCUCCCAGAAGAAAUGACAGGAGGAUACCAGACAGAACAGCAAAGAGGAAACCAGGACCUGAUACCGGAAGAUACAGUGCUGGCUAUGGCCCAGCAACAAAGCGCAGACGAGGGGGAGAGGUAAGUUUUUCCAUGAUGUUAAAUAACCUUUCCUCACAUUGGGGAAUAUUUUGUUUUUUGUAUGAUUACAGAUGUUGAAAUCUGCUUCAUCCAUAGGACUCUCACCCUCACCCCUCCUCCCCCCACCCUGUGAAAACCUGAGCAAUGAUUUGGAGCUUGCUACCAUCAUUCAAUGGAUGUGUGUGUUGAGGUGUUAGUAUGGUUGUUUUUAUUCUGGGGUUAUUUUGUUAGGCUUUAAUUCAUUCCUAAGAGUGCAAUGGUGUAAGCUUGUGCCUAUGAGUUUUGAUUCUUAUAGUAGGAGUAAGGCUAGGGAACUGCGCAAAAGGUCUCGUUACAUGUUUACAGAGUGGUUGGGAUGGGCUGAGAAAUUCCAAGAUCAAGUCUUGUGUAAUUUUACUUUUCUCUGACUUUGGUUGAAGAGCUAAAAGGACUGUUUUGAUUCUUAUAGUAGGAGUAAGGCUAGGGAACUGCGCAAAAGGUCUCGUUACAUGUUUACAGAGUGGUUGGGAUGGGCUGAGAAAUUCCAAGAUCAAGUCUUGUAUAAUUUUACUUUUCUCUGACUUUGGUUGAAGAGCUAAAAGGACUGUUUAUCUUAACUUAAAUUUGUUGGGCAAUUUUCUUUUGAUGUUUCUUGUUUGGCAGGGGAGGGGCGGAAGGAGGUUCUUUGGUGUGGGUAAUUGCUUUGCUUUGAAAACAAUAUUUUGCUAGUCAUCUGACAUUUCUGUCAAAAAAUGUCAUUUUUUGUUUAGAUGCUUGCCAAUCACACAAUCUCAAACAAAUGCACAAGAGUGAUGUGAUCUUGUUGUAGGCUUGUACUCCAUCUUUGUAAUUCUUUAAUUCUACAUUGUUAUUAUUUUGACUGGAUUGGCAUGAUAGCUGUUAAGUUUCCUGGGGAUGCUUUGCAUUAUCUUUAAUCUUGCUUGGACUGGAUUCUAGUAAAGCAGCAAAUCUAUCUGCUCAUGCUGGUGUUUUUCUUUAAUCUUGGUUGAAAAUGUAGAUUUGCAUGUAAAGCUCAUCUUGAUUUUAUUUCAGGUUGGCUUGUCAAACAUCCUGGAAAGCAUUGUGGAGACUCUCAAGGAGAAGCAAGAGAUUUCCUAUCUUUUUUUAAAGCCAGUUUCCAAGAAGGACGCUCCUGACUACCUUGAUAUCAUAAAGCGACCGAUGGAUCUGUCCACAAUCCGUGAAAAGGUGAGGAGGAUGGAGUAUAAAAGAAGCGAAGAAUUUAGGCAUGACAUAUGGCAAAUCACCUUCAAUGCCCAUGCGUACAAUGAUAGACGCAACCCAGGUAUUCCUCCAUUGGCUGAUCAGCUUCUGGAGCUUUGUGACUAUUUAUUAGAUUUGAAUGAUGCUGACUUAAGGGAAGCUGAAGCUGGUAUUGAACAUGGAGAUUGAUAGGUAGGAUUUUUUUUGAUGUGCCUCUUCAUUCCAGUUAAUUUAGAGAAUCCCUUAGUGAGAACCUUUUUAUUUUUAUUUUUUCUCGCUUCUCUCCUUUCUUGGGGUUCCUAGCACCUGGGGGAUGGAAAAACGUCCCCAAUCUGUAGAAUCUGUCUGUAUAUUCUGAGUUUUCUGUGACAUAUACGCCCUGUGACUCUUGUCUAUUUAUACAAGAGAAAAGGAAAUAGAGAAUAUAAUACUUAGAGCUCCUUAUUUUUGUUUUCUCUUGGUGGUUUCUUCUUUGAUUUUUCUCGAUACUUUUCUCGAUGGCAGAUGCUUAUUGCAGUUAUUAUUCUAUGAGAAAAUUGAGCUGUUGUUUAUAGGUCUUCGCUUUUCUAACACCAAAAAAGUCGAUAAUGAAACUUGCAACACCACUGCUGCAUAUUUAUACAUCUCUUCUUUUUUUUUUUUUUUUUCUGUCAAAAAGAAACUGUUCAAAUGUGGCUGCAGUUGUGGUGCAUUGCAGGGAAUGGUUGUGGCUUGGUAGUAAUUAUUGAUAGUCCUUAUUCUUUUAUUUUUUUUCUAUAUUAGUGUUAUCAUGUAUUUGCAAUCUCAGGCUCGCUCUAAAAAAAUAAGUAUGUAAACUCCAGGUCUAAUGCGGUUGAUUUGCCAAAAAAUGAAGAAAACCCACAGCCAGGGCUUCUGGCAGUAAACACAAAAUAGGCACGGGGAAAUGAUUCUUUGCUGCAAUGGAAAAUUCGGAAUAUUCUUAGUACCAGCAUCUUUGAUUAAUCUGGCAAAGCAGACAAUACGCUUUACAUGUAUCAAAUUCCUUAAAACACAAUUGGCACAGAAUCAGAGACAGAAAAUCAAGCGGCCAAUAAGAUUUUAGGCCACUUUCCCUGCCAAUUCAAAUCCAUGAAAUUCCAGAAACAAGGUGCAACAUAAUCAGACAUCCAAAAGGUCGCUAGAUUGCAAUCAAUUCCACCAUUGAUGCACGGCAACCCCUUGAUCUCUCAAGCUUCCGUACAAAGCUAAACACUGCCAAUAGGCCCUCUUGCUUUCAUUUUCGUCUCCCACUCCAUCAUCUUGAAAGUGGUUCUUGCACUCUAAGAACAACUCAUCCACCAAGCAGAUUGUCUUCUCCUCCAUCAUCUCAUCAACAACUUGUGCUUCUGCCUUCAUUACAACGAAGUCUUCUUGCCUCACAUUAUUCUUCAGCCAACCUGAUAUCCCAGCAGCAGGAUUCACCAUGCUUCUUGAUGACAAUUUUUCUGCAGUAAUCUCUAGAUUGUAUGUCUCAAAGUGUUGGUUUUCGGUUGGAUAGUUGUUGUGAAACCAACCUUCAAAACCAUUUUUGUCAUCUGAAAUCAAGAUCCUUCGUCUAUAACUUGCCAGGGAGUGGGAGUCCCCUAACAGAUGAGGAAGGAAUUUGAUUUUCCUCAUUUCAUCUCUCGAGUACUUCAACAAUGUCCUUCUGGGAGGCUCGAGCAAAGCAUCCUCUAAGCCUUUCAAUGCCAUUUUCCUGGCGUCUUGUGCGAUCUUUUGGCUGAAUUAGUGAAGCCAUCUUUACUGCUAAUUUUCCUCAUUGCAACCAUGGUAUUCUCAAACCGUCGCAGAUACACAAUCCUAUAAUUUGAUUGUCGUUGCAUCAAUCUUGAAGGAUCAUUGCUCAACUUUGUGAUCACAAUGCCGCCAUUCUUCAGAACGCGGUCGACGGAAUCAGCAUUCUUGAAGCUGAAGCUGAAAACGAAAUCAAAAGUUUCAUUCGGAAUGGAGUCCUCCAAGCUGGUUUCAGAGGCCACAAUAUUAUCACUGUCACUCACGAAGUCCAAAUCUUUCAUCAAAUCAUCAAGGCUAGAACCCACGAUGAGGCCUUUCUGACCCCUCUUGAUCAGGCCUUCGUCGGCCAAAUCACGAAAAAGAACAGGCAAUAUUUUGAAAUUAGCCAGAUCAGAGUUCACCUUAGAAGCAUUGGAAGAGCUUCUUAAAACAGAGCCAAUUGAAGGCAAUGUGAGCAAAAUGAUUGCCAAAAACAACGACCUGGAUACAAUCUGCAAAACCUGCGAAUCAGGCAGCUUAAUUACCAAAAGGGUAUGGGAAUUCAAUCCCGUCCCACCACCAUUCGGCUCCUUCGCCUUGAUGCCGGCGCUGGUUCUAUACCCUUGAGCCAAUUCCAUGUUUUCACAACAAAAAAGAACGAUUUUUGAUCUUCGUGCAACUUUUUUCAACUACUAAUCCUCCAAUGCACCUUCACCAAAAAAGCUGUGAGCAAAGAUGCAGACUUUUGAGCAAUAAUAAAGCCCAAAAUCAAGAAAUCUUAAUUAUAAUUGAUAAUCAGGAAAAAAAUCAAAGCCAAGGGGGAUGGAAAGAGGGAUUUAGCGGGUGCAAAAUCUGGCAGCGGUGUGGUUUCCACCCACAAGGGCCACACGGGUGCUUCGAGCUCUACACCAAAGAAGCAGCAACUCCCUGAUUCUUGCAAUCUCCAUACCUUUUUUCAUUUACCUCUCUCUCUGUGUCUCUCUCGCUGAUAUUCUGCUGUCCCCUCUCUCUGAAUAUUUAAAAUGGGCAAUACAAACGUUGUUUUCUACAUCUUAUGAUUUUGUAACCGACGACAACCUAUAAACUCAACCACCACCAUGCCCAGAGAGAGAGAGAGAGAGGGGAAAGGGACAAAAUCAGAGAAAAGGGCAGCGAGAAAUGGAGGAGGAGAUGAUAGACGAAAUGCGUAAUUUCCAAUCCGGAGUUUAAGCAUUAAAUACAGUGAUGCGAACAUCUCUGUGUUUGUUCACAUGCGUGUAGGGACCGUGGGGAAGUAGUGGGUUGUGGUCUUUGUUUUGGUCGAUAAUUAUGGGAAUAUAAAUUAAGAGGCUUCUCAGCCGGGAAUUUUAUAGUUUAAAAACCAGCAAUUUCUACCCAAAUAAGAAAUGAAUUACAAAGAAUUCCUUGUGGAAUUUGUUUGGUUUAAAUGGUGGAAAUCGAAUUACGUUCGUUUUAUAAUUAUUAUUGUGUGGCGGCAUGAAUUAACUUCGCAUCAUAAUAGUAAAUGACUUCCCAAUCCUAUUACGGUAGAAGUCUUCGACGGACGGACCAUCUCCUCAUUCACUUGAAAGAAAACUACUGUUCUGUAACAAAUUCGUACGAGAGGAGCAACCUACGCUACCCUACUUGAUGAUGAUAUGAUAUCAUCAUUUCACUUCCCAGCAACUCUCCUGAGUCCGAACUCCGAAGUUGAGUUGAUUUCCUUUUUCACCUACUAGCAGCAGCAUUUGGUGUCACGUCAAAGUAUUGAAUCCAUCAUGUGUCAAUUUCGCACUUCUUUACUGGAAUUCAAACAUAUAUUAUAUUCAAGUAUUAUCCUUUACACAUUUUGCAACUUUUUGUUUUAGCACUAUUCUAUUCAACGUGAAGUUAAGCUAAAUAUCCCUUUGAUUGUUUCAGUUUCUUCACGCACACGCAUAUAUAAUAUACCCCUAUUUGGCAAACAGGAUUUUUGCCAAAUUUUUUUUUCACUUGUUUUUUAAUAACUUUAAUUACAAUAGCAUCUUUAAAUUUUUUUUUUUUUUUUUUUUUUUUUUACAAAUUCUACCAUAAGUAAAUUACAGUAGUAUAUUUUCAAAAAAAAAAAAUCUAAAAAAACUCGUCUACCAACCAAAAGAAGAAGGUACUGUAAGGGCAAUGCACACACACUGAUGGAGUAGACAGUAGAGGUGGCCUUUCCAAAUCUCUAUGGGAGAAAAUGUAGUGCAACUGCACCCGAAAUUGUACUGUACAAUUGACUCCUCUCCAUGCCAUUUUUUUUCAACACUAGGAGGCAUGAACCGCGCCCUGCGCGGUGAUAAUUUAUUAUGGAUGCCCAUAAAACAUAUGUAGCAGGUAUAUAAUUUUGAAAAUAAAAAGGACAUUGACUUUAUUAGAUGUAAUAAGUUGGAAUAACAAAAGUAACAGCUAGGACAGAAGGAAUGUUUGUUGCUUAAAACUCCAAAGGCUAAAGAACUAUACAAAGAUCUAGGCUUUAGAAACGCAGAAACAAAACAAAGUUUAGUAAUUGUCCAGUGAAUGAAUCGUCUAAGUAACAAACAUGUGGUCUAUAGUCUACAUAUCACUAUUCCAAAUACUACUGCUGCCUAAGAACUCAGCCCAAGAAGAAAGGCUCUGAGCUGGCAGCAUAACAAAGCAUCCCAAAGAAAAUUUUUUAAAAAGAACAGAACCACUAAAUGCUAUUAGUAUCAAUAGCAUAUAAGCCUCAAAACUAAUACCGACGCCACUACAAGCUCAAAGAAGUUCACGAGCUGACAAGAUAGCACAAGAAAUAAGCAUCCAAAAACAACCUCUCUAAACUGGGUAGCAAGCAACAACAGCGUAUUUAGUGCAUGUCACUUUGUUGAUCACAUCGGAUGAACGCUUAAAAUAGCAUAGGAGCCUGGUCAGUUCAAUUCGACAAGCCACACGAUGGUACAACUUAAAGGUCUGCAAAAAGGUUGAAUCGAAAUAAAGUGGCAAUUCAAGAAUCCAUGUACACAAAUCAGACCAUUUAAAUUGCAUAAAAGAAAGUUCAUUAAUGACAAAUCCAAAUGACCUGGCUACAUAGUUGAACAAUCUCCAAGUUCAGGUAUCUAUGCAUGAGAAUAGAGCAACACAUAACCUCAUCGUCAGCAGCCUCAAACAUGUCAAGCGCGCUAACACCAAUCAGCUUCUUAGCUUCGACACCUAAUGCAAUAACAUUUACACACCCAGUAUCAUCAUGAAAAGUGAGCCAGAUCCAUGCUCUAUAACAAAAAUAACAUUAACCACCAAAAAAAAGGAAACCAAGGAAUACAUAGAGUUUUUAAAAACUAAUAACUAAUAACAAAUCCACGAUGCACCUAGGGAAAUCAUACAUUCCCUGACCUCAACCAAGGUAUACAAAUAGUCUUAUAUGUUGACAAGACACCCUCAAUUGAUUUUAGUUUUCUCACGUGGCACGAUACCGUUGGGGUAAAAGAUUGGAGGCACAAACAAAAGUGACACGAAAAAUCAACAUAAUUUCUUUUCACAAAAAAUCAAGAUGCAGAGGGGAAUGCAAUAUUGGCCAUACAUCUUUAACAAGAGCUCUGUGUUAUUAUAGCAAUCAAACUUCCAGAUAAGAGUUUUGGAGCCACGAAAACAGGCAAUUUCGCAUUUCAGACACAUGCAAACAUUUAAUUCUUGUUUAUCAAUGAAGGAACAUUAUUACAGUUGCAAUGUACAUUUUUUGUGUGCUAAAAUGUCUAGAAUUAAAAAGUUUCAUCCUCCAUUUGCAAAGCCUUCUAUUGCAUGAUACAGUUCCUGCCAAAAUCCAGAUGCAGCAGUGAUUUGAUACUACAAACAACUUAACUAAGAGAAACAGCUCCUUAGCAGUAUCAAGAACAACUGAACAUUUAGUAUUCAUGCCAGACUGCAGAUUUACCAAAAUGAUCUCAUAGCAUUAUACCUAAUCAAUAUUGAACAAGCUAAACGUUUAAAAAAGUUUCCUCGUCUAAUGUAGCUCAGGACAUAGAAAACAAUGCAUGCAAUAAAUCUUAUAGAAUAAUCAGUGGGUAGAAGCAACCUUUUUUGUAGACAAAUCCUUUUUUUUUUUUUGCACUGGCUUCUUCACAGUCGACCCAAACACUUCAUACUUAAUAAAAAGGAAAAUGUUUAACAAUCAAAAGCUGUCCCAUUCCAUUUCCAGUAGCAAAAAAAAUAAAAAUAAUUGUCUAGUUUAUGGAGUAAAUCUUGCACCCGAGUACGUGAACUAUUAACCCAAUACAGGAAAGGUCAACUGCACAUUAAUUAAAGUACUGCAAUUCAAAUAGAACUAACAUGAAACGGGGAUACCUCUAAUCAAAUGCAUAGGGAUCAUCUGCAUAAGGAUUCAGAGAUCCUUCUGAAAACAGAUCACCUAUAUUAGAUGAAUUUGUAUGAACUUGUCCCUUUGUUCCCUAUCAUGAAAUUCCAAUCACAAAUGUCAGCACACAUAACAUAAAAUUAUAUGUGACCGUAAUCACAAGGCAUCUUGCAGUGUACAGAGACAAACUUCAUCACAUACAGUUAAAUUUCUCCUUGUUUCUACUUUACCUUGCUCAGGUUAACCAAUUGCUCUGUUUCAUUGCAUUAAUCUAUUAGUAAUCACAACUUAAUCCUAAAUGAUAUGAAUAAGAGUAACACCAUUUCAAGGUAAGAGAAUUUUGUGACCACGAUUAUUGUCUGUCUAGUACACCCCAUUCAUCAAAAAUAGGCAAAAAUCCUACUUCUUGUUGGGUGAGACAUGACUGACACUCCACAAAAGAUCAAAAGCUAAAACAACCAGCAUGAUGACACUGAGAAGGAAAAUUUAUCCUAGUUCAUUGUUUAAUUACCUUAGUAACAGCUCUAGGUGUAACAACUUUUGGUGUCUCUAGUUUUUUAUGUCUGCCUGGGUCCUGUAGUAAUAGAGACAAUUACACAUAACCAAGAAAUAUACACAUAAAGAAUCGUUCCCCUACGACAAUGCAUACUGAUCAGAAAUCAAAAUUACAUACCGCAAACAUUACAGUACUUUUGGUUUUCCUUUUUUUGUAAUUGUUCUUCCAUUUGCUGUUUCGACUUCAUAUUCAUGAUGAGUGACAUGCUUAAGCAAGGAAAGGAGGUUAGACAAACGGGCACAAAGAGUUGGGCUGAAUUUUCUACGAACACAGAGAGCUUAUCAAUGAUAUUCAGAAGCAUGAACUUAAUUUUCCAUGUCUUUCUUGAGAUAUAGAUUAAAUUGACAAAAAAAGAAAAAAAGGGAGAGCGAGGCAUAGGAAAACUGAUACGGGUCAUGGAUUUCUCUUUCAUUGUAAAAAUAUAGACUGGCAGGCUUUCCUUUUUUUUUUAUUAGUGCUCACUUGGUCGGGUUGGUUAUAAGAAUCGGAUCUUUUCUUGGUCAGCAAGGGUGAGUUUGUCGGAAGCGUUGGAAAGGGAGGCAUCGAGGGACUGAAGCUGGGACUGAAGGUCGGCGAUGAUGGCGUCAAAACAUACGAAUUCCAGGCAAAAAAAAAAAAAGAAGAAAGAAGGAAACUUGUAGCAAGGACUGAAGCUGACUGGACAGAUUACAACGAAGGAAGAGGAAGAGAUCCAAACGAAUGGAAGAAGAUCCGGACAGCUGCAACCAACAGCGAAGAUGGCAUCUCCUUGGGCGGAAAGAAGACAGUGACCGAGCAAAAAAACAGAAAGCUGCACGUCACCGGACAAGGGAAAAAAAUAGGAAUGCCAGGGAAAAAAAAUGAACAGAGGAAACUUGAAGAGAGGAUCGGACCUCACUGGAAAGGAAAAUAAAAGACAAAGAAGAGAGCUUACAACAAAAGAGGAGGAGAGGCCAACGAACGGCACAAGAUCUGUACCGAUGCAGCCGACAGCGAAGGUGGCAGCUCCUUGGCCGGUAAGAAGGCUAUGGGCUUGGGAGAACCGAAUACCAGAGCUCAACAAAAUGUUGCAGCAGGCUCCAGAGCAUGCGGGUAAGUGGCAGAGCAACAUUGUGGGGAGAAGUAAAUGCAGUUGGAGAGAGAAGGGAGCGGGAAGAAAGCAAAUGCAGCAGACGCAUAGAAAGAAGGACGGACGGUCACAUGGGACACUGGCUGGCGAAACCAGAUGGGAAGCUGACGCGCGAUGCGCGAACAACAUGAUACUUCCAAUCCACAUGCCGGGCACGUGAGAGGACGACGAAAGUUUUGGCUGAAUGCUGGUGGGACGUUAUCUACUUAUGUUGAUAAGUAGAUAAAGAGCCGAAGGGCUGUGAUGACCUGGAAGUUUUCGUCGUCCUCUCACGUGCCGCGCAUGUGAUUGAGAGCGUUGUUUUUCUUCGCGCAUCGCGCGGCUCUUCUCCUCUGCUGGUACUCCAUGUGCCUCCUGCUGCGCAUUAAAAGCUUCUUUCUCUAUCUGGUGCUAAUACGUGAUUUUUCUUGCCGCUGCGUUUUCUGUCUGCUUCUUUUGGACAGUGCUUCUCUCUUGCUUAUCCGCCUGCUCUGCGUCCUGGUGCACGAGCCUGCUAAAAUAUCCGGUUCUCUUCAUUCCUUGUUGUUUAGGUUUCGGUGUUCCCAGGUUCGUCGUCACCCACCACUGGUACGGUCCCCGCUCGUUGGCUAGCUUAACUGACCUAGAGCUGUGGCCUUGGGGUCUUUCUUCCUUUCCGGUUAGAUGCAUACUUUGCUGUAACCUUUCUGCUUGAUCCUUCGCCUGAAACUGAUGUUUUUUCCUGUUUUCUUUGUUUCCUUUCUCGAGCCGCCAAAGGCCUGUCAAACCUCUGUCCUUCGCGUUCUCAGGGUUUCGGUUGUCUAGAUCAACCGCCGUUGGCUAAGCUACGUCUCCUCUCCGUCUCCGUCUUCAGGGCAUUCACUCAGGUCAGAAAUGAAAUGGAAUUGGGCAUCUCCCUCUCCGACACCCAGUAUCACAAGUGCCUCAUCUCCCGGAGGUUCUUCAGACCGAGAAUAACCUCGCAACCGGAGGUAUAUUUUCUUCAACUUUCUUCCUUCUCUCAAUAUCUCAAUCUCUCUCUCUCUCUCUCGCUCUUUUUUCUUUUGUUUCAAUUAAUCUGAAUUUCUAUCUACAUUCAACGGAGUAAUAGUGUAUCGUCCUUAAUUGGUGCACAACAUUAGGAAAUCUUGUUCUCUUUUGUUGUUUCCCCUCUUUAAUAAUCGAACCACUUCAAGAAAAAAACCGACCUUGGGAAUUAUUUUGCCCUAAUACCCAUUGUGGGUUUCGUAAAUUUUGGUAAUUUAUUAUAUUUAGCUAUAAGAGAAUUGGGGGUUUUGGUAUAAUUUGUGUAAAAUUCCACAAUUUUUCGGCUAGCAGUUUGGGCUUUAGAAUUGCUGGUUUUGUCUGAAUUUUUUAUCUCUUCUAUAUUUAAUGGAUAUCUGAGGAUCAUUUAGUAUCUGAAACUAAUAAAUCUGCCAACGCUUACAGUCAUGAGUGUAGAGUUAACUAAAUAUGUUAACCUCUUUAUGAAUAACUUUUUAAGGACUUUUAUGCUAAUUCUUCGCAUUCAAAAAGGAGAGAAAUGGAAGAAACAUUAAUUUUCUGGUAUUAGAGACACCUGCGGGAAAGAAGAUGGUAGCAAGUUACUGACCCCAGGUAGUAUGAGAUGAGAUUGUAUUGUAAUUGAGCAGGGUUCACUUAUCAUAAUAGAUUGAAUUUUGUAGUUCUGAACUGAUACAUUGUUCUUUUGAUUGACUGAGUGGCAAUUUGGGAGCCAUGCAGUUUGUUUUUCUUGUUUUUAUUUUCUUAUAAUCCAAACUUGAAAAGGAUUUGUUUUUUCUCUUCCGAGUGAUUGUUUGGUUUUCCAAAGAUUUAAAUUUUCCAGAGAUUGAUUGUUUGGUUUUCCGAAGGUCAAUCUCUUUAACCCAAGAAAAUAAUAAUAUUAAACUGAAAAACAACAAAAAUGUUGUCUUGGGAAACUAUUGUUUAUUUACAUGUCUUGGAAGUUGAAAUUGCCAGAAACAAGAAGCUCACUUUCUCUGAUGGUCAUAUUUCUUCAUCAGGUUGACCAUUGCCAAAUAGAAGAGCUUAGCCACAAGACAUCUCAUAGCAAUAGCACGUCUUAUUGUUGAAAAUUUUGAUUUUAUGGUAGUGUUUGUAGGUUGAGUUAUGACCCAUGAUUUAUGCUCAGGCCCUUAAAAUGGAGAUAUAUAGUGAAGAAAAGUAUAAAAGAUCGGGGUGGCUUCAACAUUUACCUUCAACUAAUUUUCCUUGUGUUUUUCCUUUUUGAAUUCAGCUUUGUGGAAAUUAUGGCUCCUGUUUUCUCGCGGGAUGCUUGGCGAUGUGUUUGGCAUACGAUUCAGGUUCCCUUCUCUAACUUUGUCUUUUGUAUACGUAUGUUUUAAGCCUUGUUGUACCUCCAACUAUUUUUGCUUUUAGCUGCUCUCAUUAGCCUUGGUUCUUUCCAGCUUAGAGCUCACACUGAUUUUUUACUUUCAAUAACAUUCCUAGAAUGAUUUGGUGCAUGGUUGGGGAUUGGAUUUUGCGCUAAGGAGAUGUGUGGAGGUCAGUGGUUUUAUUUGUUUCUUAUCACAAUAUUAUUUGAAAGAUUUAGAAAAGAAGGCUUGUCUACCUGCUUUUCAUAUUCCUGUUGGAAGGAGAGAUCUGCGGGCAGUGGCAUGUAAAACAGAUAAAAUUAGAAAACAUGUAUUUAUUUCAAAUGGAUGUCUGCGUAUUAUCAGUUUCAUUGUAAGUGUAUUUUGCCUGUGUAGCCUGCACAUGAGAAAAUUGAUGUGGUUGACUCUCAGUGGAUAGUUCAUCAAGUUAUUCCUUCUCUGGGAAGUCAGGUCAGUUAACUACUUUAUUACAACCAUCGGGACUUGCUUUUCCUUUUCCUAGAGGUGAUUAAAAUAAUGAAGUUUAGUUGUUUGCAAAUGUUGUUCUGUUCAACUUUAAUUUCCAUUUUUGAGCAAAUGGUUCUUCAUUUAUAAUAUAAGCAACUUUUUAGCAGCAACCCCCUUAUUUACAUUUUUUUCUUCCACGUCAAUUAUCCUACUUGUCCCUUGAUCUGGUUUCCCCUCAUUUAGAUUUGUUUUGUUGAUAAUGAUGCUAACAGCUUCAGCUUCGUUGAUUCUAGGGUCAAUCUGAAAAUGGAAAAGCUCCUUGGCAAGGGGUAUGUAAGCUGUUACUUGUUCGGUUUCCAUUUCAACCUUUCUGUAUAUUUUUUUACUGAGGCCUUUUCUUUGUCCUUCAUUUUUUUUGCAAAAGUCAACUCUGAAAGCUUCUUCAUCCAAUUUUAUGGUAAUCUGAGUUAUUCUAUAUCACCUACAUUCUAACAAUCAUGUUUAAAUUAGGAUUCAUAGGUCUUAUAUCUGCACUCUGUUUGAAUUGCAUGAUUUUGCAUUGAACUGAAUUUCAUUAGAUUUGUCCAAACGUCAAGUAACUAGCUUGAAUUCUUUUCUAUCUAAUUUGGUAGGUAAGAGAGAGAUGCAGAAGUGAGUGGGCGCAGUUUCAAGAUCGCCUAGCCAAUGCAGAUAAGAAAUAUAUUGAACAGCUUGGGAGUACUUACCUACUUUCUGUUUAAUAUUCCACUAUUAAGUUGCGAAUUUGGAGACAGAAUUUCUGUUAUAUGCCAAAUUUCUAAUAUUCUGGGUAUCUCUUUUGCAGGAACGAGGUAUUUGAACAACAGAAAGUUUUGUAUCCUUUUAAGUUUUCUUGCAUUUGGGUAUUGAUACUAUUCACCUUUAUUGCUCUGACUCCUACUUCUUUGCACAAGUUCCCUUUGACCUGCAAUGCUUCUUUACUUUUUUUUCUCUUAACUUCUUGUAGCUCUGAUUGGAAAAGAAAUAUAGAGACAUUGGAGAAAAAUAGUGUAACCAGUCUGAGGACAUUGAUCAAUCUUGGUUCUGAAGUGUACAUGCAAGCUGAUGUGUAUGUCUCUUCAUACCAUAUCAAUGUCAUUUUACUUGGUUGUUCAUAGGAUUAGUAUACAUUUGAAGCGUUUAUCAAGAUAUGAAAGAAUUCAUUUCUCUUUUGUUUGAGGUGUGUGUGAUUUAUUAUAACUCUAUAUGUUUGUGUCUGCCUAUGCACUGAAAAAAAAAAAGAAAGUAUAUGGUACCUUAGUUGUUCCAAGUAUGUCUUCAGCUAUGGUGAACAAAGUGUUGUAGGUUCUUUGGGCUACGAGCUUGGGUUUUGGUAGUCUCAGUACCAGAUGGAAUCAUGUCAGAUUGAUAUAGGGUGCAAGAGAAGUGUUCUUUACUUGAUGUGAUGGUGCUUACUGUAAACAAAUAUGAGAGAUAAUUGCAGAAACAAGGCAAAAACAAUCAAUUAUGGGGACAGUUCAAAACUUUAACAGCUUACGAAUAAGCGAUCGAACCUGAAUUUAUCUUUCCUGAUUUCCAAUUUUCAACUCUAGAUAUUCCCCAGGCAAUCACGACCUUCAAGCUUCUCUUCAUAACUAUGCGUCUUUAGGAAACAUCUGUUUUUUUGAACUUGAUAAGUGGAGCCGAUCCAUGUAUUCUUAAGGUAGCUAUGUCAAUGAUUGAGUUGGAAUAGAACAAACAAAAGAGAAUGAUUUAUAAUGUCAAUGUAUCCAUGAAUGAUUUAUAAGCCUAUGUGCUUGAUUUAUCAACUCUAGAUAUAUUGAGUGAUUGAGUUGGAUCUAUUACAAUUAUCUAUUGAUUGAAUACCUUGACCUUUUUGCCAAAAUCUGUCUCAAAACUGAUUUUGAUUUGUAGCUAUGGUACAUUUGCUACUUGAGGUUGUGAUGGUUAUGUUGAUGUGUGGGAUGGAAACAAUAAAAAAAAGGCUGUAUCAGUUAUUUUUCCUUAACUGAAUUUGAAAUGGCUUCCGCUCCAUGACGACAUUUGUCAGUUUUUUAUCAUACUUGUUAUAUUUGUCAAAACAAGGGUUCUUUUUUUUUUUUUGUUUUUUGCCUUUGAAUUUGAGAUUAUGAUUUCUUCGUUAUACUAACUUAUUCUAUUGUUCGUGGAAAUUUAUUAUUUUGGCUCAUUUUUCUGAAAGUGAUCAAUUGGAAUGCUAAAGCAAGAUGAAUUGUAUUAGAGAUUUCUUUUUGUUUCAGACUUUGACAAAUGCUGUUUUAUAUCCUGUAAAUGAUGUUCUUCUGUGUUUGGUUCUUUCUGCGAGAUGUUACUUUUGCUUCGGUGCAUUGUGUAUAAAGGCAUCUUCAUAAGUUACUUGUGUGAGUGCUGUUUUGAAUGAUUACACUUAUUCUUCUUGAAUGAUUUUGAAUGCUUUUGACUGAAUAAAUAGUGUAUGCAGACUAGGAAUUCAUUGGUUAUUUAUGCCUAUGCAUUUUAUGAUUAUGCUUCUGAUUUUUUGCUGCAGAAUGCUGAACUGACUGCUCAUGUGGCUAAGCAGUAAAGAGGAAGGAAUCUGCUGUCCUAUGUUAGGCAUUGUCGUUUGAUUAUGAGUGCAGUUUCAUUGGAUGUUUUUUAGUUAAUGUGUAUUAUGUAGUUAUAGUUGUUAGAGGACUCAAGCACAGAAAUUCUGUAAUAGCUAGGUUGUUGCCAUUUCAGUUUGUUGCCAUUCUGUAACAGCUAGGUAUGUAUUGAUCAUAUAAUUUCUGAAGCAUUCUUGAUGGGAGAGAAAGACUUUGGGGUAAAGAAUCAAGAAAUCAUAUAGAGAACAAAGUUGAAAUUAAUGUAAGACGAGACCAUACAGCUUUCCUAAGAUUGAUUCUUUAUUUGGUUCAUUAUUUCUGAAAUAAGUUCAAUUCUUUGGCCACCUUUUUUUUGCACAUUACUUUUUCAUUUUUUUGUGUUCAUCCUAGAUUAGAUUAAUAGUUUAAAUAUACUUUCGACAGUAAUUAAUUUAUAAUCAGUUCCACAAUUUAGGUCUUGGUUUUCUUUUUAUGACGUUUGUAUAAUAACCUAUAAAAAUGUUGGGUAUAUCAUAAUUGUUAGUGUCUAAAACAAAAUGACUUCUUAUACACGCAACAAUUAAUGUCAUUCUUAUAUACAAAACAAGUAAUGUCAUUUUUAGUGUGAAGUGUCUUAUUGAAUUUCACUUUUGUGUAUUUCAAGCAUCUCUGGCCUCCAAAGACGAAAAUUCGCUGAGAAGAUGAGCAACAACCAUGAUGAAAGGAUUAUUUUACUACCAUUACUUCCUUACAAGGACUAAGGACAAUUCAUGAGGUCCUAGAAUCCGGUAUUUAUUACUACCACUAUAUAUAUAUUUUUUGCUUAGACGGUAUUUAUUAUGGCUGAUAUGGUUUCUUUUGUUACUUUAUAAACAGAUCAUGAAAUCUCAGAAUCAGUUCUCCAUCGUAUUGUCUCAUCUAUGAAUCCAUUCCUAAAACAUGACUGGACUACAUUCAAUUGCUUCUAUCAAUUUUAUCUAUCAAAGCUGGUAUAGUUUUGCAUUCUCUAACCUUAUUAACUCUCUUUCUUUUGUACAUAUGUGUAUUUACUUAUCACAAUUUUUUUUCAUACAUUUAUAGGAUCUGCCAGAAUUUGCGAAUCUAAGGCUAAAUGAAGAUAGUACGCUGACUAUAACUCUUAUGAAUGGUCAUAAAUAUUAUCAUGUUGGUAUGACCGAUAGAUGUUUUGAUCAAAACUGAAACCGUUUUUUUAUUGAUCAUGAUCUAAACAAUGGCCAGAUAUUGCUUUUUAUUCCACAAUCCAAGACUCCCUUUGCUGUGCUGGUGUUUGACCGCAAAGGAAUAGAGAAGUUGUUUCCAUGGCAGUUUGCAUUUUCCAUUUGAUGGCACAUCUGAUUUACGCUGAUUCUGCUUCAACGCAAUGCACGGCAUUUGUUGUAUUUAUGUUCUUAAUGGAAAAAAGUUCUGGUUAGAAAAAUGCUUCCAAAGCACUGCAAAUUUAAUGUUUAGCAAGUUCCUACUGUUGUUUAACGAUUGAAGCUUUCAUAAUGGAUGUUCCAACGGCAUUACUUAUUAAACUUUGAUGUUUAGCAAUAAAGUUGAUCCUACCUUUGGUUACAAAAAACAAAUGGCUGGUAUAUAUUAAAUUUAGAAAAAUGCUCCAUUAAAUUUGCAUUAACAAAACUUCAGAGUUUGGAAGUUCCUAUUAAAAAUUUAGAAAUUUAAAUUUGCAUUUCAGACUUUGGAAGUUUAGCAAAGUUUAGCAAAUUUAGAAAUUCAGGCUUUGGAAGUUCCAAAGCACUUCCAUUAAAUUUAGAAAUUUAGCAACUUCCAUGAAAGUUCGUAGCCAAGAAAUAUCAACAAACCUUCAGACUCAUGGUAUAUAUAUACUAAAAAAUGUACAUUUCUAAAUAAAAUGUUAUUUUUAUUACUUCAGAAAUGGAAUGGGCAUUUUACAUUACUAUCGCGCGAAGCGCGUUAUUGCCUCCUAGUUCACAAAGAAUUGGACAAAAUUGAAAGUGUGCCAUAUAAAAAUAUGGGAUAAUUUCACAAACCUCCCCUGAGGUUUCUGACGCUUGCACUGAGACCCCUCCAGGUUUUAAAUAUUUCAGCUAGCUCCCCUGGCAGAGUAUUGGGGUCCAUUGCUGACAUGAAUAGUGCUGAAAUUACCAAAUUAUCCUUAGAGGUUGGUUAGAUGACUAACGGUAACUUGGAUGACAAAUGCAUCUUGACAUUGGUAAUUACAUCUUCAAAUGUCCAGCCAUCUUUAGUCUGGCAUUCGGAUCAAAGUUGUUGUGUCGUCCUUUAUUUUAUGAUUUUUAUCCAAUCCAAAUCUCUCACCCAGCAGCACAAAGCAAAAUUUGAUGGGUUGAGUCGUGCAAAGCUUUGAUGAUUGACUUUGAUUUUUCUUUUUUCAGCUAAUUUAUUUGCAUCAUUGAAGCAGGGGAUUUUUAUUAACGCUACCAAGUUGGCACUACAUUCUUGACCCAAUAUAUAAGGUCAGAAGCAAAGCCGAAUUUGAUAGAUAAAUACUAUUUUGGAAGAAUUACAAUUUUGGCUCCGAAUAUUUGGAACGUGAACGCUUUUAGUUACUAAAUUUUGGAUGAAAAUAAAUAUAGUUCCAAAUAUUUUAGUUUCAUGCAUAUUUAGUUCUAAUAAACUGAUUUUUAUCGAAUGCUACUGUCAAAAUCGAGUCAUGUGCCAGCAAUUAAUUAUUUUUAAAAAUUUAAAAAAAAAUACUUCUAGCCAGUAACUAUAAUAAAUUAUGACUAAUUUCUCAUAUGAUGGUCAUGUGAAUAAUUUUUAAGUUUUUACUACAAAUUUUGGCCAGCAAUUUUUUUUCAAGUUUUUUAAUUCCUUUUAAAAUAAAAAUUAUUUGUUGAUACUUUAUAGCACGUCACCGUCACCGAAUCCUUGUAGCAAUCCGUAAGAGUCAUUGCACAAAUUCACAAUGAGGAUUGUAGCAAUCCGUAAGAGCUGUUGCACAAAUUCACCGUAAGAGUCCUUGUAGCAAUCCUUUAGAGUCAUUGCACAAAUUAUUUGUCGAUGGUGGAUCAAGGGGCCAUGCAUAAGAUCUGAUAAAUGUUUUCACUAUAGCCUUCUGUUAAUGCUCCUGCAAAACAAUGAGGAUAUACUCUUCCUCCUCACAAUCUUUUGGCUUGAGGAUAUACUUUGCACUUCUGAUGUUUAUAUGCAGUUGGAGGUAUACAAAAUCUGGCCAUUAGAAGAUUGCAAGUUGCCGUUGGCUCUUCCUGUUAACAUACUGAAGAUGUCUCCAUGUACUGCAUCAAAAUUUCUGAAUUGCAUUUAUAUCCUCUCAACUUUGAUAAUCAUCUCAAUCUUUUUAAUAACUUGCAAUCUUGUACUAAUAUAAAGAGGAAGAGGGUAUUCAUGGAAUAAAAAUGUCAUCUCUAUCAUGAUAGUAAUAUUUUAAUCCUAAUUGGACUGAAUUGUUACCAAAAUUUGAAAAGCAAGGGAGCUAGGUGAAAUUUUUAAAACCUAGAGGGGUCUCAGUGUAAGUGUCAGAAAUCUCAGGGGAGGUUUGUGAAAUUAUCCCUAAAAAUAUUGUCAAAUGAAUGCUCCAAAUCAACCCAAUCGCUUGCGGCAAAUCCAGACCAUGAACUGUUGUCUUGCCAGGUGUGAAUGUAGCAGUAGACCCCACCUCUCAUUUCUUCCCGCGCGACUGGUGCCACCGCUGUCAAUUUUUUUUUUCUCUGAGACGCGAUAAUUAUAGAGUGUAUCCUAAUCUAUUCUAAAUUAGGUAGAGGGAUGGACCUGAAGAGAUAAGAAGCAAUCAAAGGAAAUUAAACCAUCACCAAAUCAAAUUGAUAUAUUGUAUGAAUUUUUUGAAACAAAUUUAUAUUAACCUCCUAUCCCAUCAACAGUUAAAGGCUUGAUGGUGGCCACCAAUGCUGCCAUCAUUUGUCUUGUUAUUGGGGCCUAUACAUACGGAAUAUAGGGAUAUUUUCCAAAAUCUCCUCUAAGAUUUUGUUUAAUAUUACUUGAUUCUAAAAUCAUAUCUUUAUAACAAACUCAUCCCUACACCAUGAAAAUAUUCUUAAAAUAAUUAUUUAAAAAGAGAGAUACAGAGUGAGAUUUAUUUUUGUUCCAAUUUUAUCCCUUUAUGUUGUCUUAUCUUGAAAUUUUAACCAAAUUAAUUUCUAACAUAUAUUUGCAUGGGAGAACUAAACAAGAUUAGAAUAGAGUGUUAAGUGCUACAAUAAAUGAUAGAAUAGUAUUUUCUUUCUAUUUUUGGCUUUUUCUUUUUUUUCCCUUAUAUAAUUGUUAGAAUAACCAAAGAAACUUUAAUUAAAAACUAGCAUGUGAAAACUAAAAAUGUGGCAAGAAGAGAUGUUUGCAUACAACAAUUAUUAGAUUACACUUUUUUUUUAUAAAUUUAGAUUUAUUAUCUUCCUUUUUUUGCAUAUAUGAUGGUUAGCAUAAUUAGGAUAAUUUGAUAUAAGGUUGACAUAGAAAGACCAAAAGUCAAGGGAGGGGGUAUGUUUAGGGAAAAAUAAUAAUUAGAAUCACCAAAAUCUUAUAGAUUUUAUUUUUUUUUCCGAACUCUUUUUUGCAUAAAGUUUUUUAAAAAAAAAAAAUAGUGAGAGCAAAUAUAGAAUUGGCAUAAAAAGACAAAAGUAGGGGAGAUGUUAAGCAUUUUCACUUCCCAACUUUUUUCCCGUAACAUAGUAAGGGUGAUUUAAUAUAAAAUUCAUAUAGAGGGUAUCGAAAUUUGGAAGAAUAAGGGUGAUUAAAUUCAAAUAUAAUUAUUCGAGUAGUUGUUGUCUUGAUAGACUUAAUUUUUUUGUUACAUAUGCUAUUUGCUUAAAUAGUUAUUAUACUAUCAAAGACAAUUUAAUAAUUGGUUGACAUAAAAAGAUUAAAUAACUAAAAUUCUUUAAGUGCAAAAAUGAAAAAUGGUUAAAAUAGCCAUUGCAAUUUGGUUUUCUCUUUCGUAUUUGUUUGCCUAAAGAAUGAUUAAACUAGUAAGAAUAAUUUUGUCAAUUUAUAUGCAGUUAGGAUGAUUAGAAGUCUCAUUUACCAACAAGGGAGGUAAAUGAUAUUUCUGAAACUUUAAGGAUACUAAAGUGAAAUUAGGUAAAACCUCAAGGGAGGUCUCUGAAAUUAUUCCAAUUUUCAAAAGUCGUUCUAUCUUUUCUACCCAACUCUUCCAUCCUUUGGUUACAAUUUCAAACCCUGCCUGACAACUUCUCCUAGCCGGCAUUUCCACAACCCCCUCCUGCAACUUUUUCCCAAGUAAACGAGGAGUGUAUGAUGAAUUUGACAAAAGAUCUAUUCUCACUUUACAGUGAAAGCAAAGUCAUCUUUGAUGGGCAGGCUUCCCAAAUCCCCUCUUCGCAACUCAAGCUCCAGUUCCAAGACAUCUUAUUCAACCCCAAGUACCCCAUUGGUGCGGAUCAAUUCUUGAAGAGUUCGAACAAUUCAGUUUCUCCAUCAGCUUCCAUAACAGACAGCUCCUGCAUGACAUUGCAUUACGAAGACUAUAAGGGCCAUCACAAGGUCUUCAGUGAAGAAGAUAUAAAGACUCUUAGGCGCAUUUCAGAAAUAUUGACCUCCAGAAACGAAUUGGCGGAUUGUGUUCAGAUGUAUGUCGAGCGUCGAAAGGACGCGGUCAACACGGUAUUUAUGAGACUGCGUGAGAAAUUGAAUGUACAAACCGUCUGUCAUUUUAAUUGCUUGGAUGAGUUGAGUGACAAAAUCAAUGGAUGGAUGCAAAUAGCCAAGUUUUGCAUAGCCACCAUUUUUAAAUUAGAAAAGUGUUUUUAUGAGCAAAUAUUUGGAGACCUGGGAACAUCUGAGGACACUGCUGCUAACGGCCGUUUUGUGUCCAUAGUAGUAGGAGCUGCGGCCGAGUUGUUUGAGUUUCCAGACUCUCUAUUAGCCAGCCGCCGAUUGCCCCAGAGACCAGACAUUUUGAUGCCCUUUUGUCAAGAACUCACCAAUCUAGUUCCACAAGUGAUUGUAUAUUUUGACCAAGAUGUACAACCGGCGAAAGCUAUCUGCGGCCUUGCCACUGAGAUUUUGCUCCGACUGAAACAGCAAAUGACAAAGAUCCUUUCUGUUACAGAGAAACAUGUUCUUCGUGAGCUUUCGACGAUGCCAUUUCCUGGGGGAGGAAUUCACCCCUUAACUAGACACAUAAUUCGUCACAUUGACCUGAUUUAUGUUCACAGGAAAUCCUUAAUUGACUUGGUGGCUAGACCCCAAAGCUCCAAUGAUCGAGAUCCUCCUGAAGUAGUGGGUUCACAUGAAAUGGAUGAAAGGCCAAUUUCCAUAGAGAGCCAUCUAACUCGAGUCAUCGAGUUUUUACUGUAUAACUUGAAAUUCAAGUCCAACUUCUAUGGACAAGAAUCUCUGGGUUUUUUGUUCAUGAUGAACAAUGUUAACUCUGUUUCUGAGAUGAUUAAAAGUUCCGAGGAGUUGGGAGAACUUAUUGGCACUCGCCUGCGGAUGAAAUUAAGUGAAAAAGUGGAGCUGGCAAGGGCUGAUUAUCUCCAUACAAGUUGGGGCGAAGUCUGCGAUUUUUUGAAAGGUAAAGGAUUAAAAUCAGAUUUAAAUUUUGAUUUCUUUCCUGGAAGGUCUACGAGAGCUGUGAAAAAGAAGUUUAGGACCUUCAAUCGUAUGUUUGAAGAUAUACUUCAGACUCAAGAAGGAUGGAUGGUACCAGAUCAGCAGCUGCGGAUGAAACUUCUUGAAUGCAUAAUGGUUAAGCUGAUUCCGGCCUACAAUCAAUUUCUUGAGCAGUUGAGCCGAGUUCACAAAGUGAAGAAUCUGAAUGGGUACAUAACAUAUUCUGUCAAGGACUUGGAGACCAAGGUGCUAACUAUGUUUCAGAGUGAGUAUUGAAGACUGAAGAGUUGGUUAUUUAUCCUUCAAUUCUAUUAGAUGUCAAUUUGAACAGGUUAUACGCACUAGCUGUUGCAAUGUAACUCUCUCCAAAUGAAAAUUACUUUCUCCAAAUGAAAAUUUGGAGAAUCCUUAAAUCGUGUGUACUGUGUAAGAAUGAGGAUCCGCUAUAUGUCUUUGUAGUAACAGAAGUCGCAAGGAAAGUUGAGGAUACGAAGAUGGUGCAGGCAUUAGAGGAAAGUGUAGGGGAAGAAAUGAAAAGAAAAGAAAAGAAAAGAAAAGAAAAGAGCGGAAGCAAAGAUAAAUCAGAUAAAAAGAAACAAAACAAACAAAAGAGCUUGAAAGUAAUGAUAUGAAGUUUAAGUAUCCUUGAAGUUAUUAAUGUGUAUAUUGAAGAAAAAUGAGUAGCUAGAUUACAUGAAAGUGAAGGAGAGAGUUUGUCAGGUGAUUCAAUACCCUACUCCUUUGAGUGAAGUACAGGAAACGCCUUUGAGUUAGGAAUUUGAAGGCGCUGCUUCUGUGUCACAUCUACUUCACGCGUUUGAGCGAGGCAUCUACUCAUAGCCGGAAUCUAAAGGCAAAGCUUCCCUGAGCUUAAAAGUCAUGCCCAUACCAGGAUGCUCCUGUAUUUCUUAAGGUUCAGCAGUUUGCGUGCAUAAAGAUUAGCGUUAGUCACAGUUUUCCUGGGGGUAAUCACGCUUUCCGUUGCUCUACUCCAUUGUCUUCUUACUUUGCUUUGCUCUAUUCCAUCGUCUUCAUUUCGUGUGGCCAAAAUGCCCUACCAGCAUACCUUUUGGCAAGUACGUUUUACGCUUUUAAUGUUUAUGACGGUACGUAUUGUUACUUCGAAGAUGCCUUAUUGGAACAGGUGCUAUCUUGGCAUCGUCUCCCUGUGCUCUUAUAAUCACCUAAACAAAAUACAAAAUACGACUAAAAGAAUUAAGUGACAAAGAUAAAGAAACUUUACAAUCGCCUCCUAUUUUUCCUCUUCUUCACAUAUAAAGUUAAUCCUAGAUCCAUACUAAUCGAUUUGGAAUCCAGUGUUAUGUUUAACUUAGUAUAGCAUUAUUGUUGAAUUUAAAUCUAUUUUUCAAAUACAAUGCUACAUUAACAAACUUCCAAAAAAAAAAAAUUCAAAUACAAAGCUGCGUCAAUGAACUUCAAAAAAAAAUUAUUUUUCAAAUAUAAUGCUACAUUAACACACUCUAAAAAUUCAACGCUACAUUAAUACACUCCAAAAAAAAUCCUACUUUCUAGAUGUAAUGCUAUAUUUACACAAUCUAAAAAAGGUAUCUCAAUAAUACUUCAAAUACAAUUUCAAUACACUUGACAAAAACACACAAGAAAUAAAAAAUAAAAUAAAUUCUAUCACCUCUUUUUUUCUCCACCCACCACCCAUCUCCUCCUCUUUCCUCCACCCCCGUUAUUGUCCCUUGCUCCUCCCUCUUCCCUUCUCGUUUUUCUCUAUUUUUUCCUUCUUCUUUCUCUAUUUCUUCCUCUACCUCCCUGCUUUUUCCUCCCUCUUCCUUUUCCUCUAGGACCUUCCUUCUCCUUUUUCUGCCUUAUUCCUUUUCCCUUUCCUUAUCAUUCCAUCCUUUUCCUUCUCCUACAACCUCCUUCCCUUUCCCCCUCUCCUCCUCUCACUUAAGGGUCUACGAGAAAAGGAGGAAGGGGGGAGGAGAAUUGGGGGAAAGGGAGGAGCGAAGAGAAGAGGGGAUGAAGAAAGGGGAGAGGGGUUGCAGGAGAAAGGGGAAGGGAUGGGAUGAGCGCUGCCAGUGAAGGAAGUAGGAGAGAAAGAAGGGAAGGUAGAGAAAUGAGAUGAAGAGAGGGAGUUAAAAAAGAAGGUGGAAGGGAUGGGAAGAGGGCUACGGAGAAGUAAAAAGGAGAGAGAGAAGGGAAGGAGAAGGAAUGAGAUGAAGGGAGAGGGAUAAAAAAGAAUGGGGAAGAGAGGGAAGGGAAGAAGGGAAGAGGGGUGAGAAGGAAGAGUGAAGAGGAGAAAGUAGGAGGAUGAAGGGAGAAGAGAGGAGUGAUGGUGCUGAUAGAGG
This 125230-nucleotide long non-coding RNA is filed under the name Coffea arabica (coffee). Its description in RNAcentral is "long non-coding RNA (CARA_LNC001051)". The record is from RNAcentral. Lineage: Eukaryota; Viridiplantae; Streptophyta; Magnoliopsida; Gentianales; Rubiaceae.